RNAcentral lists this long non-coding RNA (95187 nucleotides) under Triticum aestivum (bread wheat). Its description in RNAcentral is "long non-coding RNA (TAES_LNC008982)". Lineage: Eukaryota; Viridiplantae; Streptophyta; Magnoliopsida; Poales; Poaceae. The record is from RNAcentral.
GCAGGAGGAGGAGGUGAAACAUGGGGCACAUAGUAGGGUGUAUCGGGAAGAAGGAGAAAAGAAAGAUCAUCCACAGAGAAGCUCGACGUAGAAGGACGUGGGUAGUAAGAGCGAGACUCGUCAAAGGUCACAUCACGCGAGAUGCGCAAGCGGCGACCAACAGGGUCCCAACAACGAUAGCCCUUGUGCUCAUCACUGUAGCCAAGGAAAACGCACUCAACCGACUGAGUAGUCAGUUUGGUGCGUUCUCGCGGGGCAAGAAGGACAUAACACACACAUCCAAACAUACGAAGAGCUGAGUAGUCAGGAGGUCUACCAGUGAGACACUCCAUAGGAAUACCACCCUGCAGAGCAGUCGAGGGCUAAAUGUUGAUGAGAUAGGUGGAUGCAGACACAACCUCAGCCCAAAAGUGGGGUGGAAGAGAAGCGGCAAUCAUCAGCGCACGAGCCGUCUCAAGCAGAUGAUGAUGCUUAUGUUCGGCAACGCCAUUUUGAGCAUGAGCACUAGGGCAUGAGAACUAGGCAAGAGUACCCUGUUCUGCAAGAAAACCACGCAACAGCUGGGAGAUAAACUCUCCAGCGGAGUCAGCACGAAAGGUGCAAUGGGCGUGGAAAGCUGGGUGUGAACCAUGGCAGCAAAUCGUUUGUAUAUAUAGAGGACCUCGCUACAAUAUUUCAUAAAAUAGAGCCAAAUGUAACGAGAGAAAUCAUUAAUAAACAAAUCAUAGUAGCGAUGACCACCUUUCGAAUCAAAGGGAGCAGGACCCCAAACAUCAGAAUGAACUAAGUCAAAAGGAUGCUGAGAUACGGACUCGCUAGUAGGAUAAGGUAAUUGGGUCUGUUUGCCAAGUCUAAAACCAUUACAACGUAAGGAAACAUCUCCAGAUACAGACCCUAAGAGGCCCUGAUGAACUAAAGAAGACAAGUGAGAACCACAGAUGUGACCAAGGCGAUGAUGCCGCUGCUGGAAGGACGCAGACGAAGAGGCAGCAAGAGCAUGAGAGCUGGCAUAUGAGGCAGCAGCGGAAGGAACACGAAGCCAGUCAACCUCCCAAAGGCCCUCAGACUCACGGCGCCGAGGGCCAGCGCCAACCAGAGCCUGAGUGCGACAAUCCUGAACAGAACAAGAGUCGGCAUCAAGAAUGACACGACAACCAGAAUCAGUAAGUUGGGCAGUGGAAAAAAGAUUCAUGGUAAGACGUGGGAAAUGAGACACACUAGGAACCAAAAAGGACGGAGUGGAGAGGAUGCCACGACUAGUAACAGGAAGAGGUGUGCCAUCAGCAAUGAGAACAUUAAGAGGAAAAUCAAGAGGUUGAAGAGAAGAUAACGCAGAAGAAUCAGAAGACAUAUGAAAAGAAGCUCUAGAAUACAGAACCCACGAGGAUGUACCUGACUGAGUAGGCUCCGACAGAGGCGGAGUGGUGAUGGAGGUCACAGCAGCAACAGAACCGUCGAGGAAGAACCAGACGAAGCUAACAUGCGCUUGAACCGCAUAAUAUCCUGGUCAGUGAGCGACGAAGUCGAGGAAGGCGCACGAGCCCCAUGAUACGUCCAUUUUGCAUCAUGCUUUUAUAUCAAUAUUUAUUGCAUUAUGGGCUGUUAUUAUACAUUAUCUCAAUACUUAUGGCUAUUCUCUCUUAUUUUACAAGGUUUACCAUGAAGAGGGGGAAUGCCGGCAGCUGGAAUUCUGGCUGGAAAAGGGGCAAAUGUUGGAAACCUAUUCUGCACAACUCCAAAAGUCCUGAAACUCCACGAAACAACUUUUUGGAAUUAAUAGGAAUUUAUGAGCCAAAGAAAUAGGCCAGGGGGCCCACACCCUGUCCAGGAGACAGCCCCCCCUAUAGGGCGCGCCCCCUAUCUCCUGGGCCCCCUGGUGGGCCUCCGGCGUCCAUCUUCUGCUAUAUAAUCACUUUUACCCUGGAAAAAAUCGUGGGCAAGCUUACAGGAUGAAAAUCCACUGCCACGAGGCGGAAUCAAUCUAGGGCUCUGGCAGAGCUGUUCUGCCGGGGACACUUCCCUCCGGGAGGGGGAAAUCAUCACCAACGUCAUCACCAAUGAUCCUCUCAUUGGGAAGGGGUCAAUCUUCAUCAACAUCUUCAUCAGCACCAUCUCAUCUCAAACCCUAGUUCAUCUCUUGUAUCCAAUCUUGUAUGAAAACCACAAAUUGGUACCUGUGGGUUGCUAGUAGUGUUGAUUACUCCUUGUAGUUGAUACUAAUUGGUUUACUUGGUGGAAGAUCAUAUGUUCAGAUCCUUUAUGCAUAUUAUUACCCCCCUAAUUAUGAACAUGAAUAUGCUUUGUGAGUAGUUACGUUUGUUCCUGAGGACAUGGGAGAAGUCUUGCUAUUAGUAGUCAUGUGAAUUUGGUAUUCGUUCGAUAUUUUGAUGAGAUGUAUGUUGUCUUUUCCUCUAGUGGUGUUAUGUGAAUGUUGACUACAUGGCACUUCACCAUUAUUUGGGCCUAGAGGAAGGCAUGGGGAAGUGAUAAGUAGAUGAUGGGUUGCUAGAGUGACAGAAGCUUAAACCCUAGUUUAUGCGUUGCUUCGUUAGGAGUUGAUAUGGAUCCAUAUGUCUAAUGCUAUGGUUAGGUUUACCUUAAUACUUUUUUUGUAGUUGCGGAUGCUUGCAAUAGGGGUUAAUCAUAAGUGGGAUGCUUGUCCAAGUUAGGGCAGUACCCAAGUACCGGUCCACCCACAUAUCAAAUUAUCAAAGUACCGAACGCGAAUCAUUUGAGCGUGAUGAAAACUAGCUUGACGAUAAUUCCCAAUGUGUCCUCGGGAGCUCCUUCCUCAUUAUUAGAAAUUGUCCAGGCUUAUCCUUUGCUACAUAAAGGAUUGGGCCACCUUGCUGCACUUUAUUUACUUUAUUGACUUGUUGCUCGUUACUAUUUAUCUUAUCACAAAACUAUCUAUUACCUACAAUUUCAGUGCUUGCAGAGAAAACCUUACUGAAAACCGCUUAUCAUUUCCUUCUGCUCCUCGUUGGGUUCAACACUCUUACUUAUCGAAAGGACUACGAUAGAUCCCCUACACUUGUGGGUCAUCAAGACUCUUUUCUGGCGCCGUUGCCGGGGAGUGUAGCGCUUUUGGUGAGUGGAACUUGGUAAGGAAACAUUUAUAUAGUGUGCUGAAUUUUUUGUUACUUUUUACUAUGGAAACUAACCCUUUGAGGGGCUUGUUUGGGGUAUCUUCACCCCAACCAGAAUAGCAAAGAGUUUCUCCUCAACCUACUGAACUUGAUGAAAAUAUUUCUUUUGAGAUUCCUUCGGGUAUGAUAGAGAAAGCUAAUCUAUUUGCAGGAGAUGGAACAUUGCAUCCCGAUUUACACCUUAUCUUUGUGGAUGAAGUUUGUGGAUUAUUUAAGCUUGCAGGUAUUCCCGAUGAUGUUGUCAAAAGGAAGGUCUUCCCUUUAUCUUUGAAGGGAGAUGCAAUGACAUGGUAUAGGCUAUGUGAUGAUACAAGAUCUUGGAAUUAUAAGCGAUUGAAGUUGGCAUUUCACCAGAAGUUCUAUCCUAUGCAUCUUGUUCAUUGUGAUCGUAAUUACAUAUAUAAUUUCUGGCCUCGCGAAGGAGAAAGCAUCGCCCAAGCUUGGGGGAGGCUUAAGUCAAUGUUAUAUUCAUGCCCCAAUCAUGAGCUCUCUCGGGAAAUGAUUAUUCAGAAUUUCUAUGCUCGGCUUUCUCUUGAUAAUCGCAACCUGCUCAAUACUUCCUGCGCUGGUUAUUAUAUGCUGAAGACUAUUGAUUUCAAAUGGGACUUAUUGGAAAGAAUUAAACGCAACUCCAAAGAUUGGGGUUCCGACGAUGGUAAGGAGUCAGGUAUGACACCUAAGUUCGAUUGUGUUAAAUCUUUUAUGGAUACCAAUGUUUUUCGUGGAUUUAGCGCUAAGUAUGGACUUGACUCUGAGAUAGUAGCUACUUUUUGUGAAUCUUUUGCUACUCACGUUGAUCUCCCUAAGGAGAAGUGGUUUAAAUAUAAUCCUCCUGCUGAAGUGAAAGUAGUUGCACCUAUUACAGUCGAAGAAAAGAUUAUCACCUAUAGUGAUCCUACUGUUCCUACUGCUUAUGUUAAAAAACCUCCUUUUCCUGUUAGGAUAAAGGAUCAUGCUAAAGCUUUGACUGUUGUUCGUAAGAGUAAUACUAGGACUUAUACACCUCCUGAGCAAAUUAAUGUUGAACCUAGUAUUGCUAUGGUUAAAGAUCUCUUGGACGAGGACUUAGAUGGGCAUGUUAUUUCUUUCUUGGGUGAGACUGCAAAUAUUGCUAGACCUGAUACUAAGACACAUAGACUUGUCGUAGGCACGCCUGUUAUUUAUGUUAAAAUAGGAGAUCAUUGUUAUCAUGGCUUAUGUGAUAUGGGUGCCAGUGCUAGUGCGAUACCUUAUGAUCUUUAUAAAGAAAUUAUGCACGACAUUGCACCCAUUGAAUUAGAAGACAUUGAUGCUACUAUUAAGCUUGCUAAUAGGGAUACCAUUAAACCUAUUGGGAUUGUUAGAGAUGUUGAAGUUUUGUGUGGGAAGGUUAAAUACCCUGCUAAUUUUCUUGUUCUUGCUUCCCCACAAGAUGCCUUUUGUCCCAUUAUUUUUGGUAGGCCCUUCUUGAAUAAUGCUAGUGCUAAGAUUAAUUGUGAAAGGAAUAUUGUCACUGUUGGCAUAGAUGGUAUGUCUCAUGAGUUUAAUUUUGCUAAGUUUAGUAGACAACCUCGUGAAAGGGAACCACCUAGUAAGGAUGAGAUUAUUGGUCUUGCUUCCAUUGCCGUUCCUCCAACUGAUCCGUUAGAACAAUAUUUGCUAGACCAUGAAAAUGAUAUGUUUAUGAAGGAAAGGGAAUAAAUAUAUGAAGUGUUUCUUAAAUAGGAACCUAUGCUGAAACAUAACCUUCCCGUUGAAAUUCUUGGGGAUCCCCCUCCACCCAAGGGUGAUCCCGUGUUUGAACUCAAACCAUUACCUGAUAAUCUUAAGUAUGCUUAUCUUGAUGAAAAAGAAAUAUAUCAUGUUAUUAUUAGUGCUAACCUUUUAGAGAAAGAAGAAGAAAGAUUGUUGAAAACUCUGAAGAAGCACCGUGCAGCUAUUGGAUAUACUCUGGAUGAUCUUAAGGGCAUUAGUCCCACAUUAUGCCAACACAAGAUUUCAGUGGAGAAAGAUGUCAAACCAGUUAGAGAUAAGUGAAGGAAGUGGUAAGUGAAGGAAAUAUGCCCUAGAGACAAUAAUAAAGUUAUUAUUUAUUUCCUUAUAUCAUGAUAAAAGUUUAUUAUUCAUGCUAGAAUUGUAUUAACCGGAAACAUAAUACUUGUGUGAAUACAUAAACAAACAGAGUGUCACUAGUAUGCCUCUACUUGACUAGCUUGUUGAUCAAAGAUGGUUAUGUUUCCUGACCAUAGACAUGUGUUGUCAUUUGAUUAACGGGGUCACAUCAUUAGGAGAAUGAUGUGAUUGACUUGACCCAUUCUGUUAGCUUAGCACUUGAUCGUUUAGUAUGUUUCUAUUGAUUUCUUCAUGACUUAUACAUGUUCCUAUGACUAUGAGAUUAUGCAACUCCCGUUUACCGGAGGAACACUUUGUGUGCUACCAAACAUCACAACGUAACUGGGUGAUUAUAAAGGUGCUCUACAGGUGUCUCCGAAGGUACUUGUUGGGUUGGCGUAUUUCGAGAUUAGGAUUUGUCACUCUGAUUGUCGGAGAGGUAUCUCUGGGCCCUCUCGGUAAUGCACAUCACUUAAGCCUUGCAAGCAUUGCAACUAAUGAGUUAGUUGUGAGAUGAUGUAUUACGGAACGAGUAAAGAGACUUGCCGGUAACGAGAUUGAACUAGGUAUUGAGAUACCGACGAUCGAAUCUCGGGCAAGUAACAUACCGAUGACAAAGGGAACAACGUAUGUUGUUAUGCGGUUUGACCGAUAAAGAUCUUCGUAGAAUAUGUAGGAGCCAAUAUGAGCAUCCAGGUUCCACUAUUGGUUAUUGACCGGAAACAGUUCUAGGUCAUGUCUACAUAGUUCUCGAACCCGUAGGGUCCGCACGCUUAAAGUUACGAUGACAGUUUUAUUACGAGUUUAUAAGUUUUGAUGUACCGAAGGUUGUUCGGAGUCCCGGAUGUGAUCACGGACAUGACGAGGAGUCUCGAAAUGGUCGAGACAUAAAGAUUGAUAUAUUGGAAGCCUAUAUUUGGAUAUCGGAAACGUUCCGGGUGAAAUCGGAAUUUUACCGGAGUACCGGGGGUUACCGGAACCCCCCCGGGGGUUAAUGGGCCUACAUGGGCCAUGAGGGAGAAGAGGAGGGCUGGCCAGGGCAGGCCGCGCGCCCCCUCCCCCCUAGUCCGAAUAGGACAAGGAAGGGGGGGGGCGCCCCCCUUUCCUCUUUCCCCUGCCCCCUUUCCUUCUCCACCAAGGCAAGAAGGGGGAGUCCUACUCCCGAUGGGAGUAGGACUCCUCCAGGCGCACCCCUAGGGGGCCGGCCGCACCUCCCCCUCCCUCCUUUAUAUACGGGGGCAGGGGGGCACCUCUAGACACAUAAGUUGAUCAUCGUGAUCAUUCCUUAGCCGUGUGCGGUGCCCCCUCCACCAUAUUCCACCUCGGUCAUAUCGUUGCGGUGCUUAGGCGAAGCCCUGUGUCGGUAGAACAUCAUCAUCGUCACCAUGCCGUCAUGCUGACGGAACUCAUCCCCGACACCUUGUUGGAUCGGAGUCCGGGGAUCGUCAUCGAGCUGAACGUGUGCUGAACUCGGAGGUGCCGUACGUUCGGUACAUGGAUCGGUCGGAUCGUGAAGACGUACGACUACAUCAACCGCGUUGUCAUAACGCUUCCGCUUACGAUCUACAAGGGUACAUGGACAACACUCUCCCCUCUCGUUGCUAUGCAUCACCAUGAUCUUGCAUGUGCGUAGGAAUUUUUUUGAAAUUACUAUGUUCCCCAACAGUAAGAAAGGAGGUACUAAAGCUCCUUGAGGCAGGUAUUAUUUAUCCCGUUGCUGAUAGUGAAUGGGUAAGCCCUGUCCAUUGUGUCCCUAAAAAGGGAGGUAUUACCGUAGUUCCUAAUGAUAAAGAUGAAUUGAUCCCGCAAAGAAUUAUUACAGGUUAUAUGAUGGUAAUUGAUUUUCGUAAGUUGAAUAAAGCUACUAAGAAAGAUCAUUACCCUUUACCUUUCAUUGAUCAAAUGCUAGAAAGACUGUUGUAAGGGCAUAUUUAUCCCUCAGGUGUUUUGGUGAUUGAUGACAAUGCAUUUGCGGACUAAUCGUGUGCCUUGAGUUUCUUAGGUUAUUCAUCUCUAGGCACGAGACGAUUCGGUGCCCCUCGGAGACUUUUGAAGUCGGCGUUGUUCUACGUUUCUCUUUGGUGGAUUUGAGUCAUAGGAGAGCCGUACUAUUAAGAGGGGGUCCGCAUCGGAAAGGUUUGGGUGGAAUCAACACAUACACUUGUCCCUCCUUUCCCUGCAUUUUGGAGCUUCCCCUUGUUAUCUUGGUUGUGCGGAAAUCUGACGACUACUGCUGUACUUGCAGUAGUACCGCAAGUACAUGCGGUAGUACCGCUGUGUGUCACGGUAGUACCGCGGCUCCCAGGCCUUGUGCCGCUCCUGUGCGGUAGUAGGGGCGGAUGUAAUUUUUUACAUCCGCGCCCUCCAUGGUAGUACCGCUCGUCCAGCGCGGCAGUACCGCGGGGGCCCAUGGUAGUACCGCUCCCUAGGAGUUGUAGUACCGUGGCCCUCCUACCUAGUACCGCAGUGUCGCGGUAGUAGGAGCGGAUGUAAUUUUUUACAUCCGCGCCCGCACGGUAGUACCGCGCCUCGCGAGCGGUAGUACCGCGUCGGAUUUUUGUACCACCUCUGUUUCAGUGGAAGUAGGCACGGAUGUAAUUUAUUUCAUCCGCGCCCUUCCCAGGCUGUGACUUUCCUGCCUAGCGGUAGUACCGCAAGUGGGUGCGGUAGUACCGCGCAAGCGGUAGUACUGCCCCCUUGUCAGGCUAGUUCCGGCCUGUGCUGCUGUCGCGGUAGUACUGUGGUCAGCCAUGGUAGUACCCCUCCCCUGGAGCGGUAGUACCGUGUGUCGCGGGUUGAACAUGUGGAUAACGGUUGGAUUCUUUCCACGACUAUAUAAGGGGUGUCUUCUACCUCUAGUUGACUACCUCUUCCAUCUCUAAGCUCCAUUGUUGCUCCAAGCUCCAUUUUCACUCGAUCUCUCUCCCUAGCCAAUCAAACUUGUUGAUUUGCUCGGGAUUGGGUGACAAGUGCCCGAUCUACACUUCCACCACAGGAUAUUUGAUUCCCCCCACUUAUCCCUAGCGGAUCGUGUUACUCUUGGGUGUUGAGCACCCUAGACGGUUGAGGUCACCUCGAAGCCACACUCCAUUGUGGUGAAGCUUCACGGUAUUGUUGGGAGCCUCCAAGUGUUGUGGAGAUUGCCCCAAUCUUGUUUGUAAAGGUUCGGUUGCCGCCUUCAAGGGCUCCAAUAGUGGAAUCACGGCAUCUCGCAUUGUGUGAGGGCGUGAGGAGAUUACGGUGGCCCUAGUGGCUUCUUGGGGAGCAUUGUGCCUCCACACCGCUCUAACAGAGACGUACUUCCCCUUAAAAGGAAGGAACUUCGGUAACACAUCCUCGUCUCCACCGGCUCCACUCUUGGUUUUCUUGUCCCUUUACUUUUGCAAGCUUACUUGUGCUAUAUCCAUUGCUUGCUUGUGUGCUUAUUGUCUUUGCAUCAUAUAGGUUGUCCACGUAGUUGCACAUCUAGACAACCUAUUUCACUACAAGUUUUAAAUUGUUAAAGAAAAGUCUAAAAAGUGUUAGUUGCCUAUUCACCCCCCCUCUAGUCAACCAUAUCGAUCCUUUCAAUUGGUAUCAGAGCCUCGUCUCUUUAUUAAGGACUUUGUCGUCUGAAGAGUAUGGUUGACGUCAACGAUGGUGCGGAGGAACACUCCGGUGUGAAUCCCAUCUCGUCUUUGGCUGAAGGGGGAACCUCGGUCUGACGUGAGGAAUUCAAUGUGGCUUUAGACACAUUGAAAACCUCCAUGACGGCCGAGGUUAAAAGCAUGUUUACUGAAUUUCUAGAGGGACUUAAACUAUCUACCUCACCAAUGAAAGUGGGUGAUCCCACUAACAAGGUGACGGAUGCUAACUCCGAUAAGGGGGAAGCUAACAAUGAAAAGAGUCCUUCUACUAGUGGUAGAAAUGGCACCGGCAUCUUUGCCCAUGUGGAACCCCCGGUGUAUAGAGGACCUAUCCCCUCUACUCAUUUGAAUCAUGCCGGUCCUCCUCCUAAAUAUGUGAAAAAUGAAGAUUAUGAUUCUUGGGUUUAUCGCUUCAAGCGUCAUUUAAAACAUGUGAAUACUAACCUUUGGAGAAUUAUUGAAGAAGGUUUCUAUCCUCAUGAUCCAAGCAACUUCACCCCUCGAGAAGAAGUGGACAAUCAAUUCAAUGAGAGUGCUCUCUUCAUCAUCCAAGAUGCUAUCCUUCCUGAAGAUCUCCCUCAUCUUCGACCUCAUGUCAUGGCUAAAGAAGCAUGGAAGUGUGUUGAGCGUAUGUAUAGAGGAAGUGCUAGCAUUCAACGCUCCAACUAUGAAGUGGUGCAAGAUGAAGCCGAUGAGUUUGCAAUGAAGGAGGAUGAAGAACCUCGUGAGCUCUUUCGAAGAGUGACCAAAUUUGCGGUCGCACUCCGAGAUCAUGGGAGUAAGGACACGGAUGACAACUGGAUCAAGUGCAAGUUCCUCAAGGCCAUGAUGCCCUACAACAAGGCCAUGUCCUCCGUCAUCCGCCAAAGACCGGACUUCCACUCCAUGACCUCUGGUGAAGUGUUGGAUGAGUUUGUUGCAAUGAACAUCUUGGAUAAGACCGCCGACAAUGCGGUGCUCCGUUCCCAAAGGGCAAACAAGCCCAAUCUUGCCUUGAAGGCCAAGGUUAGUGUGGAAGAAGAAGAAGAAGAGGAAGAUGAGGAGAGCAACCCCGAGGACACGAAGUAUGAUUAUCAUGAGCACAUGGCUCUUGCCUCAAGACGGUUUUGGAGUAAGAAGACUACAAGACCCAACUUCAACAAGAACAACUCAAGUGGCCUCAAGGGGAAGCAACGAGUUAGAACUUGUUUCAACUGUGGCAAUGUCAGCCAUUUCGUUGCGGAUUGUCCAUACGAGAAGCGGGAAGACAAUGGUGGCAAGUUCAUUCGAAAAGACAAAGCCAAGUCCUUCCCCAACAAGAACAACUUCACCAAGAAGACUCCUUCUUGCGGGUUGGUGGUUCAAGAAGAAUACCGUGAGGAUGACGAUGAUGAUGAAGAUGGUGAAACAAUGGCCAUGGCGUCCGUGGCCAUUGUCUCAACUCCUCGGGUGUCUCUCUUCGAUGCACCUAACGAGAACAUCACCGCCAAGUGCCUCAUGGCUAAGGCCACCAACAAGGUAACCCCCAACAUCAAAACCACCAUUAUUCCUAACCCUCCUUCAAUAGAUGACUUUGAUAAUGGUAAGGGGUCUAAUGAGGAGAUCAAUGAAUUUGAGUCCUUCAUGAGUAAGCUCAAGGGCAAAUCCAAGAAGCAUUUCGUUGCUCUCUUGGAACAACUUGGUGAAGCCAAUGACAUGAUCGGGGCUCAUGAAGAAACCAUCACUAAGAUGGAAAGUCAUAGUCAUGACUAUGCCGAUGAGAUAUCGGAUCUCUCUAAUGCUCUUGAGGAAGAGCGUGAGCAUCGUUUGGCUCUUGAGGAGUCACAAAACGAUGGUCAUGCUAAACUAAAGAAAGAUCUUGAUCAUGGUCUUGUUGUGUCUCGUGUUCUAGCUUCUGAGAAGGCUAAACUUGGGGUUGAUCAUGUUAUACUCACGGAGGAGUUUGAUGUACUUGAUAAGGCCCACAAGGUCUUGAAAGGUGCUCAUGCCACCCUCAAGGAGUCUCAUGCUCAACUCCAAGUGAAGCUAACUAAGGAAAAGGCCACAUUUCCUCACAUAGUCUUAAUUGAUAAUGCAAAUGCUACUAACCCAUGUUGUGAGCAUGUGCAUCUUGUGGAGGAAAAUGCCAAGUUGAAGGAACAACUUGAGAAAGGUCUUGUGUCAUGCAUACAAGGCGAGAAGAACCUAAAUGACCUUUUGAGCAAUCAAAAGGAAGUUGUGGGCAAGGAGGGAGUUGGGUUCGCACCCAAGUCCAAGAACAAGAAGAAGAACAAGGAGAAGAAGAGCAAGACCAAUCGACCUCCUCCGCUCACGCAAACCUUUGUGAAGGAGGGAGAAGGUGCUCCUAAGGAGAAUAAGAACAAUGGGAAGAGUGGUGAAGCCAAAGAGCGCAACGCCAUCUCUCCCAACAAAGCCGGCGACUUUAACCCCUCUUAUGUGUUGUGCCGUGCUAGUGAUGGACAUGUUUAUGCUAAAUUUGUUGGUUCUCCUUAUGAGUACAUUGAAUGGUCUAUUUGGGUUCCUAAGACCCUUGUUACUAACAUCAAAGGACCCAUUACUCAAUGGGUACCUAAAACCAAGCAUUGAUCUCUUGUAGGUGUUUGCUUCCGGUGGGGGAUCAUGGUUGCUCGAUAGUGGAGCAACAAAUCAUAUGACCGGGAGCAAGGACUUGGUGGUGGACGUGCACAAUAUCCCAUCUAUGCCCACCAAUGUCGAAUGGGGUGAUGCCUCACAUUCUAAGGUAUUGGGUCUUGGCAAGGUUGUCAUUUCUCAUGAUCUAACGAUCGAGAAAGUCAUGCUUGUUGAGUCCCUUGCGUUCAAUUUACUUUCCGUUCAUCAACUUGCACUCAUGGGUUUUGCCACCUUCUUUGAUAUUGAUACGGUGGCCCUCUUAUGGAGCAAGACUCUUAAAGUAGCCUUUGUUGGGCAUGUCGAGAAUGGUAUCUAUGUGGUUAACUUCUCGGAGCAACCCACUAAGACCGCGACAUGCCUAAUGGCUAAAGUUGAUGUGGGAUGGCUUUGGCAUCGCCGUUUAGCCCACGUCAAUAUGAGAUCUUUGCAAAGUCUUCUCAAGGGGGACCAUGUCCAUGGACUAACGAAUGUUAGUUUUGCCAAAGAUCGUGUUUGCAGUGCUUGUAUCGAAGGAAAGCUUCAUGAGAUGGCUCACCCUCCCACGACUAUCAUCUACUCGAAGAGACCCUUGGAGGUCCUCCACAUGGACCUCUUUGGGCCCCCAUCCUUUGAUAGUCUUGGGGGUAGAAAGUAUUGCUUGGUUAUAGUGGAUGAUUAUUCAAGAUACACGUGGGUAUACUUCUUCAAGAGGAAGAGUGAGACUCAACAAACCGUCAUCGACUUUGCAAAUGAAGCUCAAAGUCAACACAAUGCAAAGAUCUUGACAAUAAGAAGUGACAACGGCACCGAGUUCAAGAACUACACCUUGGAUGAGUUUCUUAGUGAUGAAGGGAUCAAGCAUCAAUAUUCUGCACCAUAUACCCCUCAACAAAAUGGUGUUGCGGAGAGGAAGAACCGGACGUUGAUGGAUGCGGCAAGGACCAUGAUGGCGGAGUUCAAGUCUCCAUACAACUUCUGGGACGAAGCCAUCAACACAGCUUGUCAUGCAUCCAAUCGGCUCUAUCUCCGCAAAGGCUUGAACAAGACUCCGUAUGAGAUACUCACCGGGAACAAGCCCAAUCUCAAGUACUUCCAGGUGUUCGGGUGUAAGUGUUUCAUUCUCAAGAAAGGUGUUCGUUUGUCUAAAUUUGAAGCUAGAGCUCAUGAGGGCAUAUUUGUUGGUUAUGCUACAAACUCUCAUGCUUACCGUGUUCUCAACAAGUCCAACGGACUCAUUGAGGAGACGUGUAACAUAGAGUUUGAUGAAAAUAACGGCUCCCAAGUGGAGCAAAGUGGUACUUGUGAUGUAGGUGAUGAAAUUCCUCCCCAAGCCAUAAGAAUAAUGGGUAUUGGUCAUAUCCUACCCAUUGAGGAACCCCUUGUGGCCGAAGGAGAAGGACAAUGCUCCACUCAAGUGGAGCCAUCACCUCCCCAAGACCCACACGCUUCCGAAGAACAAAGUGAAGGCCCUCACCUUCAUGAACAAGACCAAGGGCAAGAUCAACCUCAAGAUGGAGGUGAACCUCUAAAUGAUGCCCAAGGUCAAGUUCUCCCCCUCGAGCAAGUUCAAGAUCAUGAGCAAGCUCAAGACGGCGCUCAAGAUGAUCAAGUUAACCUUCCUCCUUCCACACCCGAGGAAGAAUUAGAGCGUCGUGCCGCGAAGAUUGCUUCCAAACUCACCACCCAAGGCCAUCUCAUGGAAAACGUGGUUGGAAGUCUAAGAAAGGGGGUAAGCACUCAUAGACAAUUAGCUAACUAUUGUGAACAUCAUGCGUUUGUCUCUUGUGUUGAACCCCAAAAGGUCUAUGAGGCGCUCGAAGACUCGGAUUGGCUCAAUGCCAUGCAUGAAGAACUAAACAACUUCGAGUACAACAAGGUGUGGAGAUUGGUGCCAAGACCUUCGGGGAACCACAACGUCAUUGGAACAAAGUGGAUCUUCAAGAACAAGCAAGAUGCUCAUGGGAACAUCAUUCGCAACAAGGCAAGAUUGGUAGCACAAGGCUACUCCCAAGUCGAGGGCAUCGACUACGGUGAAACCUUUGCUCCCGUUGCUCGUCUUGAAUCCAUUAGUUUGUUGAUUGCUUAUGCUUCCCAUCACAACUUUAAGUUGCAACAAAUGGAUGUGAAAAGUGCUUUUCUUAAUGGUCCCAUUAAUGAGUUGGUUUAUGUCAAGCAACCCCCCGGGUUCGAGGACCCCUACUUCCCGGAUCACGUGUAUCAACUCGAUAAGGCACUCUAUGGCCUUAAACAAGCCCCACGUGCGUGGUAUGACCACCUUACUGAGUUGCUACAAGAUCGUGGAUUUGAAGUAGGACAAAUCGAUCCCACUCUUUUUACUAAGAAGGUCAAAGGGGAGUUGUUUGUAUGCCAACUAUAUGUUGAUGAUAUUAUCUUUGGUUCUCCUAACAAAGCUUUCAAUGAGGAAUUUGCCGCUCUCAUGACCUCCAAGUUCAAGAUGUCUUCGAUGGGAGAGUUGAAGUUCUUCCUUGGUUUUGACAUCAAACAACGAAGAGAAGGAACCUUCAUCAACCAAGCCAAAUACACUCAAGACAUGCUUAAAAGAUUCAAGCUAAGUGAUGUCAAGCCGGCUUCUACACCAAUGCCUACCAAGUGCCAACUUGACAUCAAUCCCAAUGGUAAAGCGGUGGAUCAAAAGGUAUAUCGCUCCAUGAUUGGCUCCUUGCUUUACCUUUGUGCAUCUAGACCGGAUAUCAUGUUGAGUGUGGGGAUGUGUGCACGGUUUCAAGCCGCACCAAAGGAAAGUCACUAUGUGGCGGUCAAGAGAAUCUUUCGAUAUUUGGCUCAUACCCCAAACUUUGGCUUAUGGUACCCAAGAGGAGCAAAUUUCAAGCUUGAAGGUUUCACGGAUUCCGAUUGGGCGGGGGACAAAGUGGAUAGGAAGUCCACUUCCGGAGGGUGCCAAUUUCUUGGUUGCUCUUUGGUAAGUUGGUCUUCCAAGAAGCAAAGUUGUGUGUCCCUCUCGUCCACCGAAGCGGAGUAUGUGGCGGCCGGUAGUUGUUGUGCUCAACUCCUAUGGAUGAGGCAAACUUUAAAGGAGUACGGUGUCAUUUGUGACAAAGUGCCUCUUUGGUGUGAUAAUGAAAGUGCCAUCAAGAUUUCUCUCAACCCGGUACAACACUUCAAGACGAAGCACAUUGAGAUUCGGUAUCACUUCAUCCGGGAUCACAUUAGGCAAGGGGAGAUCGAGCUCAAGUAUGUCAACACUCAUGAUAACCUUGCAGAUAUUUUCACGAAGCCCUUGGAUGAAGCAAGAUUUCGCGAGUUAAGGCAUGAGCUAAAUAUCAUUGAUUCGAGCAAUGUGACUUGAACCCGUACACCCCCCACCACACUCAACGUGUUGUCUAGUUUAGGUGUAGGCAUGGACAUAGGGGGAGUGUUGUUCUCUCAAUGAACUCUCCCUCCCCCCAUUAUGCAUAAAUCGAUCACCUCUUUCACAUUAGCCAUUUUUAAUGGUACUUGUGCUUCAAAGACGAGUUUUGGUCAUGGGCCCAAGGAUAAUUCUUCGCGGUGCCAUACCAUCCAACUCAAACAUAGGUGGCUUCGGCCACCACCCUCUCUCCUCGAGAGGCUUUGUCGCUUGGUGGUUUCUUGUUGUCUUUUUGCCUCUGGUUUGUGCGUGUUCUUGUGGUUUCUUGUGUGUGAAAGUUUCCGUGCAAAGGCUUUUUCUUAUCGUGUUGAAACUUGCGGUGACUUGAGCUCACGGUACUACCGCGGCCAGAUACGGUACUACCGCAGCCAGCCAUGGUACUACCGCUUGCGGGAGCACGGUACUACCGUCACCACGCGGCAGUAAUUUUUUACUGCCGCCUGGUUGAGCGGUACUUCCGCCCGAGCGGUACUACCGCGAUGAUACGCGGUACUACCACGUCGGUUCGAGCGCGUGGGGAUAAGGAUGGGCAGGGGGAGUUUUAACUCCCCAUACCCAUUCGCUGUCCUCUCUCUCCAUGUCGCCUCCUUCUCUCCCUCGCUCAAGAACGGAGCCGGCGUUCAUCGCCGGAUCUCCUCCACCGGCUGCCCUCCCGUGAUUCCGACCGGUGGGAUCGUUCCCCACCACGUGCUCUUGAUAUGGACCAAGGUUUUUCCCCAACUCCCUCUCCGUGUUGAUUGUGUUUAGUGUUUCUAGGUUUUUGGGGAGGCUUGUGUGUUCUUGAGAUUCUUAGGCUUAAUCUCUGCAAGAGUAGGAUGAAGGAGCGUGGUAUUGCAUAGGAUUUAUACUUGUAUUAUUGUCUUGCGCUAGAUCGGAUCACCGUAGCACCGCCAUUGUUUCGCGGUUCUUUUCAGAUUCAAACCGCCAGUUGGAUCUGAUGCGACGCGGUACUACCGCCCGUCUGGCGCGGUACUAUCGCUUGCACGGUACUACCGCGCGUCUGGCGCGGUACUACCGCUUGCACGGUACUACCGCCCUUCGGGAGCGGUACUACCGCGCUCUGUGCGGUACUAAAAUUUUACUUCCGCUCCAACCACGGUACUACUGUGACCUCGCACGGUACUACCGCGUUUGGAGCAGUACUGAUAUUUUAGUACCGCAGGCAGUGGCAGUUCUACCGUGGCUCACAUCUAUCGCAUGCCAACUUUCUCGUAUGCCUUCUAUGUGUUUAUUGUGCUUUUUCGUGGCCUUUGCAUUGAUCCUUUCGUGUCUUUGGUGUUUUGCGUGUGUGUCUCAGGUGGCGGCUCUCGCCGGUCCAACCCCAGUCGUGACACUGGUUCCAAACGUCUGCGCAACCCGGGUGAUGUACCAGAGGGCUCGUCUGCCUCCAAGCGCAAUGUCAAGCACUCAACUAGCAAGCACAAGGAGCCCGCUAAGGGCAUGGAUGAGAUAGCCCAAGCUGAUUAUGUCCGUCUCAGGCAGCUUCACCCUUAUGUGCACCCGCGUUCCACUUUCAGAGGCUGUGAGCUGUUCUGGAACAAGCAACAGACCAACAUCUAUCUGGAUGUCAUCAAGAACAAGCAGAAUACCUAUGUGGAGGUGAAGUGGAUUGAUAUGCAUCACAUGAGGAAGAACAAGUUCCGUGACUACUUUGGAGAGGCUCUGGACUUGGUGGAGCAGUUUGGUAUUGAGCAUGUGUUAACCUUCCACCUCGACUAUGACCCUGAGCUUAUCUGUCAGUUCUUUGCCUCAGUCUACUUUCACUCCGAUGAGGAAUGGAGGAUGACCUGGAUGACCAAUGGUCGUAAGCUGUCUGCUACCUGGAAGGAGUUCAUGGAUCUUCUCCAGGUUCCUGAUGAUGGGCUCAACUCUCUAGUGGGUGUUCGCCCCCAUGCCAAUGAUGAGUCUGCCAGCAAGGACAGGCUUUCCCCAUUCAUGGUUGAGAAGGCGCUCGCCAAUGGCAAGACAACUUUGGUGCUCAACCCUUUCCUGGAUAUCAUGUAUCGCAUCUUCCGCAACUCCCUGUUCCCUCGCAUCGGUGACAAAGACAAGGUUCAUGCCUAUAUGGUGGACAUGAUGCUCAUCUGCGAGGAGGCUCGUUCUUCUCAGUCUCAGCCACUUGAUGUCUCACACAUCAUGUGGUGUGAGCUCCGGUUUGCAGUGUUCAACCGCAAGGUGCCUAUCUAUGGGCCCUAUCUGUUUCUGCUGAUUUCAAAGACUUGGGAGAAGAUGUUCCCUGAUGAGGAGUUUCUUGCUCCAGACUGGGUUCGCCAUGAGCCCCUGCCUGCGUAUCAAAUCCAACUGGGCCAACACCACUACUCGUGCCGAGGCGACUGCUGCUAGGGCUGCUGUUGAUGAGGAGGAUGAUGGCGCCGAGGAUGUUGCUGAGGGCCGUGCUGCUAGGCCUUCCCAGAGUGCCGCUAUGCCAUCAUGGGCCAAGAAGCUGAAGGACAAGAUGAAGACUCUUUUCUGCAUGCAAGCCAAGGGGCAGUACAGGACUCACGUGGCGUCCAAGGAGAGUCGUCGCCGGGACAACAAGAUCCUGCAGCUCUAUGGUGAGGCAGUGUCUGGGGGUCUGAGGAGCACAUCACUCCAGAGGCCGAGUGGAUGGAGAAGCAGGGCUACAGGUGGACUGAGUCUGAGGAGGAUGUCGAGGAGUCCAUCCCUGCUACCGAGAGACCGACGGAGAGGCUUGGGACGAGUUCUCUGCUUGAGCCACCUCUUGUGUGUAGGUGUCCUCUCUGCCUUUUUGGCGUCUCGAUGCCAAAGGGGGAGAGAGUGUAGGGAUUUGCGAGUGUGUCGUGUGUUUGCUGCUUUCUCGUUUGAACUAUUUGCUGCUUUCUCGUUUGAACCUCGGUAGCUUUACUUCGUAUGGUGUAAGACAUAUGCACUCUAUCUAUCCUAGCGAGCUUGUGUUAUAUUGUGCUAUCUUUAUGCUAUGCUAUGCUUAUUAUCAUGCCUUGGUCUCUAAAAUAUAGGGGGAGUGUUGAUCCUAGUCUGUGUGCUAUGCAGUCCAAAGCAUUCAUCUAAAGUGCACACAUCUAGGGGGAGCCCGUCUAUAUUUUAGAGAGGUGGGGUUUGCCCCUGCUCUAAAUUAUCUUAUCUAUAUGCAAAUCCCGUGUUGUCAUCAAUCCACCAAAAAGGGGGAGAUUGUAAGGGCAUAUUUAUCCCUCAGGUGUUUUGGUGAUUGAUGACAAUGCAUUUGCGGACUAAUUGUGUGCCAUGAGUUUCUCAGGUUAUUCAUCUCUAGGCACGAGACGAUUCGGUGCCCCUCGGAGACUUUUGAAGUCGGCGUUGUUCUACGUUUCUCUUUGGUGGAUUUGAGUCGUAGGAGAGCCGUACUAUUAAGAGGGGGUCCGCAUCGGAAAUGUUUGGGUGGAAUCAACACAUACACUUGUCCCUCCUUUCCCUGCAUUUUGGAGCUUCCCCUUGUUAUCUUGGUUGUGCGGAAAUCUGACGACUACUGCUGUACUUGCGGUAGUACCGCAAGUACACGCGGUAGUACCGCUAUGUGUCACGGUAGUACCGCUCAUCUGGAGCGGUAGUACCGCGGCUCCCAGGCCUUGUGCCGCUCCGGUGCGGUAGUAGGGGCGGAUGUAAUUUUUUACAUCCGCGCCCUCCACGGUAGUACCGCUCGUCCAGCGCGGUAGUACCGCGGGGGCCCACGGUAGUACCGCUCCCUAGGAGUCGUAGUACCGUGGCCCUCCUACCUAGUACCGCAGUGUCGCGGUUGUAGGCGCGGAUGUAAUUUUUUACAUCCGUGCCCGCACGGUAGUACCGCGCCUCGUGAGCGGUAGUGCCGCGUCGGAUUUUUGUACCACCUCUGUUUCAGCGGAAGUAGGCACGGAUGCAAUUUAUUUCAUCCGCGCCCUUCCCAGGCCGUGACUUUCCUGCCUAGCGGUAGUACCGCAAGUGGGUGCGGUAGUACCACACAAGCGGUAGUACUGCCCCCUUGUCAGGCUAGUUCCGGCCUGUGCUGCUGUCGCGGUAGUACUGUGGUCAGCCACGGUAGUACCGCACAGCUUCGCGGUAGUACCGCUCCCCUGGAGCGGUAGUACCGUGUGUCGCCGGCUGAACAUGUGGAUAACGGUUGGAUUCUUUCCACGACUAUAUAAGGGGUGUCUUCUACCUCUAGUUGACUACCUCUUCCAUCUCUAAGCUCCAUUGUUGCUCCAAGCUCCAUUUUCACUCGAUCUCUCUCCCUAGCCAAUCAAACUUGUUGAUUUGCUCGGGAUUGGGUGACAAGUGCCCGAUCUACACUUCCACCACAGGAUAUUUGAUUCCACCCACUUAUCCCUAGCGGAUCUUGUUACUCUUGGGUGUUGAGCACCCUAGACGGUUGAGGUCACCUCGAAGCCAUACUCCAUUGUGGUGAAGCUUCGCGGUAUUGUUGGGAGCCUCCAAGUGUUGUGGAGAUUGCCCCAAUCUUGUUUGUAAAGGUCCGGUUGCCGCCUUCAAGGGCUCCAAUAGUGGAAUCACGGCAUCUCGCAUUGUGUGAGGGCGUGAGGAGAUUACGGUGGCCCUAGUGGCUUCUUGGGGAGCAUUGUGCCUCCACACCGCUCUAACGGAGACGUACUUCCCCUUAAAAGGAAGGAACUUCGGUAACACAUCCUCGUCUCCACCGGCUCCACUGUUGGUUAUCUUGUCCCUUUACUUUUGCAAGCUUACUUGUGCUAUAUCCAUUGCUUGCUUGUGUGCUUAUUGUCUUUGCAUCAUAUAGGUUGUCCACGUAGUUGCACAUCUAGACAACCUAUUUCAUUGCAAGUUUUUUAAAUUGUUAAAGAAAAGUCUAAAAAGUGUUAGUUGCCUAUUCACCCCCCCUCUAGUCAACCAUAUCGAUCCUUUCAACUGUCCAAACAUACACAUUUUUGCUUUCUAGAUGGUUAUUUUGGUUUCUCUCAGAUACCUGUGUUAGCGAAGGAUCAAUCUAAAACUACUUUUACUUGCCCUUUUGGUACUUUUGCUUAUAGACGUAUGCCUUUUGGUUUAUGUAAUGCACCUGCUACCUUUCAAAGAUGCAUGAUGGCUAUAUUCUUUGAUUUUUGUGAAAAGAUUUGUGAGGUAUUCAUGGAUGACUUCUCCGUCUAUGGAUCCUCCUUUGAUGAUUGUUUGAGCAACCUUGAUCGAGUUUUGCAGAGAUGCGAAGACACUAGUCUCGUCCUGAAUUGGGAAAAGUGUCACUUUAUGGUUAAUGAAGGCAUUGUCUUGGGGCACAAGAUCUCCGAGCGAGGUAUUGAAGUUGAUAAAGCCAAAGUUGAUGCUAUUGAAAAGAUGCCAUGUCCCAAGGACAUAAAAGGUAUAAGAAGUUUCCUUGGUCAUGCCGGUUUUUAUAGGAGGUUCAUUAAGGACUUUUCUAAAAUCUCUAGGCCUCUGACUAAUUUAUUGCAAAAAGAUAUUCCUUUUGUCUUUGAUGAUGAUUGUGUAGAAGCUUUUGAAACACUUAAGAAAGCUUUGAUCACUGCACCUAUUGUUCAGCCACCUGAUUAGAAUUUACCUUUUGAAAUUAUGUGCGAUGCUAGUGAUUAUGAUGUAGGUGAUGUUCUUGGGCAAAGAGUUGAUAAGAAAUUGAAUGUUAUCCAGUAUGCUAGUAAGACUCUUGAUACUGCCCAGAGAAAUUAUGCUACUACUAAAAAAGAGUUCUUAGCAGUUGUGUUUGCUUGUGAUAAGUUUAGACCCUAUAUAGUUGAUUCCAAAGUUACUAUUCACACUGAUCAUGCUGCUAUUAAAUAUCUUAUGGAAAAGAAAGAUGCUAAGCCUAGACUCAUUAGAUGGGUUCUCUUGCUCCAAGAAUUUGACUUGCAUAUUAUUGAUAGAAAAGGAGCUGAGAACCCCGUUGCAGAUAACUUGUCUAGGUUAGAGAAUGUUCUUGAUGACCCACUGCCUAUUAAUGAUAGCUUUCAUGAUGAACAAUUAGCGGUCGUCAAUGCUUCUCGUACUGCUCCUUGGUAUGCUGAUUAUGCUAAUUACAUUGUUGCUAUAUUUAUACCGCCUAGUUUCACAUACCAGCAAAAGAAAAAGUUCUUUUAUGAUUUAAGACAUUACUUCUAGGAUGAUCCACACCUUUAUAAAGAAGGAGUAGAUGGUGUUAUUAGACGUUGUGUGCCUGAGCAUGAAUAGGAACAAAUUCUACGUAAGUGUCACUCUGAAUCUUAUGGAGGACACCACGCUGGAGAUAGAACUGCACACAAGGUACUACAAUCUGGUUUUUAUUGGCCUACUCUUUUCAAAGAUGCUCAUAAGUUUGUCUUAUGCUGUGAUGAAUGUCAAAGAAUAGGUAACAUUAGUAGACGACAAGAAAUGCCUAUGAAUUACUCUCUUGUUAUUGAACCAUUUGAUAUUUGGGGCUUUGAUUAUAUGGGACCUUUUCCUGCCUCUAAUGGUUAUACACAUAUUUUAGUUGCUAUUGAUUACGUUACUAAGUGGGUAGAAGCUAUUCCAACUAGUAGUGCUGAUCAUAACACUUCUAUUAAAAUGCUUAAAGAAGUUAUUUUUUCGAGGUUUGGAGUCCCUAGAUAUCUUAUGACUGAUGGCGGUUCACAUUUUAUUCAUGGUGCUUUCCGUAAGAUGCUUGCUAAGUAUGAUGUCAAUCAUAGAAUCAUAUCUCCUUAUCAUCCGCAGUAUAGUGGUCAAGUAGAGUUGAGCAAUAGAGAGCUCAAAUUAAUUUUGCAAAAGACUGUGAAUAGAUCUAGAAAGAAUUGGUCCAAAAAACUUGAUGAUGCAUUAUUGGCCUAUAGAACUGCAUACAAAAAUCCUAUGGGUAUGUCUCCUUAUAAGAUGGUUUAUGGAAAAGCGUGUCAUUUACCUCUUGAACUUGAACAUAAGGCAUAUUGGGCUAUCAAAGAGCUCAAUUAUGACUUCAAACUUGCCGGUGAGAAGAGGUUAUUCGAUAUUAGCUCACUUGAUGAAUGGAGAACCCAAGCAUAUGAGAGUGCCAAGCUUUUCAAAGAAAAAGUCAAACACUGGCAUGAUAAGAGGAUACAAAAGCGUGAGUUUAACGUAGGAGAUUAUGUGUUAUUAUUCAACUCUCGCUUAAGAUUUUUUGCAGGAAAACUUCUCUCAAAAUGGGAAGGUCCCUAUGUUAUCGAGGAGGUCUAGCAUUCUGGUGCUAUAAAAAUCAACAACUUCGAAGGCACGAAUCCGAGGGUGGUAAACGAUCAAAGAAUUAAACACUAUAUUUCAGGUAAUCCUAUCAAUGUUGAAACUAAUAUUAUUGAAACCAUAACCCCUGAGGAAUACAUAAGGGACACUUUCCAGAACGUUCCAGACUCCGAAAAGGCAUAGGUAUGUGGUACGGUAAGUAAACCGACUCCAAAACAACUCCAAUGGCAAUUUUUAUCAGUUUUGGAUUAUUUAAGAAUUUUAGGAAGAAAGAAGUAGUCCGAAAGGGACACGAGGCUCCCAUGAGAGUGGAGGGUGCCCCCCUGUAGGGCGCGCCCCCCUGUCUCGUGGGCACCUCGUGUGCCCCCGGACUCCAUUUUCUUGUAUGUUACGUAUUUUGGUCGGUAAAAAUUCAUUAUAUAUACUCCCGAAGGUUUUUACCACCGUGUCACACAAAUAUCCUCUGUUUUCGUUUUGAGCUGUUUCUGUUUCAGAUCUAGAGCAUCAUGGCGUCUCCAAGCGCUCCCGAGGACAAGUUUUUUAGAGGGUUAUCAACCCCUAUCUCGCGGAGGUGCUGCAACACCCUCAAACCAUUGAGAUGCAUGAGGGGGUGCUGCACAUCCGCGAUGUGGAGGGACCAAGGCGUACCGGAAGCAUGGAGACAAAGCUCGAAGGCAUGGAGCAGGAAGUUUUCAAGUGUCAAGGGAUGGUGGAGCGUGGACUCAACGCCAACCAGAUGAUGAUCACGGAGUUCACCAACAAUCACAAGCUAGAUGCUAAAGUCAUUGGGGAGACCAUCUUCAAGCUUCAAGAGAAAAUCGAGCACCUCCAGGCCCAAAUCUAUGACCUGCAAAACCAGAACUGUGAGUAUGAAUAUAGAUUCAAACGAAUGAGUUUGGCUGCAAAUUUAAGGAUCCCGGAGACUCGAUCGUCCUUUUAUGAUGGAGAACCUAUGCCUUGGAAGACGGACGAUAAGCCUACAUCAUCAACAACUCCUACUUCACCACCUCCGAGGAAAUAAUCACAUGGGUACGGGCACUCCCCUUGGAAACUGCCAAGCUUGAGGGAGGUGCCCCGGUAUCGUAUCACCAUCACACUCCUAUCUUUACCGCUUUAUUUAGUUCGAUCCUUUUAGUAGUAUCUUGAUUUAGUAGUUUGAAGUUUUGAUAUCAAGUAGUUUGAGUUUUGCAUUGUGAUCUCUUUAUGUAAUUGAGUCUGUGUGCUAUCUAUAAUAAAGUUUAGUGUUGAGUCAAGGGCUUUGCUAUGUGCUAUGAUCUUGAGAAAGUAGAAAGAAUAAAAGAGUUCAUAUUGAUCUUAUGGAUAGUGAUAACUUCACACAUAGAAAGUAUGAGGCAUAAAAAUUGUUGAGAGUUGAUGAACGUAGCCUUGGUCAUCGUUGCAAUUAAUAGGAAGUGAUAAGGAAAGAGGGGUUCACAUAUAGAUAUAUUAUCUUGGACAUCUUUUAUGAUUGUGAAGCACCCAUUAAGUAUGACAUGCUAAAAGAGUUGAUGUUGGACAAGGAAGACAACGUAAUGGUUUAUGUUUACUGACAUCUCAGUUAAAGUAUAUUGUCAUUGACCUUCCAAACAUGUUGAGCUUGCCUUUCCCCCUCAUGCUAGCCAAAUUCCUCGCACCAACUAGAAAUACUACUUGUUCUUCCAAAUAUCCUUAAACCCAGUUUUGCCAUGAGAGUCCACCAUACCUACCUAUGGAUUGAGUAAGAUCCUUCAAGUAAGUUGUCAUCGGUGCAAGCAAUAAAAAUUGCUCUCUAAAUAUGUAUGACUUAUUAGUGCAGAGAAAAUAAGCUUUGUACGAACUUGUUGUGGAAGUAAUAAAAGCAACGGACUGCAUAAUAAAGGUCCACACACAAGGGGCAAUAUAAAGUGACGUUCUUUUGCAUUAAGAUUUCAUGCAUCAACCCUAAACGCGCAUGACAACCUCUGCUUCCCUCUGCGAAGGGCCUAUCUUUUACUUUAUGUUUUUACUUUAUGCUUGAGUCAAGGUGAUCCUCACCUUUCCCUUUUUAUUUUUAUCCUUUGGCAAGCUCCUCGUGUUUGAAAGAACAUGAUAUAUAUAUCUAAUUGGAUGUAAGUUAGCAUGGGCUAUUAUUGUUGGCAUCACCUAAAGGUGAAUAUGUGAGGAGGCAACACAAUAAGCCCCUACUUUCUCAGUGUCCGGCUGAAACUCUAUAACCACAAGUACUGCGUGAGUGUUAGCAAUUGUAGGAGACUACGAGAUAGUUGAGUAUGUGAGCUUGUUAAAAAUCUCUAUUAUUGACCCUUUCUGAGGUUACGAUAAAUUGCAAUUGCUUCAGUGACUGAGAUUAUAGUUUGUUAGUUCCCAAUGAAGUUUCUGAACCAUACUUGAUAUUGUGAAUUGCUUGUUACUUGAGCAUAGGAAAUCAUAUGACAAAAUUUAUAUAUGUUACUGUUAUUAGAAUGAUCAUGAUGCCCUCAUGUCCGUAUUUUAUUUUUAUCGACACCUCUAUCUCUAAACAUGCAGACAUAUUUUUUGAUUUCGGCUUCCGCUUGAGGACAAGCGAGGUCUAAGCUUGGGGGAGUUGAUACGUCCAUUUUGCAUCAUGCUUUUAUAUCAAUAUGUAAUGCAUUAUGGGAUGUUAUUAUACAUUAUAUCUCAAUACUUAUGGCUAUUCUCUCUUAUUUUACAAGGUUUACCAUGAAGAGGGGGAAUGCCGGCAGCUGGAAUUCUGGCUGAAAAAGGGGUAAACGUUGGAAACCUAUUCUGCACAACUUCAAAAGUCCUGAAACUCCACGAAAUAAAAUUUUGGAAUUAAUAAGAAUUUAUGAGUGAAAGAAAUAGGCCAGGGGGCCCACACCCUGUCCAGGAGACAGCCCCCCCUAUAGGGCGCGCCCCUAUCUCCUGGGCCCCCUGGUGGGCCUCCGGCGUCCAUCUUCUGCUAUACCAUCACUUUUACCCUGGAAAAAAAUCCUGGGCAAGCUUACGGGACGAAACUCCGCCGCCACGAGGCGGAACCUUGGCGGAAUCAAUCUAGGGCUCUGGCGGAGCUGUUCUGCCGGGGACACUUCCCUCCGGGAGGGGGAAAUCAUCACCAACGUCAUCACCAAUGAUCCUCUCAUCGGGAAGGGGUCAAUCUUCAUCAACAUCUUCAUCAGCACCAUCUCAUCUCAAACCCUAGUUCAUUUCUUGUAUCCAAUCUUGUAUCAAAACCACAAAUUUGUACCUGUGGGUUGCUAGUAGUGUUGAUUACUCCUUGUAGUUGAUACUAAUUGGUUUACUUGGUGGAAGAUCAUAUGUUCAGAUCCUUUAUGAAUAUUAUUACCCCUCUGAUUAUGAACAUGAAUAUGCUUUGUGAGUAGUUACGUUUGUUCCUGAGGACAUGGGAGAAGUCUUGCUAUUAGUAGUCAUUUGAAUUUGGUAUUCGUUCGAUAUUUUGAUGAGAUGUAUGUUGUCUUUUCCUCUAGUGGUGUUAUGUGAACGUCGACUACAUGACACUUCACCAUCAUUUGGGCCUAGAGGAAGGCAUGGGGAAGUAAUAAGUAGAUGAUGGGUUGCUAGAGUGACAGAAGCUUAAACCCUAGUUUAUGCGUUGCUUCGUUAAGGGUUGAUAUGGAUCCAUAUGUCUAAUGCUAUGGUUAGGUUUACCUUAAUACUUAUUUUUGUAGUUGCGGAUGCUUGCAAUAGGGGUUAAUCAUAAGUGGGAUGCUUGUCCAAGUUAGGUCAGUACCCAAGUACCGGUCCACCCACAUAUCAAAUUAUCAAAGUACCGAACGCGAAUCAUUUGAGCGUGAUGGAAACUAGCUUGACGAUAAUUCCCAAUGUGUCCUCAAGAGCUCCUUCCUCAUUAUUAGAAAUUGUCCAGGCUUAUCCUUUGCUACAUAAAGGAUUGGACCACCUUCCUGCACUUUAUUUACUUUAUUUACUUGUUGCUAAUUACUAUUUAUCUUAUCACAAAACUAUCUAUUACCUACAAUUUCAGUGCUUGCAGAGAAAACCUUACUGAAAACCGCUUAUCAUUUCCUUCUGCUCCUCGUUGGGUUCGACACUCUUACUUAUCGAAAGGACUACGAUAGAUCCCCUACACUUGUGGGUCAUCACCCCACUGGAAGAAGAGCACUUCAGGUCUCUUCGCUUCUUGUGACAAUCUGACUCUGGGUGACUUGGCCUGUUGUAGUAGCCACAGAAGGUGUGGGAGCGCGACCGACCCUCCCCUGAAGGUGUGGGCAGAAGUGGUGGAGCAGAAGACAUAGGAGCACGGGCAGCAAGACAGUAGGAACCACAAGAAGACCAGCAGACCGGAGGCGUGUCUCCUCAGCACGAAGCUCUGCAAGCACCUCCGAAAUAGGAACACGACCACGAGCAAGCAUGUGAGCAUGGCGAGGCUCAAACUCAGACCGGAGGCGAGAUAAGAACUCAUGAACCCUCUGAAACUCUAAGUCAGACCUCGUAGUCUGGUAACAACGACAAGUGCCACAAACAAUUGUCUGCAGUGAGUCAAGCUGACGCCAGAUGGCAGAGCACUGAGAGUAGAACUCAUCAACAGACGAGUCACCCUGCUGAAGAGCAUGCUCCUGACGCACCACAGAGAGGUACAGAGCAUUGCAGAGGGCUGAUAGCGCUGACAAAGAUAGGACCACAUCGCUGCAAUAGUGCCGAGGCCCAUGAACUCCAAAGCAAACUGAGGGAGGACACUCGCAAUGAGAACAACAGCAGCACGAGCAUCAUCAUUACACCACUGAGUGUAAGUAGACAGAUCAUCCCGAUAGACAGAAAGAGCAUCGGAAUAUGCAGAUACCUAUUGAUCGUAGGUAGCAACGGCAGCAUCAUCAAAGGCCUUGGCGGCAUCCCGAUCAGCCUGUGAAGCCUCAGCAGCAAGCACCGGUGGUACUGGCAAAACAAGAGAAACUGUAGCAACAGGACAUGGCGGACAGGAUACCUCUCCAGAUAAAACGCCCCACAGCAGAAGACCGCACAUGUGAAUACGCAUGAAGCCCGCAAACUCGGCAUAGUUAGUGCCAUCGAAGAUCACCGAGCACCGAGGAACAACGACAUAGCCCGAAGAAGACAUGAGGGAGUCACUCUUCGCGUCCAUGUUUUUUUGGUCAACACAGAACACCCGAGUAGAGUCCGGAGCGAGGGGCCCAAACUGUAUUCGGCUCGAGAGGCCCGAAGUGUAUGCGGGAGGAGCCCCGUGUUGGAGAAUGUUGCAGAAAAUAAAAAAUUUCUACGCUUCACCAAGAUCAAUCUAUGGAGUCAUCUAGCAACGAGAGAGAGGAGUGCAUCUACAUACCCUUGUAGAUCACGAGCGGAAGCGUUCAAGAGAACGGGGUAGAUGGAGUCGUACUCGUCGUGAUCCAAAUCACCGAUGAUCCUAGCGCCGAACGGACGGCACCUCCGCGUUCAACACACGUACGGUUGGGAGAGACGUCUCCUCCUUCUUGAUCCAGCAAGGGGGAAGGAGAGGUUGAUGGAGAUCCAGAAGCACGGCGACGUGGUGGUGGAAGUAGCGGGGAUCUCGACAGGGCUUCACCAAGCUCAGCGAGAGGGAGAGGUGUUACGGGGGGAGAGGAAGGCGCCAGGGGCUUGGGUGUGCAGCCCUCCCUCCCCCCUCUUUAUAUAGGGGCCCUGGGGGGGCGGCCCCCUAGAGAUCCAAUCUCAAGGGGGGGGGGGAGGGGGCGGCCAAAGGGGAGAACUUGCCCCCCAAGUCAGGUGGGGCGCCCCCACCCCCAGGGUUUCCAACCCUAGGCGCAGGGGGAGGCCCAAGGGGGGCGCACCAGCUCACCAGGGGCUGGUUCCCUUCCCACUUCAGCCCAUGGGGCCCUCCGGGAUAGGUGUCCCCACCCGGUGGACCCCCGGGACCCUUCCGGUGGUCCCGGUACAAUACCGGUGACCCCCGAAACUUUCCCGAUGGCCGAAACUGGACUUCCUAUAUACAAAUCUUUACCUCCGGGCCAUUCCGGAAAUCCGUCCGGGAUCUCAUUCGGGACUCCGAACAACUUUCGGGUUACCGCAUACUAAUAUCUCUACAACGCUAGCGUCACCAAACCUUAAGUGUGUAGACCCUACGGGUUCGGGAAUCACGCAGACAUGACCGAGACAGCUCUCCGGCCAAUAACCAACAGCAGGAUUUGGAUACCCAUGUUGGCUCCCACAUGUUCCACGAUGAUCUCAUCGAAUGAACCAUGAUGUCGAGGAUUCAAGUAAUCCCGUAUACAAUUCCCUUUCUCAAUCAGUAUGUUACUUGCCCGAGAUUCGAUCAUCGGUAUCUCAGUACCUCAUUCAAUCUCGUUACCGGCAAGUCACUUUACUCGUACCAUAAUGCAUUAUCCCAUGACCAACCACUUGGUCACAUUGAGCUCAUUAUGAUGAUGCAUUACCGAGUGGGCCCACAGAUACCUCUCCGUCACACGGAGUGACAAAUCCCAGUCUCGAUUCGUGUCAACCCAACGGACACUUUCGGAGAUACCUGUAGUAUACCUUUAUAGCCACCCAGUUACGUUGUGAUGUUUGGUACACCCAAAUCACUCUUACGGUAUCCGGGAGUUACAAGAUCUCAUGGUCUAAGGAACUGAUACUUGGCAUUAGAAAAGCUCUAGCAAACGAACUACACGAUCUUGUGCUAUGCUCAGGACUGGGUCUUGUCCAUCACAUCAUUCUCCCAAUGAUGUGAUUCCGUUAUCAAUGACAUCGAAUGUCCAUGGUCAGGAAACCGUAACCAUUCAUUGAUAAACGAGCUAGUCAACUAGAGGCUCACUAGGGACAUGUUGUGGUCUAUGUAUUCACACAUGUAUUACGAUUACUGGAUAACACAAUUAUAGCAUGAACAAUAGACAAUUAUCAUGAACAAGGAAAUAUAAUAAUAACCAAUUUAUUAUUGCCUCUAGGGCAUAUUUCCAACAGUCUCCCACUUGCACUAGAGUCAAUAAUCUAGUUACGUUGUGAUGAAUCAAACACCCAUAGAGUUCUGGUGUUGAUCAUGUUUUGCUCGCGGAAGAGGUUUAGUCAACGGAUCUACGACAUUCAGAUCCGUAUGCACUUUACAAAUACCUAUGUCUCCAUCUUGAACAUUUUCAUGAAUGGAGUUGAAGAGACGCUUGAUGUGCCUGGUCUUCUUGUGAAACCUGGGCUCCUUGGCAAGGGAAAUGGCUCCAGUGUUGUCACAGGAGAGAGUCAUCGGCCCCGACGCAUUGGGAAUAACUCCUAGGUCGGUAAUGAACUCCUUCAUCCAGAUUGCUUCAUGUGCUGCCUCCGAGGCUGCCAUGUACUCCGCUUCACAUGUAGAUCCCGCCACGCCGCUUUGCUUGCAACUGCACCAGCUUACUGCCCCACCAUUCAAAAUAUACACGUAUCCGGUUUGUGACUUAGAGUCAUCCAGAUCUGUGUCGAAGCUAGUGUCGAUGUAACCCUUUACGACGAGCUCUUCGUCACCUCCAUAAAUGAGAAACAUAUCCUUAGUCCUUUUCAGGUACUUUAGGAUAUUCUUGACUGCUGUCUAGUGUUCCAUGCCGGGAUUACUUUGGUACCUUCCUACCAAACUUACGACAAGGUUUACAUCAGGUCUGGUACACAGCAUAGCAUACAUAAUAGACCCUAUAGCCGAGGCAUAGGGGAUGCCACUCAUCUUUUCUCUAUCUUCUGUCGUGGUCGGGCAUUGAGCUGAGCUCAAUUUCACACCUUGCAACACAGGCAAGAACCCCUUCUUGGAAUGAUCCAUAUUGAUCUUCUUCAAUAUCUUAUCAAGGUAUGUGCUUUGUGAAAGACCUAUGAGGCAUCUCGAUCUAUCUCUAUAGAUCUUGAUGCCUAAUAUGUAAGCAGCUUCUCCAAGUUUCUUCAUUGAAAAACACUUAUUCAAGUAGGCCUUAAUGCUGACCAAAAGUUCUAUAUCAUUUCCGAUCAAAAGUAUGUCAUCUACAUAUAAUAUGAGAAAUGCUACAGAGCUCCCACUCACUUUCUUGUAAAAGCAGGCUUCUCCAUAAGUCUACAUAAACCCAAACGCUUUGAUCAUUUCAUCAAAGCGAAUGUUCCAACUCCGAGAUGCUUGCACCAGCCCAUAGAUGGAGCGCUGGAGCUUGCAUACCUUGUUAGCAUUCUUAGGAUCGACAAAACCUUCCGGCUGCAUCAUAUACAAUUCUUCCUUAAGAUAAUUGUUAAGGAAUGCCAUUUCGACGUCCAUUUGCCAUAUCUCAUAAUCAUAGUAUGCGGCAAUUGCUAACAUGAUUCAGACGGACUUCAGCUUUGCCACGGGAGAGAAAGUCUCAUCGUAGUCAACCCCUUGAACUUGUCGAUAACCCUUAGCGACAAGUCGAGCCUUAUAGAUGGUAACAUUACCAUCCGCGUCCGUCUUCUUCUUAAAGAUCCAUUUAUUUUCUACCGCUUGCCGAUCAUCGGGCAAGUCUGUCAAAGUCCAUACUUUGUUUUCAUACAUGGAUCCUAUCUCGGACUGCAUGGCUUCAAGCCAUUUGUUGGAGUCUGGGCCCACCAUCGCUUCUUCAUAGUUCGAAGGUUCACCGUUGUCUAACAACAUGAUUUCCAGGACAGGGUUGCCAUACCAUUCUGGUGUGGAACGUGUCCUUGUGGACCUUCGAAGUUCAGUAGCAACUUGAUCCAAAGUACCUUGAUCAUCAUCAUUAACUUCCUCUCUAGUCGGUGCAGGCACCACAGGAACAUCUUCCUGAGCUGCGCUACUUUCCGGUUCAAGAGGCAGUACUUUAUCAAGUUCUACUUUCCUCCCACUUAUUUCUUUCGAGAGAAACUCUUUCUCCAGAAAGGACCCGUUCUUGGCAACAAAGAUCUUGCCUUCGGAUAUAAGGUAGAAGGUAUACCCAAUGGUUUCCUUAGGGUAUCCUAUGAAGACGCAUUUUUCUGACUUGGGUUCGAGCUUUUCAGGUUGAAGUUUCUUGACAUAAGCAUCGCAUCCCCAAACUUUUAGAAACGACAGCUUAGGUUUCUUCCCAAACCAUAAUUCAUAUGGUGUCGUCUCAACAGAUUUAGACUGUGCCCUAUUUAAAGUGAAUGUAGCUAUCUCUAGAGCGUAUCCCCAAAAUGAUAGCGGUAAAUCGGUGAGUGACAUCAUAGAUCGCACCAUAUCCAAUAGAGUGCGAUUACGACAUUCGGACACACGGUUACGCUGAGGUGUUCCAGGCGGCGUGAGUUGUGAAAUGAUUCCACAUUUCCUUAAGUGUGUACCAAAUUCGUGACUUAAAUAAUCUCCCCCAUGAUCUGAUCGUAAAAACUUUAUCUUUCGAUCACGUUGAUUCUCUACCUCACUCUGAAAUUCCUUGAACUUUUCAAAGGUCUCAGACUUGUGUUUCAUCAAGUAGACAGACCCAUAUCUACUUAAAUCGUCAGUGAGAGUGAGAACAUAACGAUAGCCUUCGCGAGCCUCAACGCUCAUUGGAUCGCGCACAUCAGUAUGUAUGAUUUCCAAUAAGUUGGUUGCUCGCUCCAUUGUUCCGAAGAACGAAGUCUUGGUCAUUUUGCCCAUGAGGCAUGGUUUGCAUGUGCCAAAUGAUUCGUAAUCAAGAGACUCCAAAAGUCCAUCAGCAUGGAGCUUCUUCAUGCGUUUGACACCAAUGUGACCAAGGCGGCAGUGCCACAAGUAUGUGGGACUAUUGUUAUCAACCUUGCAUCUUUUGGUAUUCACACUAUGAAUAUGUGUAACAUCACGUUCGAGAUUCAUUAAGAAUAAACCAUUGACCAGCGGGGCAUGACCAUAAAACAUAUCUAUCAUAUAAAUAGAACAACCAUUAUUCUCGGAUUUAAAUGAGUAGCCAUCUCGUAUUAAACGAGAUCCAGAUACAAUGUUCAUGCUCAAAGCUGGCACUAAAUAACAAUUAUUGAGGUUUAAAACUAAUCCCGUAGGUAAAUGUAGAGGUAGCGUGCCGAUGGCGAUCACAUCGACCUUGGAACCAUUCCCGACGCGCAUUGUCACCUCAUCCUUCGCCAGUCUCCGCUUAUUCCACAGCUCCUGUUUUGAGUUACAAAUAUGAGAAACCGCACCGGUAUCGAAUACCCAGGAGCUACUACGAGUACUGGUAAGGUACACAUCAAUUAAAUGUAUAUCACAUAUACCUUUGGUGUUGCCGCCUUCUUGUCCGCUAAGUACUUGGGGCAGUUCCUCUUCCAGUGUCCGCUUCCCUUGCAAUAAAAGCACUCAGUCUUAGGUUUGGGUCCAUGCUUUGGCUUCUUCCCGGCAACUGGCUUACCAGGCGCGGCAACUCCCUUGCCGUCCUUCUUGAAGUUCUUCUUACCCUUGCCUUUCUUGAAACUAGUGGUUUUAUUGACCAUCAACACUUGAUGUUCCUUUUUGAUCUCCACCUCCGCUGAUUUCAGCAUUGAAUAUACCUCAGGAAUGGUUUUCACCAUCCCCUGCAUAUUGAAGUUCAUCACAAAGCUCUUGUAGCUAGGUGGGAGCGACUGGAGGAUUCUGUCGACCACCGCGUCAUCCGGGAGAUUAACUCCCAGUUGAGAUAAGCGGUUGUGCAACCCAGACAUUUUGAGUAUGUGCUCGCUGAAAGAACCAUUCUCCUCCAUCUUACAACUGUAGAACUUGUCGGAGACUUCAUAUCUCUCGACCCGGGCGUGAGCUUGGAAAACCAUUUUCAGCUCUUGGAACAUAUCAUAUGCUACGUGCUGCUCAAAAUGCUUUUGGAGCCCUGGUUCUAAGCUGUAAAGCAUGCCGCACUGAACCAGGGAGUAAUCAUCACUACGCGACUGCCAGGCGUUCAUAACGUCUUGAGUUGCUGGGAAAACAGGUGCUUCACCUAGCGGUGCAUCUAGGACAUAUGCUUUCUUGGCAGCUAUGCGGAUGAUCCUCAAGUUCCGGACCCAGUCCGUAUAGUUGCUGCCAUCGUCUUUCAACUUGGUUUUCUCUAGGAACGCAUUGAAGUUGAGGGCAACAUUAGCGUGGGCCAUUUGAUCUACAAGACAUAUAUUGCAAAGAUUUUAGACUAAGUUCAUGAUAAUUAAGUUCAUCUAAUCAAAUUAUAUAAUGAACUCCCACUCAGAUAGACAUCCCUCUAGUCAUCUAAGUGAUCCAUGAUCCGAGUCAACUAGGCCGUGUCCGAUCAUCACGUGAGACGGACUAGUCAUCAUCGGUGAACAUCUUCAUGUUGAUCGUAUCUUGUAUACGACUCAUGUUCGACCUUUCGGUCUCUUGUGUUCCGAGGCCAUGUUUGUACAUGCUAGGCUCGUCAAGUCAACCUAAGUGUUUUGCAUGUGUAAAUCUGGCUUGCACCCAUUGUAUGUGAACGUUAGAAUCUAUCACACCCGAUCAUCACGUGGUGCUUCGAGACAACGAACUUUCGCAACGGUGCACAGUUAGGGGGAACACUUUCUUGAUAUUAUUAUGAGGGAUCAUCUUAUUUACUACCGUUGUUCUAAGCAAAUAAGAUGCAAAAACAUGAUAAACAUCACAUGCAAUCAAAUAGUGACAUGAUAUGGCCAAUAUCAUUUUGCUCCUUUUGAUCUCCAUCUUCGGGGCGCCAUGAUCAUCAUUGUCACCGGCAUGACACCAUGAUCUCCAUCAUCGUGUCUUCAUGAAGUCGUUACGCCAAUGAUUACUUCUACUACUAUGGCUAACAGUUUAGCAACAAAGUAAAGUAAUUACAUGGCGCUAUUCAAUGACACACAGGUCAUACAAUAAAUAAAGACAGCUCCUAUGGCUCCUGCCGGUUGUCAUACUCAUCGACAUGCAAGUCGUGAUUCCUAUUACAAGAACAUGAUCAAUCUCAUACAUCACAUAUAUUUCAUUCAUCACAUCCUUUUGGCCAUAUCACAUCACAAGGCAUAUGCUGCAAAAACAAGUUAGACGUCCUCUAAUUGUUGUUGCAUGUUUUUACGUGGCUGCUAUAGGUUUCUAGCAAGAACGUUUCUUACCUACGCCAAAACCACAACGUGAUAUGUCAAUUUCUAUUUACCCUUCAUAAGGACCCUUUUCAUCGAAUCCUAUCCGACUAAACUGGGAGAGACAGACACUCGCUAGCCACCUUAUGCAACUAGUGCAUGUCAGUCGGUGGAACCUGUCUCACGUAAGCGUACGUGUAAGGUCGGUCCGGGCCGCUUCAUCCCACGAUGCCGCCGAAACAAGAUAAGACUAGUAUUGACAAGUAAAUUGACAAAAUCGACGCCCACAACAAUCUUGUGUUCUACUCGUGCAUAGAAACUACGCAUAGACCUAGCUCAUGAUGCCACUGUUGGAGAAGGUUGCAGAAAAUAAAAAAUUUCUACGCUUCACCAAGAUCAAUAUAUGGAGUCAUCUAGCAACGAGAGAGAGGAGUGCAUCUACAUACCCUUGUAGAUCGCGAGCGGAAGCGUUCAAGAGAACGGGGUUGAUGGAGUCGUACUCGUCGUGAUCCAAAUCACCGAUGAUCCUAGCGCCGAACGGACAGCACCUCCGCGUUCAACACACGUACGGUUGGGAGAGACGUCUCCUCCUUCUUGAUCCAGCAAGGGGGAAGGAGAGGUUGAUGGAGAUCCAGCAGCACGACGGCGUGGUGGUGGAAGUAGCGGGGAUCUCGGCAGGGCUUCGCCAAGCUCAGUGAGAGGGAGAGGUGUUACGGGGGGAGAGGGAGGCGCCAGGGGCUUGGGUGCGCAGCCCUCCUUUCCCCCUCUCUAUAUAGGGGCCCUGGGGUGGGGGGGCACCGGCCCCCUAGAGAUCCAAUCUCNNNNNNNNNNNNNNNNNNNNNNNNNNNNNNNNNNNNNNNNNNNNNNNNNNNNNNNNNNNNNNNNNNNNNNNNNNNNNNNNNNNNNNNNNNNNNNNNNNNNNNNNNNNNNNNNNNNNNNNNNNNNNNNNNNNNNNNNNNNNNNNNNNNNNNNNNNNNNNNNNNNNNNNNNNNNNNNNNNNNNNNNNNNNNNNNNNNNNNNNNNNNNNNNNNNNNNNNNNNNNNNNNNNNNNNNNNNNNNNNNNNNNNNNNNNNNNNNNNNNNNNNNNNNNNNNNNNNNNNNNNNNNNNNNNNNNNNNNNNNNNNNNNNNNNNNNNNNNNNNNNNNNNNNNNNNNNNNNNNNNNNNNNNNNNNNNNNNNNNNNNNNNNNNNNNNNNNNNNNNNNNNNNGGGCUGGUUACCUUCCCACUUCAGCCCAUGGGCCCCUCCGGGAUAGGUGGCCCCACCCGGUGGACCCCUGGGACCCUUCCGGUGGUCCCGGUACAAUACCGGUGACCCCCGAAACUUUCCCGGUGGCCGAAACUGGACUUCCUAUAUACAAAUCUUUACCUCCGGACCAUUCCGGAACUCCUCGUGAUGUCCGGGAUCUCAUCCUGGACUCCGAACAACUUUCGGGUUACCGCAUACUAAUAUCUCUACAACCCUAGCGUCACCAAACCUUAAGUGUGUAGACCCUACGGGUUCAGGAAUCACGCAGACAUGACCGAGACAGCUCUCCGGCCAAUAACCAAUAGCGGAAUCUGGAUACCCAUGUUGGCUCCCACAUGUUCCACGAUGAUCCCAUUGAAUGAACCACAAUGUCGAGGAUUCAAGUAAUCCCGUAUACAAUUCCCUUUGUCAAUCGGUAUGUUACUUGCCCGAGAUUCGAUCGUCGGUAUCCCAAUACCUCGUUCAAUCUCGUUACCGGCAAGUCACUUUACUCGUACCGUAAUGCAUGAUCCCGUGGCCAAUCACUUGGUCACAUUGAGCUCAUUAUGAUGAUGCAUUACCGAGUGGGCCCAGAGAUACUCUCCGUCAUACGGAGUGACAAAUCCCAGUCUCGAUUCGUGUCAACCCAACAGACACUUUCGGACAUACCUGUAGUAUACCUUUAUAGCCACCCAGUUACAUUGUGACGUUUGGUACACCCAAAGCACUCUUACGGUAUCCGGGAGUUACACGAUCUCAUGGUCUAAGGAAAUGAUACUUGACAUUAGAAAAGCUCUAGCAAACGAACUACACGAUCUUGUGCUAUGCUCAGGAUUGGGUCUUGUCCAUCACAUCAUUCUCCCAAUGAUGUGAUCCCGUUAUCAAUGACAUCGAAUGUCCAUGGUCAGGAAACUGUAACCAUUCAUUGAUAAACGAGCUAGUCAACUAGAGGCUCACUAGGGACAUGUUGUGGUCUAUGUAUUCACACAUGUAUUACAAUUUCCAGAUAACACAAUUAUAGCAUGAACAAUAGACAAUUAUCAUGAACAAGGAAAUAUAAUAAUGACCAUUUUAUUAUUGCCUCUAGGGUAUAUUUCCAACACCCCGCUCACGAGCGGCUCGAGGAGGCAGUUGCGCUCGAGGAGGCCGGCUGCUGGAACGAGGCCAAGCAGCAGCGGCUGGUACAGAGCAGCAACGGCCACCCCAGGGCAGUGUCCACUCCAGGGCGUAUCCCGACCGGACACGGGACGAGCAGGCCCGGCCGGAUCCGCGACGAGUGGCGGACGAGUGGCAAGAAGGAGCCCCUGCCGCGGACGGGACGAGCAGGUCCCGGCCGGAUCCACGUCGAGGGGCAAGGAGGAGCCCUGGCCGGGCGCGAGACGAGCAUGGCCCGGCCGGAUCCGCGAUGAGGUGCGGCUGAGCCUGACGGGGAGGCCGGGCACAUGACUAGCAGGCCCCGGCGGAUCCGCGGCGAGAAGGACCGGGGGCGGCCAGAAUCGGAUAGAGAGCAGCGUCAGCCGGACGGCAACGGGACGGAGCAAAUUGGAGGAGGAGAGCUAGCACGGAGUUGCAGCGUGCGGGAGAGGGAGGAACCUAAUUAACACCUGAUACCAUGUUGGAUAAACAAUAACUGGCAUUGCUGAGGGCCAUGGGCCAGUACAUAUACAGAUGUGGUAAAGUGCAGAAAAGCCCCUUAUACAAUGGGGAUGUACACAAGUAACUAUACACAUCUAACACCGAGUAUACUACUGAUGCUCCCAUCCGAACUAUAUCUUUAAAAUAAUAUAAUAAUUGUAAAAGAACAUAUCUUUUGUGAUAUGAAGUAUUGUACUUGUAUAAAAAAUUAGCCAAAUAAUACUUCCAUGAUAUUCUGGGCGAAGAAAACAAAGCUAAUCUUUUCCUAAUAAUAAGAAUUGAGUUUAUAAAGGCACGAGCCCAGCCCAACUAAGCCAGCGACCACAGCCCACAAAACCAAAGGGUUAAAGCCCUGGGCAAGGCCAAAAAAUUACUCUUGUGCAGAAUAGUCCCGCCUUGCUCCCUUACAUUAAAUACUCCUAAUUUAUAUACGCUUUUUAGUUUUCUCAGCGUCAAGGAGCUGGAAUUAAGGAGUGAAGGGUGUGACAACUAAGCGUGCAAGGAAAAAGAAAGUCUCUGACUUGAGAAUAAGGAUGGCUCUCAUGGACCGUCUAAUCAAAGGCUUAGGAAGGAUAAAUGAUGACGCCUGGUUGGCUGGUUUCUUGUUCAAAUUAAAACAAGCAGGCAUGUACAGAGCACACAUUUGUCAAGUUCCUAAACUUUUUAGAGAUUCUAAUAUAGAUACAUACGGAGAGGGAGUAGAGGGAGUAGUGCAGGCAUGUAAUAAUUAGUGCUCAGGAGUGACGAAUCAAAAACAUGCUGAAACCAAAACUGAAAGCUAACCAUUUUCAUCUCACUAAGUGGAAAUGCUUUAUUUUUGCCUUGAUGAAAGGGGAGUACUAGGCGCCGGUGCGCCGGCCCAAUAGUUGGGACGGUUGAGCCUCAGCCGCCCGAUGCAGCGAGCCGCUGCCAUUCGAUCUGCGUGCGACCACAUCAUCAUUACCGUUGCGUCGUUAGCACGCGAUUGCGUAACUCCAUGUGGGUCUAGAAGAUAAUGUAUCCAAUUAAGGUAUUAUACAUGCUGCACUGGACAACCAUAGAAUCGCCUUCCAGUUAAGGUUCCAUCAAAUGCCACACACUUAAUUGGCCUCAUGUGGUGCAUCAUGCAGGUGGGUUCAGAAAGCUCGAGCUGGCCACAGAAAAGAGGCUCCACGGUGGUGUCAGGGGUCUCCUGCAUGAACGCAUCAACAAAAUCACCUUAGCUCAUCAACAAGACAUAGAUCGAAAAUUAAUUCCCCAAUCCAACAAGAACCCUAACCCUAGUUUUGAAGCAUGCAUAAACCUAGCUCAAAUAGCAACCAUAAGCCUGCCUACUAAAUAACAGUAACCAAAGCUUACCCUAGCUCACCAAGAUGAACUAGCUCCUAGAUGAACCCUAACCCUAGCUCAGCAGACCAAAAAUCUUACCCAAAGAGCCAUUUCCAUGCUUGCGAUGUCGCACUCACCCUCUGAGCUUGUAUCCCCGUCAUUCCAGGAAGGCAUGGUGGCGGUGGAGCUUUCACAACGCAAGUCGCCGCCGGCGUCGAAGAGCAGAGAGGAGAGUGAGAGUGAGAGCAGAGAUGAGUGCGGGCAGGGGAGGAGAGUGAGAGGGAGGGAGACAGUGACUUAAUAAUCACCAGGGCAGCGAGCGGGUACAGCCCGACUGCACCGGUCCGAGUAAUGGGUGUUAACGGCCUCGCUGUCAGCCAUGGCGCGACAUGCCUGGCAAGCGGGUCCGGACCGUCAGAAAACGGUUUAAAACGCUAGCAACUGGCAAUUUGGGUUUUUUGAGACAAACGACAAGAAAAGUGGUAGGUAUCAGCCACAAAUAAAAAAGUGGUGAUUUUUUUGGAACCCUAACACGAAAAAUGAUAGUUUUAUGCUAUUCACUCGCGGAAUGGUGAAUGUGAGUGGAGUGUGCGAUGCGACGACGACGACUGAUGAUUCUCUGUACUGUCGGUUGUGCUGUGUCCCAAAAACAUCCAGGAUUUUUUUUAAAAAAUUUACCACUCGCGACAGAUAUUUUGGGAUGGAGGGAGUACUAGUUUUGGCUGCCCGAGGCAACGACUGCCAUGGACGGCGGCCUUGCGCUUGCCCUGCGCGCCGAUGCGGAGGAGACGUGAGGGAGAGCAUGGGGAGGAACGAGGAGGCGGCAGAGAAGGGUUCGUCAUCGCCGUGGCAACACUCUCCGAUCGAAGUNNNNNNNNNNNNNNNNNNNNNNNNNNNNNNNNNNNNNNNNNNNNNNNNNNNNNNNNNNNNNNNNNNNNNNNNNNNNNNNNNNNNNNNNNNNNNNNNNNNNNNNNNNNNNNNNNNNNNNNNNNNNNNNNNNNNNNNNNNNNNNNNNNNNNNNNNNNNNNNNNNNNNNNNNNNNNNNNNNNNNNNNNNNNNNNNNNNNNNNNNNNNNNNNNNNNNNNNNNNNNNNNNNNNNNNNNNNNNNNNNNNNNNNNNNNNNNNNNNNNNNNNNNNNNNNNNNNNNNNNNNNNNNNNNNNNNNNNNNNNNNNNNNNNNNNNNNNNNNNNNNNNNNNNNNNNNNNNNNNNNNNNNNNNNNNNNNNNNNNNNNNNNNNNNNNNNNNNNNNNNNNNNNNNNNNNNNNNNNNNNNNNNNNUAGGGAACCUGAACAGAGACAGUGCGUGCAUUUUGUAUUGCAACGACUGUCUCUUUUAUGAGAGCGUGCAUGUUUGUGUAGUCCAAGUCGUUUGGGUCAAGCCCAAAAAGUUCAAGAAAAACAUUUGUUCAAAAUAUGUUCUUUUUCAGAGAAAUGUUCAAAAUUCAUAAAAAAGAUAACUCUUCUUUAAAAAGUUUUUCAAAUUUAUGCAAACAUUAACUUUUAUUGAAAAAGAAAAUUUUAACGUUUAACCUUAUCUUCAACGUUUAUUGAAAUUGGAUAUAAAAAAUGGUGCACAAUGACACAUGAAGCAGGUUGUGCAAAAAAACAUUUUUCAAAAAACAAAACAUUUUCAGAAAUAUAGUGUGCAGAAAAAAUGCUAUUACCCCUAAAAAUGAUUCUUUGCAAGAAAAACAUCUGUUCAAAAAGUGAUAUUUUUUAAAGAAAUGUUCAAAUUUCAUAAAAAUGUUAACUAUUCUUUAAAAAGUAUCCUAAUUUUAUGUAAACAUUACCUUCUAUUUUUUUUUUAAAAAAAAAUUUAACGUUUAACAUUUUCAUUAACUUUUAUUACAAUUAGAUAUAAAAUGGUGCAUAAUGGCACAGGAAGCAGGUUGUGCCUUUUUUUGCCCGGUGCAACGCACGGACAUGUGUACCAAUAGUACUAUUCAAGUUACUUUGUCAUCACUAAUUUAUUCAUCUUUUGCCCUAAGUCAAUGUGAAACAGUCCAGGAAGCUUUUUAUACUAAUCCAAUACUUGAUUAUAUUUCAUUUUUUACUUUUUUUACUUUUUUACGGUUACUAAAUUACUCGUAUUUGGUACAUAUAGGGUGCACUCGCACCAAGUUCCCUUUGAGAAUUUCCAAAGUUUCUUAACAUGUCUGUUAAUUAUUGGUCAAAAUGACUAGUGACUAUUGCUCAACAGAUGGAAUUGGAUGUUGAAUGAAUAACAAACUCAUAUAUAGCUCGCAUCAAGUUCCCUUUGAGAAUUUUCAAAGUUUCUUGACAUGUUGGAAAAAGAAAUUGGGCCAGUCGCUUUUUUGAGCCGUCCGAUGCAAAAUCACUCGCUGAAAACCCUUUCUUCAACCGUGCUUCUCUGGCGAAUGCCCACCCCACGUAAGAGACGACUUCCUUCUUCAUCUCCGACGCUUUCUUCUUCAUUCUCGAAUUCAACCAACCCAAAUUCGAAUUUCAGUGACUCACAUUUAGCUAUUGUGUAUAAUUCGUUAGUUGGUUUUAUCGGUCGAUGCAUUUGUCGCGAUGAUGAUAUAAUAAGCGAGAAAAAAAUUGCUUAGGUACACGAUUUUUUUGGGCAAGAAACGACCAAUUCGGAAGGCAAUUCACAAGACACUCUAUUCUCUUCGCUUUCAACCGACUCACAAAAACACAGAAGGAAGAUUAUUCCCGAAGCCGUAACAGCUUCCGGCCACACGACACACGCGUCACAGAGCCUCACCGCAACUCAUCAACACACUCCAUCCGACAGGCACUUCAGCAAGCUUCAUUUCAGCUUCAAGAGUUCAAACAUCCUCGUCCAUGCUGUCCUCGUCCCCGUCCUCCAUCACCCUCAUCUUCUUCACGGCCUUGGCCGCCUCGCCGCCGCCGCCGCCGAGGGCGCCGUUGGGCACCUGGAUGAGGAUGUCGGACCUCUGCCCCGUCUCGGCGUUCACCAGCCCGCCGCUGCGGUCCACCCGGUAGGCCAGCUCGUCCUUGUUGGCGGCGUCGAUGUACACCGUGCAGUUCUCGUCGAUCUCCUCCUGGAUCAGCAUCUUGGACAGCUGCGUCACCACCCGCUUCUCGAUCCACCUCCUGAUCGGCCGAGCGCCAUACACCUGCAACAACAAACAGAGUCAGCGUCCGAGUCCAAAGAAGGUGAAAAAAAAUCAGAAAUUUAGUAGUAGGAUGCAGUCACGUACUGGAUCGUAGGCCAGCGACAGGAUGACGUCCAGCGCGGCGUCGGUGACGGCCAGGGCGACGCCGCGCUCGGCGAGCCGGACGGCCACGUCCUUCAUCUGCAGGCGAGCGACCUUCCUCAGCUGCUCGUGGGACAGCGGGUCGAAGACGACGAUCUCGUCCAGCCGGUUCAGCAGCUCCGGCCUGAAGUGCCUCCUCACCUGCGCACACAACCACACACGAAGUUCAGCAUCACAUUGCAGAUCAGAGGUACAUCGGUGCUUCUGUAGUGGAGAUUGAGCUGAUCCACACAUACAUACCUCCUGCAUGACGAGGUCGCGCGCGACCUUCAUGGAGUUCUUGCCGACCAUCCCGGCGAGGAGGUGCUCGGCGCCGAGGUUGGAGGUCAUGAUGAUCACGGUGUUCCGGAAGUCCACCGUCCUGCCUUGCCCGUCGGUCAGCCGGCCGUCGUCCAGCACCUGGAGGAGCGUGUUGAACACCGCCACGUGCGCCUUCUCCACCUCGUCGAACAGGAUCACGCUGUACGGCCGCCUCCUCACCUGCUCCGUCAGCUGCCCGCCCUCCUCGUGCCCGACAUAGCUGCAUUCACAAGAACAAUUUGUAAUCCCAAAUCAGAACCCAAAUUCAGUCUUUGUUUACGGCUAAAAGAAUGCAGCAAUGAACAAAUUUUAGUGGAAAUCAUCAGUGGCUCAGUGUGCUUACCCAGGUGGCGCUCCGAUGAGGCGAGCGACGGAGUGCUGCUCCAUGUACUCGGACAUGUCGAUGCGGACGAGCAGGUUCUCGUCGUCGAACAGCUGCUCGGCGAGGGCCUUGGCGAGCUCGGUCUUGCCUACGCCGGUCGGGCCCAGGAAGAGGAACGACCCGGUGGGCUGCUGCGGCCGUCCAAGCCCCGCCCUGGACCUCAGCACCGCCUCGGCGACGGCGUUCACGGCCUCCGUCUGCCCGACCACCCUCGUGUGCAGCCUGUCCGCCAUGCCCACCAGCCGCUCCUUGUCGUUCUGCCCGAGCCGGGUCACCGGGAUGCCGGUCCACCGGCUCACCACCUCCGCGAUCUGCUCGGGGCCGACGGUCUCGGUGAGCAUCAGGUUCUCGCCGGUCUCGCCCUCCAGCUUGGCGAUGGCGGCGUCGAUCUCCUGGAGGGCGCCGUACUUGAGGUCGGCGACGCGUGCCAGGUCCAUGCGCCGCUCCGCCUCCUGCAGCGUGAACUGCAGCUCCUCGCGCCGCUGCUUCAGCUUCCGGAUCUCGUCGAUCCGCUCCUUCUCCUUGCGGUACUUCAUGGUCAGCGGCUGCAGCUUGUCCCUCAGGUCGUCCAGCUCCUUCCUCACCUCCACCAGCCGGGCCUUGCUGGCCUUGUCCUUCUCCUUCUCCAGCGCGUGGAGCUCCACCUCCAGCUGAAUCCGCUUCCUCUCCAGGUUGUCGAUCUCCUCCGGCUGGCUGUCCAGCUGCACCCUCACGUUCGCGCACGCCUCGUCCACCAGGUCGAUGGCCUUGUCCGGCAGGUGCCGGCCCAUGAUGUACCUCGCCGAGAGCUGCGCCGCGACGACGAUGGCGCGGUCCUGGAUGCGCACGCCGUGGUGCCCCUCGUACUUCUCCUUGAGCCCUCGCAGGAUGCUGAUGGUGUCGGCGACGCUCGGCUCGGCCACGUACACCUGCUGGAACCGCCGCUCGAACGCGGCGUCCUUCUCGACGUACUUGCGGUACUCCUCCAGCGUGGUGGCGCCGAUGCACCGGAGCUGGCCACGCGCGAGCAUCGGCUUGAACAGGUUGGCCGCGUCCAUGGACCCCUCCGUCCUGCCGGCACCGAGGACGAGGUGUAUCUCGUCGAUGAAGAGGAUGACCUUGCCGUCGGCCUCCUCCACCUCCUUGAGCACGGCCUUGAGCCGCUCCUCGAACUCGCCGCGGUACUUGGCGCCGGCGACGAGGGCGCCCAUGUCGAGCGCGACGAGGCGGACGUCGAGCAGGUUGCUGGGCACGUCCCCGCGCACGACGCGCUGCGCGAGGCCCUCCACGACGGCCGUCUUGCCCACGCCGGGCUCGCCGAUGAGGACGGGGUUGUUCUUGGUGCGGCGCGAGAGGAUGCGCACGACGCGGCGGAUCUCCUCGUCGCGGCCGAUGACGGGGUCGAGCUUGCCGGCCACCUCGACGAGGUCGCGGCCGUACGUCUUGAGCGCCUGGAAGUUGGUGUCGCCGGAGGCGGACUCGACCUUGCGCGCGUUGUCCCCGCCGCGGAGCUUCUCGAGCUCGGCGCGCACCCGCGAGGCGGACACGCCGGCCUCCUUGAGGCAGUCGGCGAUCUGCGCGUCCUCGAGGAGGCCCAUGAGCAGCUGGUCGACGGCGAGGUGCGAGUCCCCGCGCUUCUUCUGCGCCGACUGCGCGCGGCGGAUGGCCUUGAUGAGCGCCGUGGAGGCCGGCACGGAGUCCGGCGGCGGCGACUGCGACGGCAGCUUCUUGAGCGCGGCGGAGAGCACGCGCUCGAACGAGUCCCCCGCGGACGCGUUCCCGCCGGACGCCCCCGCCACCGCCUGCCGCAGGAUGCCCGACCUGUCCGCCGCCAGCGCCGCCGCCAGGUGCAGCGGCGUGAUCUGCGCGUGGCCGGCCUCCGACGCCGCCUCGUGCGCCGCCACCAGCGCCUCGUUGGUCUUGUGCGUGAAGUUGUCCGGGUUCAUGGCCGCCGCUGCUUGCGCUCACAACCUACAAUGGAUCAGACAGACUUUGGGUUGGAAGAUUGAUUGGGAAUUUGGGAUCACCAAGUGUUUGUGGGAUUGCUCUGCUUCUGGAGUUCUGGAUUCUGAUGGUGUUGGGGGCCGGAGAGCGGCGGGCAUAAGAAGGAGGGAGCGGAGAGUUCGCCGGGGGUCUAGAAGGUAGUGGAAGCCGCCGGAAACGGAAGCGGCGAGAUGGCACUGGAGUGUUCGUCUGACGCUGUGGGGCCGCGCGCUCUCCUGGCCGUUGGAUUGGCAGGGGCGGCGCCUCCGAUGCGCGACGCUUGUGCACGCAGUGGAUGCGGUUGCUCGGUGUCGGCUUUCUCGGGCCCGGUAUCUAGGCGGUAGUGUCUGACCUGUGGGCUAGGUGAGUCCACGGCUGGGUCCCGCGCACCAUUUCUGGACUUUUUUUCCGUUCCAUCCCACAAGUUCAUUGCGGAUUCGGUCCAGUCACGAGGUUUUCUCCUGACUCCUGGUGUACCUGGGGCAAUGACACGUCCGCGCUGCGAACGCCAGGUGUCAAAAUGCUCGGGGUUGCUCGGUCCAAGUGUCAAUGCCCAGGGCACACGCACGCUGUGUAGCGGAGUUCAACCAGUAGCUGUUCGGAUUAGACCUCUUCCAAUGCAAAGACUAGCCACGGUGGGAGUAACUUCGGUAGUAACAUCGAAUUCAACUCAGCAAAUUUGUUUAUAUGACAGUGAGUUAAUGUGGAGAGACGUAAUACUAGUAACUUAGCUAGUUACUGUAACAUCACAUGUCCCAAUGCAAUAUUACCACACUUAUGUUACCACACUUAUGUUACUACCCACUAUUGAGGUAGUAACAUAGUCUAGGAAUAUGUGUAUGUUACUACUUCCUCCGUCUAGGUGUGUAAGUCAUCUUACGAAAAAUCAAAUAAUCCCAAAACACUUGGGCGCGAUGCAUUAAAUUCUACAUCGCUUCUUGUUUCUUGACAUAUCAACCAAUAAGAGAUGUGGGGUGUGCAUGCUUUUAAUGACUUGAGACUACUAAAAACGACAUGCAGUGGUUAGUUCAUUGCAUGCAAUGUUAUUAAUUAGCAAAUAAACAUUAAGUUCUCUCGUUUUCCCCUCCUCCUUGGUCACGGUGCACAACCUAAGAUGACUUAAUCACCUAGACGGAGGGAGUACUGUAUGUUACUAUCCAUUGUGGCUAGUCUUAGAUGAGGUGCUAAGUGCAUUAAAUACUUUAACAACUCAAGUUCCAAUGGAUAGGUGCUUAACUUGUUGCUAAGCACACUUUAUUUAAUGAGUUAGCACCUAAAAUUUUUCAUGCAUUAACCAAAUUGUUUAAUUUAAGUGGUUUGCCUAGGUUCUCGCGCUUGGCAUUGGUUUUUUCUAGGGUCAUCAAAGUACUCUCUCCCCUCCUUAAAUGUUGUGACAUGUCACUUUUUUGCUUAUGUGGCAUGCUUAGCAUCUGUCCACGAUGGAGCACUGGGAAGGGCCUACGCUUGUGUGUUUCGGCCAUAUUUAAAUCAUAAUUUAAACUAGUAAAAUAAAAAUAUAUGUAGCAAAAAUAUUGUUAUUAAAAACAACAUUUAAAUAUGACUAGUAAUUGACCAAAAAAACAUGACUAGUAAUUUUUUUGACAUGCACUAAUAUUCUGCUAAUCAAAUACGUGGUUAAACUUUAACUCACUGCGAUGGGUCAAUCCUAUCCUUCAAAUCCAACACAUUAGUUUACGGGCUGAUGGGGGCCAGUCCACAGGCAAUGAUGUGGAAGCCGACCAUCCAAAGCUUUCUGUAUACAUUUUAAAUCAAAGUUGAAUAGACUAGACAAAUUAUAUCAAACCACGCCUUCUAGCAUAGUUUGGACAUAAUUUACGUAAGACAGGUGAUAUUUUGACUGUUUAACUAAAAACUAGAAAAAAAACUAGGAGGCUAACUUGUAGUGGACGGCGACCUCGUACGCUUGGCUGACCUGCACCGCCAUUGCCGUCCGUGUCAUCGUCCCUUUAGUACUGGUAGGGCGCGUGGCCGCCAAGGCAGCCUUGCCUGGCGCUCGCGGGGGAGUCGGUCUGCUUCAUUCUGCGUCAUGCAUAGGGUCGUCGCGGUCGAUGCCGCCCCUGCCUGCGGUGCCCACGCGGCGGCCUUGCCCAUGCUGGCAUUCGCGAAGAUAUUGCUUAGCGACCAUUCCUCACCAAUCUUGGCGAGCUCCUCGUCGAAGUGGCGGCAACGCCACGCGGGCGUCUCCGCGUUAGUGACAGACUGGUCGAGAGCCUUGGCCGCCACCGAGUUGGGACCGUUGCGGGCCCAGGCCGGCGCCUCGUCCGACUUGGCGAACUUGGAGCGGCGGGCCGCAUUGCGCCGCUCCUGUCGCGCCGCCUAGCUCAUCGUCCUGUCCUCAAUGAAGACGAUGGCCCGCGAUGACGAGGAGCCGCCGCCACCACCGAGGUAGUGGAGGAUGAGUCUAUGUUCCUUCGGGAUCAUGGGUGAGGGAGUCCUGAACUAAGGGGUCCUCGGACAGCCGGACUAUAUCUUUGGCCGGACUGUUGGACUAUGAAGAUACAAGAUAGAAGACUUCGUCCCGUGUCCAGAUGGGACUCUCCUUGGCGUGGAAGGCAAGCUUGACGAUUCGGAUAUGAAGAUUCCUUUCUCCAUAAACCGACUUUGUACAACCCUAGCUCCCCCAGUGUCUAUAUAAACUGGAGGGUUUAGACUUCUAGAGUUUAGUCACAAUUAUCAUAAUCCCAUAGGCUAGACUUCUAGGGUUUAGCCAUUACGAUCUCGUGGUAGAUCAACUCUUGUAAUACUCAUAUUCAUCAAGAUAAAUCAAGUAGGAAGUAGGGUAUUACCUCCAUAGAGAGGGCCCGAACCUGGGUAAACAUCGUGUCCCCCGCCUCCUGUUACCAUUAGCCUUAGACGCACAGUUCGGGACCCCCUACCCGAGAUCCGCCGGUUUUGACACCGACAUUGGUGCUUUCAUUGAGAGUUUCUCUGUGUCGUCGAAGAUAGGUUUGAUGGCUCCAUCAACCAUCUACUACAAUGCAGUCCAGGAGGAGACCUUCCUUCCCGGAUAGACCUUCUUAUUCGGCGGCUUCGCAUUGCGGGCCAACUCGCUUGGCCGUCUAGAGCAGAUUGAUAGCUACGCCCCUGGCCAUCAGGUCAGAUUUGGAAGCCUGAAUUUUGUGGCCGAUAUCCGGGAGACUUGAUCUUCGACGGAUUCGAGCCCAUGACGGCUGUCCUCGACCACCACGAUGAACAUGACCUAGAUCUAUCAUCUAGCCGCAGGAGCUAGCGCCUGUGACCGCCCUGGCCCUAGAGCCGGAGCGGACUGCGUCGUCCAAAGAUGGGAAGCUCAACCCCACCGCAGAGGCCGCAAAUUCAGCGGCGCUCGAGCCGCACACAGACCCAACAUCAGGUUGGGCUUGUGUUACCGGAACCUCAGACUCGUCUCCGGCCAUGGGUCCCGGACCGUGUGCACCCGCGUCCAUCGAUCCUGAUUGGGCGCCAAUCAUGGAGUUCAGCUCCGCAGACAUCUUCCAGCACUUGCCUUUUGGCGACAUAUUAAACUCAUUGAGGUCCCCCUCCUUGUCAGGAGACCCUCGGCCAAGCUAUGUCCAGCUCGAGUAAGAAGCGGACAACGAAGAACUACGUUCCCCACCCACCACCCACUUCAUUGCCACCAUCGAGGACUUAACUGACACGCUCGAUUACGGCUCCGAAGACAUCGACAGUAUGGACGACGAUGCUGGAGAAGAGCAGGCACAAAAACCACCACCUUUAGGGCAGUGGACAGCUACAUCGUCAUACGAUAUAUACAUGGUGGACACACCAAAGAAGAAUGAGGCCGACGGUAACAACAGCAUGCCCGUCGAUGAACCUCCCAAGCACCGGCGUCCCAAGCACCGACCUUGAUCCGGGACAAAGAAAAACAACAACAUUGUUGCAGACGGCGACAAUAAUCUGAACCAAGCCGAUGACCCCGCAGACCCAGCGCUGGAGCAGGGCACGCGAGAGUAGGGCUGGGCAUAUAACCCGAAAACCGAUGUACCGAACCGAAUUAACCGGCACCGAAGCCGAAUUCACCGAAACCGAGAACUUCGGUAGUAUGUUCGGUUUGCAUUUGUUGAAAACCAAAAUUAGUCCGGGGAGUUCGGGUAAUAUCCCUUGAUUACCCGAAUGGACCGAAAACCGAGUAAUCAUAAAGGUCAGACCUGCGCGCCUGUUCCUUACCUGUUUCUUACUCAAGUGCUCUAUCGCAAGAACAUGGACAGUCUAUUUUCUACAUUGUCGCUAUAAGUGCACGAGUCCCACAGUCUUGUCGGGAGGUGGUAAACCUGACCGACUGAGCCACCAUCGCUAUAAAUUUUGUGUAAAAGAGAAGUAGUACUCCCUCGGGUAGGUACUUCACCUAGUGAGCCCCACCACUAAUUUUACAGAGUUGCUCGGGAGAAGCAAUCGGAUGGAGUAGCCAAGGAGGCACUGUACAUCAGAAUAAAGUAUACCAGCUCCUGCUAAUGGUACGUGCACUGUAGAUCCCGACUAGAGGCAGCGAUUCCAGCUAUUAUUAAAUAUAUCUCGGUGCUGUUCGGUCGAAUCGAUGACCGAACCGAAAUUUCGGUGCAAAUAAACUUCGGUCAGCUAGUUUUCCAUUGACCGAUUGGUCAGUAUUUUGGUAGAACCGGAAUUUUCAAUACACCGAGAAACCGACCUGAUCGGUUCGGGGGAACCGAAUGCCCAGCCGUACGCGAGAGGACGGCGAACACACCCCGAAGCCUCACUCUGAAGAGGAGAUCAUUAGUCCUGGCCAUGGGAAGCCCGGCCCGGCCGGCCCCGCCCGAAAAAGCCCGACCCGGCCAGCCCGGCCCGACCCGGCCCGGCCCGACGCUGCCCCCGGGCCGGGCUCGGGCCUAGUUUUUGAGCCCGAAGGUCGGGCCGGGCCGGGCCUGGGCCCGUCAUUUUUGCAAAUUUCUGAAGGUUGGGCCGGCCCGGCCCGAAGCCCGACGGGCUUUUAUGUGUUCGGGUCGGGCUCGGCCCCAGAAACACAUGCCCGAUGGCUGGGCCGGGCCGGGCCUGGGCCUGGGUUUUUUGUGUCGGGCUUAGCUAGGCCCAGCCCGAAGCCUGGCCCGGCCCGAGGUUUGGCCAGGUAUAAGCCUGGGCGACGACGAAUUCAUCAUCCCAGAAGAACCAUUAGAACAAAGAACGCCUCCAUCAAAGGCUUAUCUCCACUACAAGGAGCCUGAAAAAGCAUAAGCAGGCACAUGAAACACUCAAUGACAGAUGGAACGAAGUGCUAGACACCGAGGAAAAAUACGGCGGUAAUAGCUAAACAAAGAGCUAUCCCAAACGUAAGCUGCUGCCCGGAUUCGACGACGAGGCUAUCGUGCCUAUCUCGCUGAAAAACAAUACGACUGACUGGCCGGACCGACCACCUCGCAGUCGCGACAGAGCGACUAGCAAUGCUGUACAUAAUCCCGCGCCCCCUCCCCGCAAAGGAAGGAAGGCUGCGGCCCAGGACAAAAAACACGAUCUACAUGAGGACCUGGACAAAAAAGCUGGCAAAACUAGGUCCAUCUAUGGAUCCAAGGAACGUGCUCCUACACGGGAUCAUGAUCAUCAAAUAAAAUACGCCGGCCACUUACCAGCUUGGAACCAAUAUCAGACAAUGCAACCAUUGGACCAAAUCCACGACACAGCCAGAUACAGGGGUGCCGCACACCCCCUAUGCUUCACCGAUGAGGUACUGGAACAUGAUUUUCCAGAAGGGUUCAAACCUGUAAACAUCGAGGCAUAUGAUAGAACGACGGACCCCGCGGUUUGGAUAGAAGACUUUAUUCUUCACAUCCACAUGGCUCGCGGAGAUGACCUCCACGCCAUUAAAUAUUUACCCCUCAAGCUAAAAGGACCAGCUCGGCACUGGUUGAAAAGCCUCCCCGAAAAUUCCAUCGGAAGAUGGGAAGAACUUGAGGAUGCCUUCUGGGCCAAUUUCCAAGGGACCUAUGUCCGGCCUCUGGACGUUGAUGAUCUAAGCCACAUAAUCCAACAACCCGGAGAAUCAGCUCGUAAGCUUUGGAACAGGUUUCUCACUAAGAAGAACCAAAUUGUCGACUUUCCGGACGCCGAAGCUUUAGCGGCCUUCGAACAUAGUGUCUGGAAUGAAUGGAUGGCCAGACACCUCGGCCAGGAAAAGCCAAGGACAAUGGCCGCCUUAACUACACUCAUGACCUGCUUUUGCGCGGGCGAAGAUAGCUGGUUAGCACGUAGCAGCACCAGUGAUACCAGCACAUCCAAAGUCAGGGAUGGCAACGGAAAACCACAACGCAACAAAAACAAACGGCGGAACAAUGAAGAAAGCCCGGACAAUAUAGCGGUAAACGCCGGAUUCAGGGGAUCAAGACCAGGUCAACGGAAGAAGCCAUUUAAAGGCAACAAGGACAGUCCAUCUAACCUGGACAAAAUCCUAGACAGGCCCUGUCGGAUUCACGGCACUCCCGAUAAACCAGCUAAUCAUACCAACAGAGAAUGUUGGGUCUUCAAGCAGGCCGGCAAACUCAACGUUGAACACAAAGGGAAGGGACCUCAGAGCGAAGACAAGGAUGAACCUCGCCAGCCGAACACGGGGUGACAAAAGAAAUUCCCACCGGAGAUCAAAACAGUCACUACAAAAAAAAUACACUACCGUGAUGAUACGUGUUUGUCAUAGUAGGUCGCGUUUUCUGUCAUGCAUGUACAUCCAUGACGAUUUUAUGACAGAAUCAAGAUAGUCAUACUUGUGCUGUAAUAGAAGUGUCACAGAAGUGCUUUCAUCAAGGGUGACCGACACGUGGCAUCCACCGUAAUGGAACGCCAUUAAGCUAUCAGGUCCCAUUUUGGACCCGAUAACCCGUUAACAGCCCGGACCAAUGGGGAUUUUCCAUGUGUAAAAUCAUCAUUGGCUGGAGGAAACACGUGUCAGCUCCCCGUUGGCACAGGUGUCACUCAUCCAAUGGCCGAGAUGCGCCUAUGUAAUGUUGACACGUGGACCAGCCCAAAAGUGGCCCAUAAAGUUUAAAUGUGCCGGCCCAACUAAAGGGCCACAAGAUUCUGCGGUCCAUAAUGGGCCGGCCCAGCAAAAGGCCCACGAGAUUUUGCGGGCCAUAAUGGAGUGGUCCAGCUAAAGGCCCACAAGUUUUUGCCGGCCAUAAUGGGCCGGCCCAGCUAAAGGCCUGCGAGGUUUUGCGGGCCAUAACGGGCCAGCCCAGCUAAAGGCCCCCAAGAAUUUGCGGACCAUAAUGGGUCGGCCCAGCUAAAGGCCCACGAGAUUCCGCCGCCCAUAAUGGAUCGGCCCAGCUGAAGGCCCAAAAGAUUUUGAUGACACUAGUAGGCCGGCCCAUUGACAGGCUGCCAUGUUUUGGGCCAAAUGCCGGCCCAUAUUUGAUCCGGUCCAUUAACAGCCUGCCACGUUCCGGACCUAAUAGAGGCCCAUAUGAGAUCUGGCCCGUUAAAAGCCUCCCACGUUUUGGGCCAAAUUACAGCCCAGAUCAGGUCCGGCCCUUUGAGAGGCUUUGGGCUAAAUUAUGGCCCAUAUCAGAUUCGACCCGUCAACUGGACGCUAUGCUUUUGGGCCCACUUGAUAAAGGGCCAUUUAGUAAUUCGGCCUGAUAUUAGUUUCGGCCUGUUAAAGGCCCGUUUAACAUUUCAGCCCUAUAUAUAUUUUGGCCUGUUAAAAGCCCGUCAUAUAGUUGGGCCUAACUACGGCCCCGUUUGCAUCCGGCCUGCUCAUAGCUGAUAAUCUGAUUAGGGCAAACAAGGACCAAGACAAUUUUGGCCUGUUAUAAGCCCAUGAUUUGAUUGGCACAGUCAUGGGCCGGGGUCUAUUAUGGCCUGCUGCCGUCCCGUGAGCUGUUCGGCAUGUUUCAGGCCUAACCUACUUUUCGGCCUCCUAAAAGCCCAUUGAGUUUUCCUGGGAAAAUAGGGCCAACGGUUUACUCGGCCUAUUAAAGGCCCGAAUCUACUAGUGGACCAAUUUACAUUUAGGCCUGUUAACGGACCAAGAUGACGGGGCCCAUGAUGCGGAUCAUACAUAGUGAUUUGCAUGACAACCCGAUUAUGUACCGCAAUUUUACGGUUUGGCUGGUUUACUGCGAAGACAGGAUAUAUAUACAGUAAAAUAACUGCAUCAUCGUGAAUAAGAAAAAACCCUAGACUAUACAAUAAAGAACUUACGGCAUAUUACAUCCACUAGGCAUCAAAGUUCGCCACUAUGAUAAUAAAGCACAAGCAGACAACAGAUUACAUACACUGAGCAUCAAAGAUCGCCACCAGUGCAAUUAAACACGCCAACAAAAUAAUAUACAAAACUGACAACACUUCAAUAGAGUUCAAGAAAGGUUAGCCCUGCUCGAAAGCUGCAGCGCAAGCAGCUGAGCAAGCUGAUGAGACUGUAUUUGUUUGACACUUAUUUCCUCCUCACCCUGAAAGAUAAACAAGCAGACAGAUGACAUGUUUUGCACAAUAAGUAUCAAUGUUGACAAUUCAUCACAUUUCUUACUGACGAAUAAAGUAACAUAGUUUAAAAUAGUAUUAACACAAUAUGGUAUUGUUCAGGUCAAGACAUGGCAGGAAAUGACAUUGUGAAGGAGUUGGCAGCUUCACGACACCACUGGAUUAUAGAUCAAGAACUCAUAAGUAUCAAUGGUAAGUCUGCUAUCAAUUUACCCAUUUCAGAUUGGAAAAAUAAGAUCACUUGCUCUGUAUAGUUUAAUUUACAUGGCAUGAAGAAGGAACUUGGUUGUACAACUGAAAACUUAAAUUGAGAAGGACAAACUUUUGUUUAUGAACUACAUAAUAAACUUUAAACAUGCAAUUUGAUGCAAACACCAAAAAUAAACAGCUGUUGCAGUCAUGCCUAACCAAAUAUACACAACAAAGUUUGAAGGCUUGAGAAGGAUAAACUUACAUUAUUGGUGAAGGCAGGCUCUAUAAAGCCCUUAUCCAUUCUGAUGGGGGGGGGCAAUUCAAGAAGUUUACCACAUAAUCUUCUUCAUAAGCAUUGCCUUUAUUCUACAUUUUUUAAGAGUAAAUAUAUAUGUGACAAUAUAAGAAAAAAAUAGAGAAUAUUUAAGAUAAGAUGAAGAGUGAUGCUACAUAACCAAGUAGCUAUAAAUGUAAGUACAUCAAUACAGGCAAAAGGUACAGCCAAGGGCAAUGCAGAGCUAAACUUCUUCAGUACCAUCGGUGUUAUCCAACCAUAUGGUAAGAGUAAAUAUAGAUCUGCUGUGUAGAAAAUGGAGGGCAAAGGAAAAUAAGCUGCAGACUGAUGGUACAUGAACAACUACCUCUCAAUAUAAGUACACUGACAAAGGACAGCAGGUACUUACAAGAACAAUGUAGAGCUAAAAAAAUUCAUUGGCAUUGGAUAUAUUCUACACUAAUGUAACCAUUCAUACAGAUCAGAUAAUUUGGUGCGAACAAUUGAUAAGCAAGCUAUCAUGUAUACUGCUGUCACAUAAUGAACCAGGUAUGUAUGCAAGUACAGUGAUACAGGACAACAGGUACUAACAAGAGCAAAGUAGCGGGCAACAUAUUUGCGAUAUCCUGUCGUUCUUUUCAAACCAGAAUUCUUUUUCGAGCAGAUUUCCUGCAAAAAAGAUCCGUGAGGCACAUGCGGAAAGGUAAAAGUUCAAAUUGUCAUGCAAUAUCAUAGACAGUACCUCAUCCUCGGAACAAGACCAGUGCAUAACAAGGUUUUUCCAUUCAGUGUCUUCUAAAUUUAGCACAGGAGACUUCACCGGAAAUUCGUUUAUAGACUUGCCAUCAAAGUGUGAUUUCCUCAGGUAACACCAAUACUGCUGCAAUGCUUCCUUGAAAAGUGCAAGCAAGCUUUGCUCGUCAUGACCAUCUAGAUUGACCCUCGCCUACUUACAACAAUGCAAUGUAAAUCAUUGAUGUGUUCAAUCAGCAGAAAACAGGAAAAUAAUCACCAUGAAUAAUAGCACUUACACGUAAGUGGGACAAGAAGAUGUGAAAAUGGUGUUUGUCUUCACUAUAAUCUUCCCAUGAUGGGAAUAUAUGCAGGUAGUCCCUAACAACAUUGAAAGCAUUGUCUUUUAAACUGGGAAUAACUGGAAUGGGGUUCCAAUCUACAGGAAUUGGCCGUCUCUGCAGUUGGGAUAGGUCUUCGGCCGGUGGACUUGCUGUACUUUUUGCUGGAGUGAGAUUUUUCUGUGGUACGGCUGGUGCUAUGGCAACUGAAAUCGGCAUACAUUUUGCUGGAGUGUAGGUCCUGUGUGGUGGGGCUAGUGGUGUGGCCAGUGAAGUAUGGGUAUAGUCUGCUGGAGUCGGUCCUACAUUUUGUGUCACUGGUUAUACAUCCAAUAUAAGUGGGGUGUUGUCUGAUUUCUCCGGCACAACCAUGUUUUUCAAGGACUUUGCUGGUGUUCCUUCAGGUUCGGCAAUCACCCUCUUCCUUUUUGAUGUCUGAUGCACAAGAACAACAUUUGAGUGGAAAAAUAUGGUAUGAUGACAGAUGGAAUAUGUAUUGAUAAUGGAUGGGCAUGGCAUCUCAACAUAUAUGAUGAGUAAACUAAGCAGAUGGUGGUGCAACAAAGUAGAAGAAAUGCAAGACAACAUAUGCAAGAUACGCGCAAUCAAUAAAACCUUGCCAAAUUAUAACAAGCACCUUGAUGGGUGAACAUGAAAGGCCAUCUGCCUUUGACUCCUCGAGGUUAGAAUAGUCAUUAGGAUCAUAUUCUGAACAAGAAUCUACAGGUGUGGAGCGUAUGAGUUUCAUUGCAUCCAGAAUGGCACUCAAUGCCUUGGUGCCAAUUUUGUAAGUCAUUGCAGUGUUCCACAAUAUUCUUCUGAUGUGCGGAUUCUGAUAUUCACUGUUAUUACGUAUAAUAUAUGAGAACCAUGAAAACAUAAAUAGUUGUGAGAUUAUCUUUGUAAUGCAGAUGAUAUUCUAAUAUAGGGGCGCCCCUGUAAACACUUGUGUGCUAUCACUGGAUUCUGAUGAGAGAGCUCAUGUGUGCUGUAAUAUGGUGCAUGCAUUUAUAAUCUGGCACAAGUACACAAAAAAAUAGGCUCCAGAAGUAAGGAUAGUUGGAAGAUGAUAGGUUCAUAAUAUACUGUAUAGAGAGUUUAUUGCCAAACCAUGAUAACAAGAGCACACAACAACUAGGCGGAUCAUAGUGUACAUAACAGGGGUACACCAUAACCACGAUAUAUAAAUCAGGAAAGUGGAACUGGCUUGAAAAUACGGUGUUGUAUUGCCGCUAGUAAUUGAAAGCCUAUCGAUCACGUACAUGCCAGCUCUAUCAUCUGUUGACUGCAGAUGUCCCUGUGCCCCUUCCUGAUAAGGAACAUACUAUACGUACUAAAUACAGAAUAAACAAAGAGGAACAUGUUAAAGAACAGAAGAGGAAGCAUAUUCUUGAGGUUCCGCUUCAUUGCAUACAAUGUUGGUUGCCCACUCAUGAUGAAUCACAUCACCCAAAGAAAUGCAAUUCCAUGCUGUCUCUCUAUAUGUGGCAAUUUUGAACAAGAGUCAUUAGGAUCAUAUUCUGAACAAGAGUCAACAGGUGGGGAGCAUAUGAGUUUCAUUGCAUCCAAAAUGGCACUCAAUUCCUUGGUGCCAAUUUUGUAAGUCAUUGCAGUGUUUAGCUUCAAGAGUGGACUGCUGCUAGUGCAACACAAAGCAGCUACACAGAUCAUAAUGUAGAUAUAACAGGAAAACCUUAAGCAUCAAAGUAAAAUCAGCAAAGUAGAACUUGCUGGAAUAUAUGUGCUAGUAUUGCCGGUACGUCUAGAAUGGCUUCGGAUACCAGCUCUCUUCAAGUGAAGGUGCGGUACUGUUAAUAUCAGUGUAACUCUCAAAGGUGACACAGCUCCCCGCAUUUCCUUGCUAUUCUUAUAGGAUUCAAGUGGGCUGGCCACUACAAAUCCUAUUUCUAUGUUUACAAAAUCCUACGAAUCAAAGAGGCUCAAAGUGUCCAUCACAACCAACCGUAUAGACCUCUACACUGCAAAUGUCCCCGCUCAUCUUCAGUACAAGGAACAUACUGUACUACUAUCAUACUCCCUCCAUUCCAAAAUAUAAGUCUUGGUAGAGAUUUCCACUAUGGAUCACAUACAGAUGUAUCCAGAUACAUUCUAGAGUGUAGAUUCACUCAUUUUGCUCCAUAUCUAGUCCAUGGUGGAAUCUAUACAAAGACUUGUAUUUAGGAACGGAGAGAGUACAUAUUAAAGAAGAACGGAAGAGGAACAUGGUAAAGAAGAGCAAGCAGAUUUUGGAUAAUAAAAUGUUGGUUGCGCAGUGCCCACACAUGAUGAACCAUAGCGCAUUAAGAAUGCAACUCCAAGCUGUCUGUCGACCAUUUCAGGCGGUUGGAUGAAGAUCCUACGUCUCCUAACCUUUUUUCUUCCUUGUCUCUGAUUCUUCCCAUACAGAACACCGCACGGGCCGCCGGCCGGACCACCGGCCCCCACCGCCUGUGUUCCUCCGCCACCGCCACCCCCACCCCGCCCCCACCCCACCCACGUCAAGUUUUCUUUGUUCGGCAAGGCCCCACAACCACCCGAGCCCCUUCGUUUGCACCGGAGAACUCCAGCACGCUUUGAAAAAUCGGCUGACCCAAUUUUGCAAUUUAGUCUACUGUGAUUUAACUAGUGUGGAAUAUAAAAGGGGAAAAUCAUAAGCAUUGGGAGUAUAGUGUUGAGCAUGCCAUGGCGGAUCUGAAGGUGCAAACCGAACAAAGGCAACUUCGCAACCAAGACAAGAAAUCAGAGUAAAGCAGUGGCGAUCUAUUUUCUUGCUGCGAUAAAUAAGUUGAGCAUAUACGAAAGAGUACCGCCUCUGGUGCGGCGCCGUGUAUGCGUCUGCUGAGAAUUUGACAGUGCUGCGGUAGCGAUGGCUGUCGGCAGCAUGGAAGCAGAUCUAGGAGGGUAGACGGUGGCGCGGGGCUAGGUGGACGGGACGGUCGUGGGAGUGGCGCCGGCAAGGUGGACGAUGGCGGGGAUGAAGCGAGAGGACGGGAUGCAAGGAUUCCGGUCCGAAGCCGUGGAUGAGAGAGGUCGAUCUCUUGUAAUGGACGACGACGUCGGGGUAUCAACUCCGGCAUGGUGGAGGAGGACGGCGGUGGAUGGGGUGGCGGACAGAGGAGGCUGGGGUGGAGAGGGUGUUUUGGCGCCCACGGAGUACGAAUGGGGAAAAGGGAGGUAGAGAGGAAGGGGGAACCAUGUAUUUAGGGCGCGCUUGUCUCAAAUGCGUGGAAAUUUACAAACUUAGCCCCCGUUUCAAAUUUCCUACAUCACAACAAUAUUAGUCGGUUAGGGAUAGGACGGUAAUCUCGCAUACACCAAAUAUUUGCCGACGAGAGUUUGUUUUUGGCACCCACCGUUUAUGAAUAUGAAUCGGGGAGGGAGUCGAUUUCGGCCGAGGACACACUGUGUUUUGGCGCCCACCGUGUAUGAAUCCGGGUGAGAGGCGGUUACGUCACAUUUGGGUGAAAUUACAAACCUACCCCUAUCGAAACCUAUAGAAAUCCAGCAGAUAGGCUUAGCGUGGCAGGGAUAGGCAGUAGUAAUUUCCAUCUCAUAGAUUUUGGUUUCGGGCGGUUACUACGACUUUCCCCGCUUCGUUCAAAUUUUGCAGAGCGCACGUUAACCAUGCCAACUCAAUUCGAAUCCCAUUUGUAUUCUAUUUUUUCGGGCGGGAUCCAUUUUCAAUUGGAAUUAAAUUCUAUACACAUCAUUUUUUUAUAUAUACUUUCAAAAGCACAACACCAUUUAUACAUAAAUAUGGUUUACAAAUGGCAUGAUCUUAGAUUCAUAAGGUUGUAUCCAUCAAUUUGGAUUUUCAAAUAUUUGAAACCACUUUAUGUUGAAAUCCAAUGUAUGCAUUCCUCGCUAACUGUCUCCAAUUAAUGUGUGUUUCAUGUGUUUUUUUUACUUCUCAAACAUGUAUAAUGUGUUUCACACACGCAACAUAUAGUGUAAUCCCGUUUAGACAUUAAUUGCAUAUAAACCAUGCAUUGUUUGUAAUUAAAGAAUCUAUGGAUCACCAAUAUUGGUAAACUAUAUAACAUUACACGUGUGCCCAAAUUCAAAUGAAUAUGCAUGUUUGAUACACCAAUUUGCACUAUGAUACUAUCGAUGUCGUGAUCUCCAGUUUAAAUAUUUGAAUCCCCUUUAAUCCAUAUAUUCGUCUCAUAUAGCUAUCACUCAUGCUUAUAUAGGACUAUCUCUCUGGACCUAUACACGUUCAUCGUCUCUCAGGUAUCUCGCGUGCUACCUGUAUGUCGACAAUGAUCUUUUAUCUUCGUAACACACUGCCGGUACUCCCUCCCUCGACCUUCAUCACUCUAUCUCUCUCUAAGUAUAUCUCUCUCCCUGCUAUGUGUCUCUAACUAUGAUUCUCCAUGUGGAAUCUCUUUCAAUCACACAACACAAAACUUUGUAUCCCGGGGUCUCAUUUCUCUCUACUAUUCCCAUGUGUGCCACUCGCACACCCCUCAUACAGAGAUGUCUUUUGCUCCUUAGAUAUGAGAACCUACAACUCUUCCUCUUAAAUAUCUCUUUCUCACACACAAACACAAACUCUGUCUCCUAGGGUCUCAUAUUUCUCCACUGUUCUCUUGUAUGUCGCUCACACACACUCUCUCCCUAGAGAUAUCUUGCGUUCCCUCAUAUGUCUCUCUAGCUAUCAUUCUCGUUGUGAAAUAUCUUUCUCUCUCGUAGACACAAAACUCUGUCUCUCGGGAUCUCAUUUCUCUCUGAUAUCUGUUUGUAUGUGACUCACAUGCACCCUCUCUCUAUCUCUCUCACACCCACACACAUAACUCAGCCUUCUGAUGCACUCGACUCCUAUCUCUAACGCACACUAGCUAGCAUCUUUAUCUUUCUAGUUAUCUGUUUCUCCAUCAACCUUCUUUCUCGCCCUCACUCUUGCUUCCUAUCACGCACACUACAUAUGUUUCUCUCUACAUGCAGUCAAGUGCCCUCUUUUUAUCUUUCUCUCACACACACAUAUAUAACUUCACCCUCUGAACCACCCGGCGGUCAUCUCCAACACUCAAACUAGCGGAUGUCCCUCUAGCUAGCAUCUCCAUCUCUGUAUCUAUUUGUAGUUUCUCCAUCAACAUUUCUUUCUCGCACGGAGUCUUGCUUCCUAUCACCCACACUAUAUAUGUCUCUCCAUACAUAUGAAUUUAUAGGUUGAUCUCUUUUGCACAAUCGUUGUGCCUCACUCCCUCUGCUCACCAUAGAUGCAUGCUCCAGCCCACGCCACUAUCUCUUAAAGACAAAAACACAUGCUCAAUUGUCGGGCCUUCUUCCUUGCAUUCUCACAUGCAUGCAUAUUGUCAUACCGAUCCGUCUCUCCCAUGUCGUUGAUCUUACGACUUAUGUUUUCUUUCUUUUAUCUCAAUCUUGCGCGCGCGCACACACACACAUCCCAUGUAUACAUGUAUACCUUUCACACAUGCAUGUUCAAUGUCUCUAUGUCUCCAUACGUAGUUAAUUACCCUCAACCCUAACGCCACAUCGAAUUGUUCUCCUCUUGUGUGCACAUAACUUCCGCCUGGAUGGAUAAAACACACACUCACACUUAACAAUCUCCUUCUAGCUACCCCCUCCCACUCUUCCCCUAUAUCCCCGAAACAAAUAAGACUGUCCCUUUGUUUAAUUCCCGCCUACAUGCACCAUCGGUAUAUAGUAGUCUUCCUCGGUGUCUCUCAAACAAACACGUUCUCUCGAUGUCGACUCCUCUCACGCACACACACCUUCUCUUCCCUCUCUACGGGUGUCGGGGGGAUGAACCCCGGGCAGGCAACGGAACCCGGAUCCUCUUCAAAAAUAGUGGGGCCCAUAGCGCCCCUCGAACCGGCAUGCGCCUGGCCGGGUCGCUCGACCCGGCAAGGCCCGCAACCCGGCCAAACUCUCCGACCCGGCAAGGUACAUCGACCCAGCCUCAGCAAUUGGCGCAAGGCAACCGAACCUGGCACGACCAAGGCUUCCCCAACAAGCCGACCCCCCGUGGCGUGAGCACGAAAUCCAACCACGGGUCAAGCUCCCAUCCCAUUCAGGCCGUACAAUGGGAUGAGACCUCAAUCACCGAUGCCCAAGACAACAGUGCUUCCACCCAUGCCUAUGGUCAGUCGGAGCAUGGCAACAAUGCCCCUUACCUACCCGCUGACCGGGGCUCGCGUGGCAAUAGUGCACCCGCCCUCACCGUGACGAUAGCAAGCGGCAACCUGAUGGAGAGCACUGUACGCGACUUCGGCCACACCCCGAUGAUCGACAAGAUGACGCACAGUCCCCCUAGGCACGCAGGGCCCGUACCUAGGGGAACCCGGCGAACCACAAGCCCUCAGCAGGACCCAGUCCGGUAUCCCGGACACCGGCAAUACGGACCCACCGACUCGGUGUAUUACCGUUGUAGCCCUGGGCGGGUUGAUCUAUAAAACCCCCUAAGAACCCGUGCCUACAGGGCAUGAGCAGCAUAAUGUACAAGGUAGCAUGUGAGAAACAGAUACAAGGGACAAGCAAGCAAGCCUAGGACUAGCCACCAAACCGCAACCCCGGAGAGAAGGAGCAGCCCAAGCCUUGUCCAGCUUCCUUCCUCUUCCAAACAGCUCCAGGAGCAACAUUGUACUAUUGAUCAUCCAACUACACUCGGCAGGACUAGGGGUAUUAUCUCUCCGGAGAGCCCCGAAACUGGGUAUGUCCGGCGUCCCGCGCCCGCUCAUGCCAACCUCGCCUUUGGAGCCCACCAGCGCCCUCGAGCCUCCUCCUCUCUUUAGCCAUCCCUUGGCAUCUGCCGUACGCCCACCAUGACAGUUGGCGCCCACCGUGGGGCAGCUCGGGGAGCUGGCAGGAGCAUGCUUUAGACGGGGCCCUUCUCCUACACCAACGAGUCCGUCGCGCUGGCGGACGAUGUUGUCAGCGCGCUUGCCGCCUCCUUCGCUGCGCUGCACAUCUCCGAUGCGUUCGUGGUCGAUGAGUACCCCAACAAGGUGCUCAGCUACUCUGACUCUCCCCUCUCCCUCGGCGGUGGCAUUGCUGCCGGGGCGAUGGACGUCCAUGUGGAGGUUUUCGUCACCAGCGAGGGCGCCUCCUCCUCGUCGAGCAAGAUGAGGAAGGCCGCGGAAUCCAGGGCCGCUGCGGAACGGACCGAGCCGUCCUAUCCGCUGCGCGCCGCGAUGCAGAGCCUCCACAUCCCCAUCAGCACCGACAUCGACGCCACCAACACCACCGAGGCCCAAUCUCAGCUCGAGGAAAGGCGCCAGCAGAUGCUGGACCUGUCUGAGACGCUCGCCGCCACCAAGCGUCGCCUGGAGGCCGCUUAGAUGGAGCACGACGCCGCCCACGGGUUAGCGCUUGGCGUGGCCGAGCCAAGCCGGGUCAUCGAUGUGCAUACCCGGGGAGGAGCGAUCGGCCGGGCCCUCGGCGCCGUCCGAACCGUCUAUGAGACCCUAGUGAAGAACAUGCUCAUUGCGGAGGCAGCCACGGUCGGCCUGGACCAGCUCGCGGGUGAGGAGCUGAAAGAGCGCAUCGGGCGGAUGCACGAGCUCCUCCACGCUGCCAACACCCAGUAGGAUCGCCUCAACCAGCUCGCCAAGCCGGCGGGAUCCGGCUCCGCCCGCCUUGGCGGACACGAUGAACUUCUGCACACGGCUUCCUCGCCGCCCGGCGAGGCGCACUUCGGCCAAGCCCGGACUCGGCGCAACCCGGCUGCCACAGCAGCCGACGUCCUGGGCAAUGAACCCGCCGCGGAGACCCAGCAUGGACUCGGCCAGCAUGGCCGGCGUCCGGCUCCAACCGACCUGGCCCCUCGGGGCCUGGCCACCAGUCGACUCGGCCCGUGCGCCAUCGACGACGCCGACGCUCGCCACCGCCUCGAUCAGCUCGCUCGCUCCCUGGAGGUGGAGGAGAGCGGCGCUAUCGGGCCGGCGUGCUUCGGCCCACGCAUCCGGGGGGAGCCCUUCCCCAAAGGGUUCAUGCUCCCCCGUGACACCUCCAAGUACAACGGGACCGUGAAGCCAGAAGAUUGGCUCACAGACUAUACCACGACCAUUGGCAUCACCGGUGCCAAUCGCCGUCUCGCUGUGCGCUACGCACCGCUCAUGCUCCAGGGGUCGGCCCGCACAUGGUUGAACAGUCUGCCGAUGGGCAGCAUCAACGCAUGGGUCGACUUCGAGGAGGCCUUUGUACGCAACUUCACGGGGACCUGCAAGUGACCCGGUCGUCCUAGCCAGCUCGCCAUGUGCGUGCUGGGGCCGACGGAGACCGGUCGCGAGUACCUCGCACGCUGGACCGAGCUCCGAAACAGCUGCGAGGGUGUCCAUGAAGUCCAGGCAAUCCAGUACUUCGUCAGCGGGUGCUGAGACGGCACCCUCCUCAAGCAGAAGCUCUUACGCUUCGAGCCGGCCACCAUGGCCGCACUCAUGGUGACGGCGGACAAGUACGCCAACGCCGACUCUACCAUGAAGGUCCAGGUGGCGUUGGAUGAAGCCGGCAAGGCGAAGCCGGUUCCUCCCCCGAAGUCGGCUGGCGAAAGCAGUCGAUAGCAGCAUCACCAGAACAACAAGCGCAAGGCCGACCAGCCGGUGCAGCGUCACGACAACCGGCUUGUCGCGGCCACCGAGCCGACGGACCCGACGGCGAAGCGCCGGCAGACCGGCAAGAUGGUGUGGCAACCCGCCAUGAGUUUCGAAGAAAUGCUCGACGCCCCAUGCAAGCACCACAGCGGCGCAAGACCCUCCACGCACACGCUUCGGCAGUGCGCCAUCACCAAGCGCAUCAUGAGGGGAGACGUCCCACCCCCUCCGGCUCCGGCUCCGGCUCUAGGCGCGGGACAGCCGCCUCCGCCUCCACCACCACCUCCCGCUGGCGGUGCGAUGCGCAAAGACGCCUACCCGGACCAGAACGCGGCCUACGUCGUCUUCACCAGGCUUGGCGAUGACAAGCACAGCGAGCACCUCCUUCGGCAAGAGGUGAACACCAUCGUCCAGGCCCAGCCGGAGUUCAUGCACUGGUCGGAUCGCCCGAUCACCUGGACUCGGGAGGAUCACCCGGCAGUCAUGCUGAGUUCGGGUGGUUACGCCCUCAUCCUCAACCCCACCAUCAUCACGCGGUGCACAUGCAAGUUCUCCCGAGUCCUCAUUGACGGCGGCAACAGCAUCAACAUCCUCUACCGCGACAUGAUGACCAAGCUCGGCCUUAAGGCCGAGGACCUGGAGCCGACCCGAACAAUCUUCCACGGCAUCGUGCCCGACCUCUCCCGCUAUCCCAUUGGCCGGGUCCGUCUCGAUGUCCUGUUCGGCGACAGCAGCCACUUUCGACGCGAACCGAUCUGGUUCAAGGUGGUGAACCUGUCCAGCGCGUAUCACGCAUUGCUGGGCCGGCCCGCGCUUGCCAAGUUCAUGGCGGUUCCCCACCGGCGACUACCACAAGUCCCUGGAGUGCACCCGAGACGGCGCCAAGUUGGUUGAGUCGCUGGUAAUUGCCGAGGAGCGGCGCCAGCUCGACCGGAUCGUCGCCCUGGCAGGCGAGGCCUCCGCUGCGUCGAUCCCGACCCCGGACCUGGCCGACGAGGCCGCCUUCAAGCCCUCCAAGGAUACCAAGAAAGUGAAGCUCAACCCGGAAGACCCCAGCUGCAGCAAGUAUGUUGUCGUAGGCGCUCGCCUCGACAGCAAAUAGGAAGGCGAGCUCAUCGACUUCCUUCGUGAGAAUCGGGAUAUCUUCGCAUGGACCCCCAAGGACAUGCCGGGUAUCUCGAGGAAGUACGCCGAGCACAAACUUCACGUCCGCAAGGACGCCAAGCCUAUCCAUCAACCCCUACAAUGAUUUUCCGAAGAGAAGAGAAGAACCAUUGGUGAAAAGGUUGCCAAGCUUUUGGUGGCCGGCUUCAUAAUGGAAGUGUUUCACCGCGAGUGGCUGGCUGAUAACCCACAAGUAUAGGGGAUCGCAACAGUUUUCGAGGGUAGAGUAUUCAACCCAAAUUUGUUGAUUCGACACAAGGGGAGCCAAAGAAUAUUCUCAAGUAUUAGCAGCUGAGUUGUCAAUUCAACCACACCUGGAAACUUAGUAUCUGCAGCAAAGUGUUUAGUAGCAAAGUAAUAUGAUAGUGGUGGUAACAGUAACGAAAGUAAAGACAACAAAAGUAAUGAUUUUGGUAUUUUGUAGUGAUUGUAACAGUAACAACGAAAAGUAAAUAAGCGAGAACCAGUAUAUGGAAAACUCGUAGGAACCGGAUCAAUGAUGGAUAAUUAUGUCGGAUGUGGUUCAUCAUGUAACAGUCAUAACAUAGGGUGACACCGAACUAGCUCCAGUUCAUCAAUGUAAUGUAGGCAUGUAUUCUGAAUAUAGUCAUACGUGCUUAUGGAAAAGAACUUGCAUGACAUCUUUUGUCCUACCCUCCCGUGGCAGCGGGGUCCUAUUGGAAACUAAGGGAUAUUAAGGCCUCCUUUUAAUAGAGAACCGAAUCAAAGCAUUAGCACAUAGUGAAUACAUGAACUCCUCAAACUAUGGUCAUCACCAGGAGUGGUUCCGAUUAUUGUCACUUCGGGGUUGCCGGAUCAUAACACAUAGUAAGUGACUAUAGACUUGCAAGAUAGGAUCAAGAACUCACAUAUAUUCAUGAAAACAUAAUAGGUUCAUAUCUGAAAUCAUGGCACUCGGGCCCUAGUGACAAGCAUUAAGCAUAGCAAAGUCAUAGCAACAUCAAUCUCAGAACAUAGUGGAUAAUAGGGAUCAAACCCUAACAAAACUAACUCGAUUACAUGAUAAAUCUCACCCAACCCAUCACCGUCCACCAAGCCUACAAUGGAAUUACUCACGCACGGCGGUGAGCAUCAUGAAAUUGGUGAUGGAGGAUGGUUGAUGAUGACAAAAGCGACGAAUCCCCCUCUCCGGAGCCCCGAACGGACUCCAGACCAGCCCUCCCGAGAGAGAUUAGGGCUUGGCGGCGGCUCCGUAUCGUAAAACGCGAUGAUUUCUUCUCUCUCAUUUUUUCUCCCCGAAGGCCAAUAUAUGAAGUUGGAGUUGGCGUCGGAGGGCCACUAGGGGUGCCACGUGGUAGGGGGGCGUGCCCAGGGGGGGGGGCACCCCCACCCUCGUUAACAGGUUGUGGGCCCCCUGGUCUUCAUCUUUUGCGAGGAUUUUUCUUUAUUUUUUCUAAGGCGUUCCAUGGAGUUUUAGGACAUUCCGAUAAUCUUUAUUUUCUGCACAAAAACAACACCAUGGCAGUUCUGCUGAAAACAGCGUCAGUUCGGGUUAGUUCCAUUCAAAUCAUACAAGUUAGAGUCCAAAACAAGGGCAAAAGUGUUUGGAAAAGUAGAUACGACGGAGACGUAUCAACUCCCCCAAGCUUAAACCCUUACUUGUCCUCAAGCAAUUCAGUUGACAAACUGAAAGAGAAAAAGAAAAACUUUUACAAACUCUGUUUGCUCUUGUUGUUGUAAACAUGAAAAGCCAGCACUCAAGUUUCAGCAAAUAUUAUGAAGUAACCAUUCUCACAAUAACAUAAAGGUCUCACAAUUACUCAUAUCAAUAGCAAAAUCAGCUAGCGAGCUAUAAUAACAAAACUCGGAUGACAACACUUUCUCAAAAUAAUUAUGACAUGAUAUAACAGAAUGGUAUCUCUCUAGCCCUUUUUGAGACCGCAAAACAUAAAUGCAGAGCACCUUUAAAGAUCAAGGACUGACUAAACAUUGUAAUUCAUGGUAAAAGAGAUCCAGUCAGGUCAUACCCGAAAUAAACCAAUAAUAAUGAAUGCAAAUGACAGUGUGCUGUCCAGCGGGUGCUUUUUAAUAAGAAGGGUGAUGACUCAACAUAAAAGUAAAUAGAUAGGCCCUUCGCAGAGGGAAGCAGGGAUUUGUAGAGGUGCCAGAGCUCGGUUUUAAAAUAGAGAUUGAAUAACAUUUUGAGCGGCAUACUUUUGCUGUCAACACAACAACUAUGAGAUGACGAUAUCUUCCAUGCUAAACAAAUUAUAGGCGGUUCCCAAACAGAAUGGUAAAGUUUAUAGUCCCCUUCCUCCACAAGCAUCAACCCAUGGCUUGCUCAAAACAACGAAUGCCUCCAACAUUCAACGGGUCCCAAGGGGAGUUUUGUUUGCAAUUAUUUUGAUUUAGUUUGCAUAAAGCAUGGGACUGGGCAUCCCGGUGACCAGCCAUUUUUCUCGUGAAUGAGGAGCGGAGUCCACUCCUCUUGAGAAUAACCGCCUAACAUGGAAGAUAAGGGCAGCCCUAGUUGAAACAUGAGCUACUCGAGUGUACAAAACAGAAUUUUAUUUGAAGGUUUGCAGUUUGGCACAUACAAAUUUACUUGGAAUGGCAGGUAAAUACUGCAUAUAGGAAGGUAUAGUGGACUCAUAUGGAACAACUUUGGGGUUUACGGAGUUUGGAUGCACAAGCAGUAUUCCCGCUUAGUACAGGUGAAGGCUAGCAAGAGACUGUGAAGCGACCAACUGGGAGAGCGACAACAGCCGUAAACAUGCAUCAAAAUUAAUUUACACUGAAUACAAGCAUGAGUAGGAUAUAAUCCACCAUGAACAUAAAUAUCAUGAAGGCUAUGUUGAUUUAAUUCAACUACAUGCGUGAACAUGUGCCAAGUCUAGUCACUCAAUUCAUUUAAAGGAGGAUACCAUCCCAUCAUACCACAUCAUAAUCAUUCUAAUAGCAUGUUGGCACGCAAGGUAAACCAUUAUAACUCAUAGCUAAUCAAGCAUGGCACAAGCAACUAUAAUCUCUAAAUGUCAUUGCAAAUAUGUUUACUUCAUAAUAGCUAACUCAGGAAUGAUGAAUCAUCAUAUUUACAAAAACAAGAGAGGUCGAGUUCAUACCAGCUUUUCUCAUCCCAAUAAGUCCAUCAUAUAUCAUCAUUAUUGCCUUUCACUUGCACGACCGAAUGAUGUGAAUAAUAGUAAGAGUGCACGUGCAUUGGACUAAGCUGGAAUCUGCAAGCAUUCAACUCAAGAGAGAAGACAAGUAAUAUGGGCUCUAAGUUAAAUAAUCAUUCAUGCAUAUAUGAGCCACUAAGCAUUUUCAAUAUGGUCUUCUCGACCCCCAAAGAAAGGAAAAAAAACUAUUUACACGGGAAAGCUCCCAACAAACAAAACAAGAACGGGAAAUAUUUUUGGGUUUUCCGUUUUAAUUACUAUAGUAAAGAAAUAAAGUACUACUAUUUUUUUGUCUUUCUUAAGGUUUAUUAAACACAUAAGAAGAAAGCAGGAAAAAGAAAAUAAGCUAGCAUGGAUAUUACAGUGAAAGAGUAUGAACACCGACAUCUAGCAAUGAGUGUGUGUAAACAUGAAUGUAAUGUCGGUGGGAAAUACGUACUCCCCCAAGCUUAGGUUUUAGCCUAAGUUGGUCUAUUGCCAGGGAUGGCCUGGCGAAUACCCAUAAGUGAAGUUGUGGUCAUACUGUGACGCAGCGGCUAUCGCCUCCUGAGCUACAGUGUAGCGUCUAGCUGCCUCCGCUCUCCUCUCGUAUUCAUCUGCCUCCUCUCUGGUAAUAACAUAUCUUCCUUUUGUCUGAAAAUCAAAGAAGGCAGGAGCAGGAAGAGCAAUAUGGACUACGUGACGUUUGUUAAAGAUUAGUUGAUACUGGAGAGGUGGCUCUGUCCUCUCAACAAACCGGUGAGAAACCAUAGAAUCAAAAUCUAAAUAAGAAGGAGGUAACGCCAUAUCACCCUCAUGAAUGUCUAUCUCAAGAAAAUUAGCUAAGCGGGUUGCAUAAAUUCCUCCAAAGAAAUCCCUGUUAUGUCUAUUCUGAUGCAACCUACGAGCUAUGAUGGCUCCCAUAUGAUAAGAUUGGUCUCCUAACACAUCACUUCUGAGAAUGCUGAGAUCAGGAGCACACAAGUGACAUACUUCAUCCUUAGCAUUAAUACAUCUACCUAUAAAGAGAGCAAAAUAAUGUAUAGCGGGAAAAUGAAUGCUCCCUAAAGUGGCUUGUGUUAUGUUUCUAGAUUCCCCCACAGUUAUUUUAGCAAGAAAGUCUCUAUAUUCAGAUUUAGGGGGAUCCCUGACAUUACCCCAUGAUGGAAGCUUGCAAGCAGAGGUGAAAUCCUCUAAGUCCAUGGUAUAAGAUUUAUCAUAAAGGUCAAACAUGACUGAAGGAGAAUUACGCGAAGAUGAAAACUCAAACCUCCUCACAAAUGAACUCGUGAGAUCAUGAUACUGGGGGCAUUUGUCAGCUACAAAGUCCUCAAGACCGGCGUUGCACAAAUAUGCGCUAAAUUCUUCCUUGAUUCCUACUUGAUUCAUAAAAUUUUCCGAAGGCCAUUCACAAGGCCUCACAGGAGCAUCUCUUGGUGGUUCCUCGUCUGCAUCACGUAUUGCAAGCCUGGGACCUUGCCUCCUUGAAGGGCCACCUUGGAACAUCCUCCUAAACAUAUUGCUUCCUCUGAGAAAUUUCUGAAUUUUUUUAGUAACUUCAAAAAAAGUGAACCAACUUCAAUAAAAUUGAUAGUAACAACUCCUGAAAGUGCCUAGAGCCUAUAUAAAGCAUUGGUACUAAUUGGAACCAUAUAAAUUUGACAUGCAAGCUCAAGAACAGGGUCACCUAUGCAGCACAAAUUUACAAUGGAUAGAGCACUAGAACAAAAACUAAUUGGACCAAUGGAGGAGUCACAUACCAAGGAACAAUCUCCCCAAGCAGUUUUGCGAGAGGUGCUUUGAGCAAGGAGAUCGAAAAUCACAGCUACGGGGGCUGGAACUCGUGCUUGAGUUGUUUUUUCAUGUUUGUGUGAGACAGAGGAAGAAGAUGUGUGCAGGAAUAAGUGGAGGAGGACCACCAUGGGCCCACGAGGCAGGGGGGGCGCGCCCAGGGGGGUAGGGCGCGCCCUCCACCCUCGUGGCCAGGUGGCAGCUCCCCCCGCGGUGAUUUUUGCACAGUAAAUUCUUAAAUAUUCCCGAAAAAAUCAUAUUAAAUUGGCAUGGCAUUCUGAGGACUUUUAUUUUCGGGAUAUUUUUAUAUUGAGCGGAUAAGUCAGGAGACAGACAGAAAAAUACUAUUUUACUUUAUUUCUACUAAAUAACAGAAAAUAUAAAGAGGGUACAGAAGGUUGUGCUUGUAGUUUCAUCCAUCUCGUGAUCAUCAAAAUGAAUCCACUAACAAGGUUGACCAAGUCUUGUUAACAACUCAUUCCGAGUAAUCACGGAACCGGAGAAAUUUCAAAUGACACUAAGUUACCUCAAUGGGGAUAUGAAAAUCCCCAACAAUAAGUAUAUCAUACUUUUUCUUGACAGUAGGGAGAGGAAAUUCGAAACCUCCAAAUAUAAUCGAUGGAACUUUUCCAAUAGUGUUGAUACUAUAAACUUGAGGUUGUUUCCUCGGAAAAUGUACCGUGUGUUCAUUGACAUUGACAUGAAAAGUGACAUUGCCUUUGUUGCAAUCAAUAAUAGCCCCUGCAGUAUUAAGGAAAGGUCUUCCAAGAAUAAUAGACACACUAUCAUCCUCAGGAAUAUCAAGAAUAACAAAGUCCGUUAAAAUAGUAAUGUUUGCAACCACAGCAGGCACAUCCUCACAAAUACCGACAAGUAUAGCAGUUGAUUUAUCAGCCAUUUGCAAAGAUAUUUUAGUAGGUGUCAACUUAUUCAAGUCAAGACUGCGAUAUAAAGAGAGAGGCAUAACACUAACACCGGCUCCAGGAUCACACAAAGCAAUUUUAACAUAAUUUCUCUUAAUGGAGCAUGGUAUAGUAGGUACUCCAGGAUCUCCAAGUUUCUUUGGUACUCCACCCUUAAAAGUAUAAUUAGCAAGCAUGGUGGAAAUUUCAGCUUCAGGUAUCUUUCUUUUAUUAGUAAUAAUAUCCUUCAUAUACUUAGAAUAAGGAUUUGUUUUGAGCACAUCAGUUAAUCGCAUACGCAAAAAGAUAGGUCUAAUCAUUUCAGCAAAGCACUCAAAAUCCUCAUCAUCCUUUUUCUUGGAAGGUUUCGGGGGGAAAGGCAUGGGUUUUUGAACCCAUGGUUCCCUUUCUUUACCAUGUUUCCUAGCAACAAAGUCUCUUUUAUCAUAGCGCUGAUUCCUUGAUUGUGGGUUAUCAAGAUCAACAGCAGGUUCAACUUCUACAUCAUUAUCAUUACUAGGUUGAGCAUCAACAUGAACAUUAUCAUUAACAUUAUCACUAGGUUCAUGUUCAUCACCUGAUUGUGUUUCAGCAUCAGAAAUAGAAAUAUCAUUUGGAUUCUCAGGUGACUCAGCGAUAGGUUCACUAGAAGUUUGCAAAGUCCUAUCAUUUUUCUUUUUCUUCUUUUUAGAAGAACUAGGUACAUCAAUAUCAUUUCUCUGAGAAUCUUGCUCGAUUCUCUUAGGGUGGCCUUCAGGAUACAAAGGUUCCUGAGUCAUUCUACCUGUUCUAGUAGCCACUCUAAUAGUAUAAUCAUUUUUCUUACUAUUCAUUUCAUCAAGUGCUUCUUUUUGAGCUUUAAGUACUUGUUCUACUUGAGUUGUAACCAUAGAAGCAUGUUUGCUAACAAGUUUAAGUUCACCUCUAAUAUCAGCCAUAUAAUCACUCAAGCGUUUAAUCAUAUAGGCAUCUUGUUUUAAUUGUCUACCAAAAUAAGCAUUAAAGUCAUCUUGCUUAAACAUAAAGUUAUCAAACUCAUCCAAGCACUGACUAGCAAUUUUAGUAGGAGGGACUUCAACUUUAUCAUAUCUAUAGAGAGAAUUUACCUUUACUACCUGUGUCGGGAUAUCAGGAGGUUCUUUAGUAAAUAAGUAAUUGAGAUCAUAUACUUCUUCAACAGGUGGUAAAUUAAGACCGUGUAUUUCUUCAAUAGGAGGUAAAUUCUUAACAUCUUCGGCUUUAAUACCUUUUUCUUUCAUAGAUUUCUUUGCCUCUUGCAUAUCUUCAGGACUGAGAAAUAGAACACCUCUCUUCUUCGGAGUUGGUUUAGGAAUAGGCUCAGUAAUUGGCUCAGGAAUUGGCUCAGGAGGUAGCUCGGGAGGUAGCUCGGGAGGUGCCCAAUUAUUUUCAUUAGCCAACAUAUUAUUCAAUAUAAUUUCAGCGUCAUCCGGUGUUCUUUCCCUAAAAAGAGAACCAGCACAACUAUCCAGGUAAUCUCUGGAAGCAUCAGUUAGUCCAUUAUAAAAGAUAUCAAAUAUUUCACGUUUCUUAAGAGGAUGAUCAGGCAAAAUAUUAAGUAACUUGAGAAGCCUCCCCAAGCUUGUGGGAGACGCUCUUCUUAAAUUUGCACAAAAUUGUAUAUUUCCCUCAAAGCAGCUUGUUUCUUAUGAGCAGGGAAAUAUUUAGCAGAGAAGUAAUAAAUCAUAUCCUGGGGACUUUGCACACAACCAUGAUCAAGAGAAUUAUACCAUAUCUUAGCAUCACCCUUUAACGAGAACGGAAAUAUUUUGAGUAAAUAAAGAUAGCACGAUCUCUCAUUAUUAGUAAACAGGGCAGCUAUAUCAUUCAACUUAGUAAGAUGUGCCACAACAGUUUCAGAUUCAUAGCCAUAAAAAGGAUCGGAUUCAACCAAAGUAAUUAUAUCUGGAUCAACAGAAAAAUCAUAAUAAUCCUUAUCGGGAACACAAAUAGGUGAAGUGGCAAAAGCAGGGUCGGGUCUCAUUCUAUCUCUAAGAGAUUCUUUCCCCAUUUAAUUAGCAACCUCUUAAGUUCAUAUCUAUCCUGGCAAGCAAAAAUAGCGGCAGAAGAUUCUGCAUCAAAAAGAUAACCUUCAGGGAUAGGAGGCAUAUUUUCAUCAUCACUCUCAUCAUUGUAUUCAGGUGCAAUAAUUUCUCUUUCUUUAGACCUAGCAAUUUGCUCAUCAAGAAAUUCACCAAGGGGCACAGUAAUAUCAAGCAUAGAAGUGGCAUCAUCAAUAACAUGCGACAUAUCAGAAUUCAUAGCGGUAGCAGGUUUAGGCGUCGGAAGCUUACUUAUAACAGAAGGAGAAUCUAGUGCAGAGCUAGAUCGUAGUUCCUUACCUCCCCUCGUAGUUGAGGGCAAAAUCUUGGUCUUAGCGUCUUUCAAGUUCUUCAUCGUGUCCAGCAGUUAUAAAUCCCAAGUGACUCAAAGAAUAGAGCUAUGGUCCCCGGCAACGGCGCCAGAAAAUAGUCUUGAUAACCCACAAGUAUAGGGGAUCGCAACAAUUUUCGAGGGUAGAGUAUUCAACCCAAAUUUGUUGAUUCGACACAAGGGGAGCCAAAGAAUAUUCUCAAGUAUUAGCAGCUGAGUUGUCAAUUCAACCACACCUGGAAACUUAGUAUCUGCAGCAAAGUGUUUAGUAGCAAAGUAAUAUGAUAGUGGUGGUAACGGUAACGAAAGUAAAGACAGCAAAAGUAAUGUUUUUGGUAUUUUGUAGUGAUUGUAACAGUAACAAUGGAAAAGUAAAUAAGCGAGAACCAGUAUAUGGAAAACUCGUAGGCAUCGGAUCAAUGAUGGAUAAUUAUGCCGGAUGUGGUUCAUCAUGUAACAGUCAUAACAUAGGGUGACACAGAACUAGCUCCAGUUCAUCAAUGUAAUGUAGGCAUGCAUUCCGAAUAUAGUCAUACGUGCUUAUGGGAAAGAACUUGCAUGACAUCUUUUGUCCUACCCUCCCGUGGCAGCGGGGUCCUAUUGGAAACUAAGGGAUAUUAAGGCCUCCUUUUAAUAGAGAACCGGAACAAAGCAUUAGCACAUAGUGAAUACAUGAACUCCUCAAACUAUGGUCAUCACAGCGAGUGGUUCUGAUUAUUGUCACUUCGGGGUUGCCGGAUCAUAACACAUAGUAGGUGACUAUAGACUUGCAAGAUAGGAUCACGAACUCACAUAUAUUCAUGAAAACAUAAUAGGUUCAGAUCUGAAAUCAUGGCACUCGGGCCCUAGUGACAAGCAUUAAGCAUAGCAAAGUCAUAGCAACAUCAAUCUCAGAACAUAGUGGAUAUUAGGGAUUAAACCCUAACAAAACUAACUCGAUUACAUGAUAAAUCUCAUCCAACCCAUCACCGUCCAGCAAGCCUACGAUGGAAUUACUCACGCACGGCGGUGAGCAUCAUGAAAUUGGUGAUGGAGGAUGGUUGAUGAUGACGACAUCGACGAAUCCCCCUCUCCAGAGCCCCGAACGGACUCCAGAUCAGCCCUCCCUAGAGAGAUUAGGGCUUGGCGGCGGCUCUGUAUCGUAAAAUGCGAUGAUUUCUUCUCUCUCAUUUUUUUCUCCCCGAAGGCCAAUAUAUGGAGUUGGAGUUGGCGUUGGAGGGUCACCAGGGGGCCCACGAGGUAGGGGGCGUGCCCAGGGGGGGGGGGGGGCGCCCCCCACCCUCGUGAGCAGGGUGUGGGCCCCCUGGUCUUCAUCUUUUGCGAGGAUUUUUCUUUAUUUUUUCUAAGGCGUUCCGUGGAGUUUCAGGACAUUCCGAGAAUCUUUAUUUUCUGCACAAAAACAACACCAUGGCAGUUCUAUGAAAACAGCGUCAGUUCGGGUUAGUUCCAUUCAAAUCAUACAAGUUAGAGUCCAAAACAAGGGCAAAAGUGUUUGGAAAAGUAGAUACGACGGAGACGUAUCACUGGCCAAUCCAGUCCUUGUCCUGAAGAAAAACAAGACCUGUCGCAUGUGUAUCGACUACACCAACCUCAACAAGGCCUGUCCCAAGGAUCCGUUCGCUCUCCCGCGGAUCGACCAAGUCAUCGUGACCGCCAGUUGUGAGCUCCUGUCCUUCCUGGACGCUUACUCCGGCUACCACCAGAUCAAGCUAGACCCGGCCGAUGCCCUGAAGACGUCCUUCAUCACGCCCUUUGGGUGUAUUGCUACAUCAGCAUGUCGUUCGGCUUGAAGAACGCCGGCGCCACCUUCCAACGCUGCAUGCAGAAAUGCCUGCUGCCGCAACUCGGCCGCAACAUCCACGUACGUGGACGACAUCGUGGUGAAGACCAAGCAACACCUCACGCUCCUCGACGAUUUGAAGGAAACAUUUUCCAACCUCCGCGAAUACAAGGUCAAGCUUAACCCGGAAAAAUGCGUCUUCGGCGUCCCGACCGGAAAUCUACUCGGCUUCCUCGUCUCGGAACGCGGCAUUGAGGCUAACCCGGAGAAGAUCAAGGCCAUUGAGUGCAUGCGCAAGACGGCUCGGCUGCGCAACGUCCAGAAGUUCACCGGGUGCCUGGCCUCAGUCAGCCGGUUUCUAAGCCGACUGGGCGAGAGGGCGCUGCCCCUGUACCAGCUGAUGAAGAAGACAAGCCCAUUCGAAUGGAACGAUAAGGCAGACGAGGCCUUCCAAGACCUCAAGCGCAUGCUCUCCACCGCACCAGUCUUGGCCGUGCUGACCGACAAGGAGCCACUAUUACUCUACAUAGCCGCGACCUCGCGGGCGGUCAACAUGAUGCUGGUGGUCGAGCGACCAGAGAAGGGCAAGAUCCAAGCCGUCCAGCGUCCAGUUUACUACCUGAGUGAGGUGCUCUCCAUCUCCAAGCAGAACUACCCGCACUACCGGAAGAUGUGUUAUGGCGUGUACCUCACCGCCAAGAAGCUAAAGCAGUACUUCCAAGAGCAUGUCAUCACCGUCGUCAGCACGACACCUAUCGGAGAAAUCAUCGGGUGCCGGGACGCCUCUGGCCGGGUCGCCAAGUGGGCGAUCCAGCUAGCCGGCCACACCAUCCUCUACGAGUCCCGUGAUACGUCCAUUUUGCAUCAUGCUUUUAUAUCAAUAUUUAUUGCAUUAUGGGCUGUUACUACACAUUAUAUCUCAAUACUUAUGGCUAUUCUCUCUUAUUUUACAAGGUUUACCAUGAAGAGGGGGAAUGCCGGCAGCUGGAAUUCUGGCUGGAAAAGGAGCAAACAUUGGGAACCUAUUCUGCACAGCUCCAAAAGUCCUGAAACUCCACGAAGCAACCUUUUGGAAUUAUUAAGAAUUUCUGAGCGAAAGAAAUAGGCCAGGGGGCCCACACCCUGUCCAGGAGACAACCCCCCCACUAUAGGGCGCACCCCCUAUCUCCUGGGCUCCCUGGUGGGCCUCCGGCGUCCAUCUUCUGCUAUAUCAUCACUUUUACCCUGGAAAAGAUCGUGGGCAAGCUUACGGGACGAAACUCCGCUGCCAUGAGGCGGAACCUUGGCAGAAUCAAUCUAGGGCUCUGGCGGAGCUGUUCUGCCGGGGACACUUCCCUCCGGGAGGGGGAAAUCAUCACCAACAUCAUCACCAACGAUCCUCUCAUCGGGAGGGGGUCAAUCUCCAUCAACAUCUUCACCAGCACCAUCUCCUCUCAAAACCCUAGUUCAUCUCUUGUAUCCAAUCUUGUAUCAAAACCACAAAUUGGUACUUGUGGGUUGCUAAUAGUGUUGGUUACUCCUUGUAGUUGAUGCUAAUUGGUUUACUUGGUGGAAGAUCAUAUGUUCAGAUCCUUUAUGCAUAUUAUUACUCCUCUGAUUAUGAACAUGAAUAUGCUUUGUGAGUAGUUACGUUCGUUCCUAAGGACAUGGGUGAAGUCUUGGUAUUAGUAGUCAUGUGAAUUUGGUCUUCGUUCGAUAGUUUGAUGAGAUGUAUGUUGUCUUUUCCUCUAGUGGUGUUAUGUGAACGUCGACUACAUGACACUUCACCAUUAUUUGGGCCUAGAGGAAGGCAUGGGGAAGUAAUAAGUAGAUGAUGGGUUGCUAGAGUGACAGAAGCUUAAACCCUAGUCUAUGCGUUGCCUUGUUACGGGCUGUUAUGGAUCCAUAUGUCUAAUGCUGUGGUUAGGUUUACCUUAAUACUUCUUUUGUAGCUGCGGAUGCUUGAAAUAGGGGUUAAUCAUAAGUGGGAUGCUUGUCCAAGUUAGGGCAGUACCCUAGUUCCGGUCCACCCACAUAUCAAAUUAUCAAAGUACCGAACGCGAAUCAUAUGAACGUGAUGAAAACUAGCUUGACGAUAAUUCCCAAUGUGUCCUCGGGAGCUCCUUCAUUAUUAUUAGAAAUUGUCUAGGCUUAUCCUUUGAUACAUAAAGGAUUGGGCCACCUUGCUGCACUUUAUUUACUUUAUUUACUUGUUGCUCGUUACUAUUUAUCUUACCACAAAACUAUCUAUUACCUACAAUUUCAGUGCUUGCAGAGAAAACCUUACUGAAAACCGCUUAUCAUUUCCUUCUGCUCCUCGUUGGGUUCGACACUCUUACUUAUCGUAAGGACUACGAUAGAUCCCCUACACUUGUGGGUCAUCACCCCGCACCACGGUCAAGUCUCAAGCCCUGGCCGACUUCCUCGUCGACUGGACCGAGACCUAGUACUUGCCGCCGCCUCCCGACUCGAUGCAUUGGCGCAUGCACUUCGACGGGUCCAAGAUGCGACUUGGCUUGGGGGCCGGCAUCGUACUAUCAUCCUCGAAGGGCGACCGGCUCCGCUACGUGCUCCAGAUCCACUUCGCCGCCUCCAACCAUGUCGCCGAAUAUGAAGCCCUUGUGCACGGCCUCCGGCUUGCCAAGGAACUCGGCAUCCGACACAUUCUGUGCUAUGGCAACUUGGACCUGGUGGUGCAGCAGUGCUCCAGUGAAUGGGACGCCCACGACUCCAACAUGGGAAGCUAUCGCUUCCUCGUCCAGAAGCUGUCCGGAUCCUUCGAGGGCUGCGAGUUCCUCAAUGUCCCGCAUGCGGAGAACGAAGCAGCCGACAUGCUCGCCAUGAUUGCCUCGUCACGACAAGCCAUCCCGUCUGGCGUCUCCCUCGAGCACUUGUGCAAGCCGUCCGUCAAGCCAUCGUCGGACUCCGAAUCCAUUCAUGUUCCAGACAACCCGGCCGCACCUUAAGCCGACCCGGGGAUUGCUGAACCCGGCCCGAGGACUGCUAAACCCAGCCCGGGGGCUGCUCAGCUCAACCCGGCCACCAUCGACCCGGACCCGGCUGUCGCCAUCCCCGACCCGGGGCUGCUCAACCCGACUCGGGGGCUACCGACUCAGAACCCACCCUGGUGGCCGUCUUCGCCAUGGUUACAACUCCAUCUAGGGCCCUCCCAAUAUCAGAAUUUCUGGAGAACGGGGUUCUCCCCAUGGACGAGGCCGAAGCUCGGCAGAUGCAGCACCGGGUGUCUGCCUACAACAUCAUCAACAACAAGCUCAUCAAGCGCAGCUCCACUGGCGUUUUCCAGCGCUGAGUCGAGCAGGAAUAAGGCAUCGACAUCCUCCUCGACAUCCACCAGGGUGAGUGUGGGCACCACGCUGCAUCACGAUCCCUGGUGGCCAAGGCGUUCCGCCAUGGUUUCUACUGGCCCACGGCCCUCGAAGACGCUGAGUCGCUCGUUCUCAAGUGUGAGGGGUGCCAGUGCUUCAGCAAACGCAGCCACCAACCAGCGUCAGCACUCCGCACCAUACCGAUUGCCUAGCCCUUCAUGAUCUGGGGACUCGACAUGGUGGGACCCUUCAAAACCGCUCGAGGCGGCAUGACGCACCUGCUGGUGGCAGUGGACAAAUUCACCAAGUGAAUUGAGGCAAGACCAAUCAAGAAUCUGGAUGGGCAAACAGCCGUCCGGUUCAUCAAGGAUAUAGCGGUGCGCUGCAGCAUGCCGAACAACAUCAUCACCGACAAUGGAACCAACUUCGCCAAGGGCGCGCUCAAGCAAUACUGUUCUGUCUCCGACAUCCGCCUCGACAUGGCCUCUGUUGCGCAUCUGUAGUCCAACGGGCAGGUCGAGCGGGCCAACGGACUCAUCCUGUCCGGCAUCAAGCCGCGACUCGUCGAGCCACUCAUCCGCUCACCCGGCAGCUGGCUCGACAAGUUGCCGACCGUUCUCUGGAGUCUACGCACCACGCCGAAUCGGUCGACCGGGUUCACCCUGUUCUUCCUCAUCUACGGAGCCAAAGCCAUCAUCCCGACCGAUGUCGAGUUUGAGUCGCCGCGAGUCGUGAUGUACACCGAAGCCGAAUCUAGAGAAGCCCGCGAAGAUGGCGUCGACCUGCUCGAAGAAGCACGCCUUCUGGCGCUCAGCCGCUCAACCAUCUACCAGCAAGGCCUGAGGCACUACCACAGCAAGAAGAUCAAGCCCCUCGCAUUCCGCGAGGGCGACCUCGUCCUCCGACUCAUCCAAGAGCAGGCAGGCCAGCACAAGCUGUCCCAUCCAUGGGAGGGCCCAGUCAUCGUGAGCAGGGCCUUGCGCGAUUGCAACGCCUACUACCUCAUCGACGCAGGCAAGUCAAAGAAGCGCAAGAAGGACACCACUGGUGAAGAAACGACCCGGCCGCGAAACGCAGAACUCCUCCACCCGUUUUACAGUUAGCCGCACGAGUGUAUGUAUUGUUGCCUUUUGUAAAUGUAUGAAACUAUGGGGUCCCCGAACAAGACUCGGGGUCUGCCUUUUGUCGACCAAUUUAUCGUGUCCCUAUUUUUCUGCAUCACUAUACCACUGAACCCGGCCACCGGAUCGACUCGCUCAACCCGGAGGCUCGGGGGCUGGCCGGCUCGGUCGCCAUCCCGCCGCCUUACUUGGUGAUUCCUGAGAAAGUUAGGAUGCCGCGGUCCCCCACUUCGCCCUAAAGCCCCAGAUCCAGCUUUGGCUGUCGGCUGGCAAGCACAAUGGGCCAAAGCUCCUUUACGCUUCAUACACUAAGUCAAAGGCUGCCGGGUCGAUCAACCCAGCCCGCCAUUCAUCAAAUGAACAGCCGCACAACCGACUGCUCGCCAGCCGGCUUUGCCGGAGUGCCGCCAGCCGGCCCAGUGGGUAUUUCGCUCACGCUCAACAUUUCGAAGGACCCAAGCCCUACGUGCUCCUUUCAAAGAAUCGAACUCCUUGUCACGGACCAGAGCCUCGGCCGUCUGACUCGCGCGGGGGGAGGGGGGGGGGUUUGAGAAAGGAAAAGCGCAUGAAAUCAGUCCGAAAAAUGGAAGGCAAAAAACAAAGGCACUCACGACAUUUACACACAAAUAUUUAAAAGGCCCACGGCCCGAGUUCAUUACACCCUAAAAAAAACCCAGUGGGUGGGUGGACCUACUACUUAACAAAUUUUGCAAAGUAUCUCAGGCAUCUCCAGCGCCGCGUCACGAAGUCGAUGGCCCUCCCCCGACGGCCUCCGGGUCCGGUGUGUUGGCGGUGUCCUCCUCGGCAUCCGCGUCACCGUAGACGCCUAUCUCCUCCGAGCUCCCCUCCGGAUCAUGGAGAAGCAAGCCGUAGUCGUCGCCAUCCACGGCCCUGUGUCUUCCGUCCGCUCCAGAUGGAACUCGUCAUGGAAGGCGAACUCAGUAAUGUAGCUAGCCCGGGAGGCGAUCCGGCCGGCCUGCUCCUGCAGCAACUGCUCCGAGACGGCCCGCUGGCCCAUCAGCGCAUCCAGCUGAAGAUCCGGAUGCCAAGACAGCGCAAACUGGAGUGCCAUCUCGGCACCGGCACAAGCGGCGGAGACACACCAUCUCGGCACCGGCACGAGCGGCGGAGACACGCCACUCGCCAAGCCGGUUCGGGCCCGUCUCCAACCAGCAUGCCAGGCGCGUGAAGCUGCUCGGCACGACGGCACCCGGUCAAAGGGCCGUCGUCAUCGCGGUGCCGGCCCGGGAUAGCCGCUCCAUCUGCGUUCCCAGGACUCGCAGGCGGGCCGCAGCAGCGGCGAUGAUCUCCGGGAAGGUCCAGGCCGUCCGCGGAUCCAUCCCGGACCCAACGGCACUGGUUGGGUCGCGCUGAUAGCGGACGACUUCCUUCGCCAGACGCUGCGUCUGCGGGAAGGCCCCUGCCACAAAGGAAGAAGCAAGUUAGAAGAAAAACAACAAGGAAGAAAGGUCGGGUCCCGACCCAGCAAACUACAAGAAACAACACUUACUAGAGAAGGACUCUUCCAGGUGCUGCACCUCAAGCAACGUACCAUGCCGCUCCCGCUCCAUGGCGCGGUCGCGCUCCUCGAGCGCCUUCUCCAGAUUGGCCGCCUUGGCAAGGGCCGCCUUCAGCUCGGCAUCCUUGUCUUCGGCCGCCUUCUCGGCCGCCUCGCGGCGACGGGCUUCGUCCUGAUGGGCCCCCUCAGCCGUGGUGACCUGCCCCCGCAGGCGAUCCACCUCGGCCUGGAGCCGGCCCUUGCCAUCGGCCAGCUGGCCGUGCUACUGGUCUGCCUCGACCAGGGUCUGCUGCAUCUCCACCACCUUGACAGCCUCCGCCUUAAGGAGCUCCACCUCGGCCUCAAGGCGGCUCUUGUGACCCGCCAGCUGCUCAUGUAGCCAGUUGGCCUCGUCAAGAGACCGCCGGGCCGCGGCCGCCUCCGCCCUUGCCUGCGCCGUCUCAACGCCAAGACGGCCGGUGUCGGCAACGAGCCGGUUGUAAUGAUGACCGGCCCGGAGCAGACGAGUCCGCCAGGACAGCACCUCGGCUGCGAAAAAGAAGGAUUCAACAGAAGAAAAAAGCAAGACUUCAGAUUUGGCACAACUGUUACACAGUUGGCCCGAAUCUUGGGGCUACACCCAGUGGGUGCGCUAGCGCGCCCCCACUAAAAAAGAGCACAAGAGUACCUGCGGCGAUGCGGAGCUCCUCCUCCUUGGCGACGAGCUGCUCCACGAGCUCCCGGUGCUUGCUCAAGAGACGAUUGUAGGAGGCAACCCGGAAGGCGUCAAGAUGCUGAAAAAAGCAGAAGUCAGAAAAAGGCUGACGCUCUAAAGAUUCGACCCAACUACUAUGCAGUUGGCCCGAACCUUGGGGGCUACACCCAGUGGGUGUGCUGGCGCGCCCCCACAAAGAAGAAAUUACAAGGAAAAAAGAAGACUUACCAGAACGGCGCGCUCCAGGUCGUGCGUCCGCUCCACCUCGGCCUGGGCGAAGGCCUCAAGCCGCUCCGUCCGGCCUCACAGGCGGCGGCUGACGGCGUCCAGCGCUGCCUCCUCCUGGGUUUGAGCCCCAAAGACGACGGCGCCCCCACUCUGUGCCGGCUGCGGCGCGGCAGCUCGGCGCCAACCCUGCCGGGGCACCAAGGCGUGCCCUCUGCUGGCCGCUUGCGACGCGGUCAGUACCUCCUCCGACGCCCCUCCCGGCACCGACGACGACCCGGAUGCCGGGACGCCUUGCGUCGCCACCACCGACCCAGCUGCCGGGGUGGCCUCCGGCACCGCCGCCCGCGGUGCCUCCUCCACAACCGGCGGCGCCUCCGGCACCGCCGCCCGCAGCGCCUCUUCCAAGAUGACGCUGCCUCCACCACCAUCAGCCCCCGCGUGCUCGACCACGUCGGCCCGCGGUGGGGUAUCGCCCCCCACCUCCACGACCUCCUGGUCGAGGAUCACCACCUCAGCCCGGCCUCCACGACCGCGCUCCCUCACCGACGAUGGCUCAAAGACCGUCGCCGCGACCACCGUGCCCUCCGACAUCUUGCGCCAGGCCGGCUCCGGGCCGGCACGCGCCCAUGCCACCACCGUGUCGGUCCAAGCCUAGACCGACGCCGCCUCCAGCUCCGCCUCGGCCCGGUUCCUGUACCGCCAGGCCAAGGCUUCAGCGUCGUUCGGGUCCAGGCUGAGGUCCGAGUCAGCCCGUCCCUCCACCUCGGCCUGGUCGGCGAGGUCGAACCGGCUCCUGCGGAACGCGGCCCCUUCGACGGCCGCGGCUUUCGCCGCCGCCCUCACCAGCGCGAUUGGCAACCUGAAGAAGAAGACAAAAUGAGCAGAAAAGAAACAAGACUAGCUCAAAAAUUCCGGGCGCAAAAGAAAAAUGAAGCUUACCUCAUCAAGACCGGGACCAGGGUUGGCCUCCCGUGCCCGCCGCCGCGCUUCUUCUUGGCCGGCCUCCCGGUUCCCGCCGGGUCCGCCAUGCGCUUCGGGGCCCGGGGUCACGGCGCGACGCUGUAUUUCCCAUGCGGGCGGCUCGGCGCCGCCCCAUGCGAGGACCCGGCUCCGCCCGCGUUGCCGCCUCCCCCGCCCAACGCUACUACACCAACAGCCGGCGUCAACAUUGCCCGCGCCGUGCCAUGAUCGGCAAUUCAAGACACAUGAAGAGAGGAAAAAAGCAGAACUUAUCCAGGCGACGCCAGCGCCGACAUCGGACUCGGCCACCUCCUCCUCGCCAGGGGCCGCGGGCUCCUCUUGCACCACCGGCGCCACCUGCGAUGGAGCCCGGGCGUAAGGAUGCCGGAUCGUGUUCAGAAGUAUCACCCACGUCGCAUCGGGACGAAUGAGAAGGUGCGCCACAGCAAAGUAAGAAGACCAAACACUCACCUGUGGUGCCGGGUUCGACUGGCUGUACGGCGCCUUGCCGAACCGCUAGUCCUCUCCAAGGUUGGCCUUGGAGAUGUCGUUCACGCCGCGCGUGACCUGCUCCGUAGACAGCCGCAUCGACCCCAUGCGGUUGGGGUCCUGAAGGCCGAUCAUAUCACCGAUGAGGCAGGAGCGCCUCUGAAGCGGAAGGACACGGUGCGUGAUGAAUGCGGCAAGGAGGUCGGUGCUGGUGAGCCCCUCCCGCGUCCUCAUCACCGUCACCUGCUCGCAGAGGUUGACAAUCUCCUGCGACGGGCGCCGGAGCGAGUAGCCCCAGUUCGUCUUCGCCCGCAGCGGCGCGAUGGUGAAGAGCGGAAGGUUGAUAUGGUCCGCACUAAGGUUGCAGACGUAGAAGAAGGAGUUCUGCCACUUCUUGGCAGAAUCCUCCAGCAGGAUCUUGGGGAAAUCCGCCCCCGACCGCUUCAAGAUGACGGCGGCGCCGCAGUCGGCGAACUCCCCGGCUGAUGCGCCCUGCUGCUUCAAGGAGAAGAAGCGCACCCAGAGGUCGGUCGUGGUCUCGGCCCCCAGGUACCCCUCGCACAGGGUCACGAAGCUGGAGAGCUGGACGAUGGCGCCGGCACCGAGAUGAUGCGGCUGAAGCCCGAAGAACUCCAAGAACGCGCGAAAGAAGGUGCUCGCCGGUAGCCCAAAACCAUGCUCGAAAUGCGUGAGGAAGACCACGCGCUCCUGCCCCUCGGGCCGGGGCCUCUGCUCGUCGCGCGGCAGGCGGACGCCAACGCCCGUCUCCCGCGGCAGGCGCCGCAACGCAUGAAGCUGGGUGAUGUCCUCGGUGGUGACGUUUGAGCCCAUCCAGGAGCCUGACGGCAGCGCCAUGGACGGAAGAAGGAGGAAGAAGAUGGAUGACGGAGGAAGUUCUGCUUGGAGCAGCGGGCGCCGCAGUGUGUCUAUUGCAAAGAGCGGAGCGAGAGCGAAGGGACAGGAGGGCACGAGCGAGAAUAAUGUCCGCCGCCCCCUGCCCCCUGAUUUAGAACCCUCGGUUCAAACGUGGGGGAGUGGGAUCGUCUGCACGCGUCCGUUCCACUAUCCCGCGAUAAGUGUGCACGUACAUGUGCAGUAAUUGCCUGGGGAAGUGCAACCGGCCCCCGGACGCCGCAAUAAAUCCGCGCGCGUGGGCCAAGGGCGCGCGGCGGCGGGCCCCAGCCCGUCGCCCGGUCCCUCACACGCGUGUCCUAUCAGGCCAUCCGGUUUCCGGCCACCACGUGGCGCCCGCGCAAAGCCCGAGGGAUUGCCCCAAGAUUCGACGGACUCCUUGGUUCCUGCCACGGCCGGGAUGCCGGGAUCCGGUUUCCGAGUAAAAUGGCACACAGUGGGUGUUGCCGGACCUGGUGCUCGUAGAAUCCGCCUUGCUUAAGGGGGAAACUGCGAAGGCCCACUCAUCCGAAGACGGCGGACCUUCACAGCUUCGGGGACUACUGUCGGGGGGAUGAACCCCGGGCAGGCAACAUAACCCGGAUCCUCUUCAAAAAUAGUGGGGCCCGUAGCGCUCCUAAAACCGGCACGCGCCCGACCGGGUCGCUCGACCCAGCAAGGCCCACAACCCGGCCAAACUCUCCGACCCGACAAGGUACGUCGACCCAGCCUCAGCAACUGGCGCAAGGCAGCCGAACCCGGCAUGACCAAGGCUUUCCCAACAAGCCGACCCCACCCGUGGCGUGCGCCACAAUCCAACCAUGGGUCAGGCUCCCGUCCCAUCCAGACCGUAUGAUGGGACGAGACCUCAAUCACCGAUGACCAAGACAACAAUGCUUCCACCCAUGCCUAUGGUCAGCCGGAGUGUGGCAACAGUGCCCCUUACCUCCUUGUAUAUGUUUCUCACAUGCUACCUUGUACAUUAUGCUGCUCAUGCCCUGUAGGAGCGGGUUCUUGGGGGAUUUUAUAGAUCAACCCGCCCAGGGCUACAACAGUAAUACGCCGAGUCGGUGGGUCCAUAUUGUUGGUGUCCGGGAUAUCGGGCUGGGUCCCGCUGAGGGCUUGUGGUUCGCCGGGUUCCCCUAGGUGCGGGCCCCGCGUGCCUAGGGGGACGGUGCACCAUCUUGUCGAUCGUCAGGGCGUGGCCGAGUCGAGUCGCGUACAGUGCUCUCCGUCAGGUUGCCGCUUGCUGUCGUCAGCGGUGAGGGCGGGUGCACUGUUGCCACAUUAGCCCUGUUCAGCGGGGGACAAGCAAGCAAGCCUAGGACUAGCCACCACCCGCAACCCCGGAGAGAAGGAGCAGCCCAAGCCUUGGCCAGCUUCCUUCCUCUUCCAUACAGCUCUAGGAGCAACAUUGUACUAUCGAUCAUCCAACUACACUCAGCAGGACUAGGGGUAUUAUCUCUCUAGAGAGCCCCGAACCUGGGUAUGUCCGACGUCCCGCGCCCGCUCAUGCCAACCUCGCCUCUAGAGCCCACCAGCGCCCUCGAGCCUCCUCCUCUCUUUAGCCAUCCCUUGGCAUCUGUCGUGCGCCCACCACGACAACGGGCAUUUUCUCUCUCGCACCCCAUCGUUGGUGGCCUCUACCAUACACAUCAACUCUCUAUGAUGAAGCCAUGCACACUUAAAUUACAUCCGCCACCAAGGACCCCGCGACACACACACACACACAAACACACACACACAGGCACACACGCACACCCCCCACACACUAAGACUCCAUCUCUCUCUCUCUCUCUCACACACACACAAACANNNNNNNNNNNNNNNNNNNNNNNNNNNNNNNNNNNNNNNNNNNNNNNNNNNNNNNNNNNNNNNNNNNNNNNNNNNNNNNNNNNNNNNNNNNNNNNNNNNNNNNNNNNNNNNNNNNNNNNNNNNNNNNNNNNNNNNNNNNNNNNNNNNNNNNNNNNNNNNNNNNNNNNNNNNNNNNNNNNNNNNNNNNNNNNNNNNNNNNNNNNNNNNCACACACACACACUCUAAGACUCCAUGUCUCUCUAUCUCUCACACACACACACACUAAGACUCCAUCUCUUUCUCACUCUCUCUCACACACACCCCUACACACACACUAAGACUCCAUCUCACACACACAUGCUCUAGGCGGAGCAUUUGUUCCUACCACCCUUCAUCCAACCUUACCCGUAUGAUAAACAAUCACCUUAAUUUACUUGUAUAACAUGGACAAAUUCCACUUUACUUUAGUAGUCAGCAAACUUAUUAUCUGUACCCUUAUAAAAAAAUGAGUUGGCGAUGAUGGUGUGCCUGCCAUCUUGUAAUAUAGACCGUCUGAUCUAUAUCUGUCGGAUAGAAAGCAAACUAUGAUAAUUUUACAAAAGAUACCCGCACCUCUCUCCACAUCCUUAUCUCCCACAACCUCAUUGCUUAGUAAUUAAAAAAGGAAGUCUCUGGAACAAUCUAGCAUGGUGGCUGCUAUGCACAACUCCACUCCUCCUCACCUUAUGUCUCAUCUUUCAUUUUUUCGAUGACAUUCUGGAGAUACCAGUUUUCCGAUAAAAUCUCGAGAUAUCAUUAGUUUUUACACAUGAUAUUACUCCUACAUGGGUCAAUCACAAAAGGUGUUUUGUAAAAAAAUGCACAUUGAUGUUCCGUGCAAUGCACCAGCAUCUUGCUUGUAAUUAUAUAACGCAAAUCAUGAGGAGGAAGUGACAUUUUUUUACACAACCACGUUAACAUGGCCCCGUAAAUCACUAGCUAAAGUAAAUACCAUUAUACUUAUAUCCCGAUGCAAAAGGUUGAGUACAUGUCCGCAGAGUAGAGUUGCACACAUGCACUCUGUCUCUCAGAAUCUCUCUCACACACACACACCAGUUACGUGACGCCUGAGGGAGUCCUGGAUUAGGGGGUCCUCGGACAACCGGACUAUAUGCUUAUGCCGAACUGUUGGACUAUGAAGAUACAAGAUUGAAGACUUCGUCCCGUGUCCGGGAGGGACUCUCCUUUGCAUGGAAGGCAAGCUUGGCAAUUCGGAUGUGUAGAUCUCCUUCUUUGUAACCGACUCUGUGUAACCCUACCCCCCUCCGGUGUCUAUGUAAACCGGAGGGUUUAGUCCGUAGGACAACAACAAUCAUAAUCAUAGGCUAGCUUCUAGGGUUUAGCCUCUAUGAUCUCGUGGUAGAUCAACUCUUGUAACACUCAUAUCAUCAAUAUCAAUCAAGCAGGAAGUAGGGUAUUACCUCCAUAGAGAGGGCCCGAACCUGGGUAAACAUUAUGUCCCCCGCCUCAUGUUACCAUUAGCCUUAGACGCAUAGUUCGGGACCCCCUACCUGAGAUCCGCCGGUUUUGACACCGACAUUGGUGCUUUCAUUGAGAGUUCCACUGUGUCGUCACGGUAGGGCUUGAUGGCUUCUUCGGUCAUCUACAACGAUGCGAUCCAGGGUGAGGUUUUCCUCCCUAGACAGAUUUUCGUAUUCGGUGGCUUCGCACUGUGGGCCAAUUCGCUUGGCCAUCUGGAGCAGAUCGAUAGCUACACCCCUGGCCAUCAGGUCAGGUUUGGAAGCCUGAACUACACUGCUGACAUCCACGGGGACUUGAUCUUUGACGGAUUCGAGCCCAUGACAGGUACGCCGUACGGUCAUGAUGAGCAUGACCUAGAUCUGCCAUCGGAUUGAGUCCAGGAAAUCGCACCUGCAGCUGCUCUGGCUCUAAAUUCGGAGCAGAUCGUGCCAUCCGAGGACGGGUGGAUAGACCCCGCCAUGGAGGCCGCAUACUCAUCGGCGAUAGAGCCGAACACAGAUUUCGCCUCCAGCGAGGCCUGUGCCAUCGGACCCUCGGACUUGACUCCUACCACAGGCUCCGAACCGCGCACGUCCGUGCCCAUCAAAUUUGACCGGGCAACGAUCAUGGGGUUCACCUCCGCGGAUAUUUUUCAGCACUCGCCCUUGGACGAUGUGCUAACCUCGUUAAAGUCUCUCUCCUUAUCAGGAGAUUCCUGGCCGAACUAUGUCCGGCUUGAGUGGGAAGCGGACAACGAGGAAAUACGUUACCCACCCACCACCCGCUUAGUAGCCGCUGUCGACAACUUAACUGACAUGCUUGACUUCGACUCCAAAGACAUCGACGGUAUGGACGACGAUGCCGAAGAAGAACAGGAACCACCGCCCACAGGGCGCUGGACAACCACCUUAUCAUAUGAUAUAUAUAUGGUGGACACACCCAAGGAAAGCAAUGACGAUGAGGCAAUGGAGGAUAAUCCCCUUGAGAAGCAACCCAAGCGCCAACGUCAACGGCGCCGCUCUAAGCCCUGCAAUAGCAAGAAUCGUGAUACCGGCACAAGAGACGAUAUCACUCCGGAUGAUGCCGUAGACUAAAACAAUUCUGCCCAGCCGAGCACUGAGCAAGCUGGACAGCAGGAUGGGCAAGCUAGCCCUGAAGAACAAGCAAUUGAUGGAGACUCAGAGGAUGACAAUUACAUGCCUCCCUUCGAAGACGAGGAGAUCCUUGGCGACGAAGAGUUUAUUGUGCCUGAGGAUCCCGUCGAGCAGGAGCACUUCAAGCGCCGGCUUAUAGCCACUGCAAAAAGCCUGAAGAAAAAACAGCAGCAGCUUCAAGCUGAUCAAGAUCUGCUAACUGACAGAUGGACUGAGGUCCUGGCAGCCGAGGAAUAUGGACUCGAGCGCCCAACCAAAAGUUACCCGAAGCGCAGGUUGUUACCUCAAUUCGAGGAGGAGGCACUAGAGACCACACUACCAGCACAGGAUGAGGCUAACCGGCCACCUCGUGGCUGAGACAAAGCGGUGUAUCAGCCUAAACACUAGCCCGCACCCCAUUGCCAAACAAAUAAAAACAUGAAGGCCUGGGGCUACACGCAUGACCUGCGAGAUGAAUUGGAAAACAAAGCAGGACAGUCGAGAUCGAUCUACGGAUCAAGGGGGCGUUCCCCAACGCGUGAUGAUGACCUCCACGCCGGAUAUACUAAAUACAAAUCCGGCCGGGCCAAAUACAACAUACCGGACUCACUCGAGCUGCGUCGUGAUGUAGCCCGGCAUAGAGGCGCCGCACACCCCCUAUGCUUCAUUGAUGAAGUUAUGGAACAUGAAUUCCCAAAAGGGUUUAUGCCCGUUAAUAUCGAGCCCUACGAUGGUAACAGACCCCGCGGUAUGGAUAGAAGAUUUCCUUCUCCACAUCCACAUGGCCCGCGGUGAUGAUCUGCAUGCCAUCAAGUACCUCCCAUUGAAACUCAAGGGACCGACUCGGCAUUGGCUGAAUAGUUUGCCGCAAACUCUAUUGGAAGUUGGGAGAACCUGGAAUACGCAUUCCUGGAUAACUUGCAGGGCACUUAUGUGCGGCCACCGGAUGCUGAUGACUUAAGCCAUAUAACCCAACAACCCGGAGAGUCAGCCAGAAAAUUCUAGACCCGGUUCCUAACUAAAAAGAACAAAAUUGUCGACUGUCCAGAUGCCGAAGCCUUAGCGGCCUUUAAGCAUAACAUCCGUGACGAGUGGCUUGCCCGACACCUCGGCCAGGAGAAGCCGAAGUCCAUGGCAGCCCUCACGACACUCAUGACCCGCUUUUGUGCGGGCGAGGACAGCUGGCUGGCUCGUAGCAACAGCACAUCAGGAAAUCCUGGCACCUCAGAUGCCAGAGAUAGCAAUGGCAAUCCCUGACGCAACAGGCACAAGCGUCGCAGUAAUGGCGACAACGCCGAAGACACGGCCGUCAAUGCCAGAUUCAGUGGCUCUAAGUCCGGUCAGUGGAAAAGGCCAUUCAAAAGAAACAACCCGGGUACGUCUAGUCUGGACCACAUACUCGAUCAUUCAUGUCAAAUUCACGGCACCCCCGAUAAACCAGCCAAUCACACCAACGGAGAAUGCUGGGUGUUUAAGCAGGCCUGCAAGUUGAAUGAAAACAAGGAAAAGGGGCUGCAUAGUGAUGACGGCGAGGAACCCCAGCUACCGAACACAGGAGGACAGAAGAAAUUUCCUGCCCAAGUAAAAAUGGUAAAUAUGAUAUACGCAACCCAUAUUCCCAAGAGGGAGCGGAAGCAUGCACUAUGGGACGUCUACGUGAUGGAGCCAGUCGCCCCAAAGUUCAACCCAUGGUCUUCUUGUCCGAUCACCUUCAAUCGCAGGGACCACCCGACCAGUAUCCGUCAUGGUGGUUCAGCCGCGUUGGUCCUUGACCCCAUCAUCAAUGAAUUCCACCUUACACAUGUCCUUAUGGAUGGUGGCAGCAGCCUGAACCUGCUCUAUCAGGAUACAGUGUGCAAAAUGGGCAUCGAUCCCUCAAGGAUCAAACCCACCAAAACCACCUUUAAAGGUGUCAUACCAGGUGUAGAGGCCUGUUGUACAGGCUCAAGCACGCUGGAAGUGGUCUUUGGAUCCCGGAUAACUUCUUAAGCGAAGAGUUAAUCUUCGACAUCGUCCCCUUUCGUAGUGGCUAUCACACACUACUUGGACGAACCGCAUUCACUCGAUUCAACGCGGUGCCACACUAUGCUUAUCUCAAGCUCAAGAUGCCAAGACCUCGUGGUGUUAUAACAGUCAAUGGAAAUAUAGAGCACUCCCUUUGUACGGAGGAGCACACCGCGACCCUCUCAGCAGAAGUACAGAGCAGCCUUCUUAGGCAGACCUCCAAUUCGGCAAUAAAGCCCCGGACAUCGCCAAGCGAGUCCGGCGUACUCUGCAAUAGGUGUCUCCGGCACGACCAGAGCUUGCCUAGAAAUUCGGCCUCCGCACUAGUCCCAGUCAACUGGUGAAACUUGCGCCGCGCGUACAUAAUUACGCACUUAAAAUACCAUGGGCACAGGCGGAGGCACGACAAUAAUGCGGUCCACAAUGCGGCUCAACCGCCCCAGGAUCCGUAUACCUUCACCCCUUUUUCUUUAUUUUAGGUCCCUAUUUUCCGGAGGCGCUUCUGAUACCUGAUUAUCGGACCCAGCAUGGGACAGAGACACCAAGGAGGCAAGGAGCUUUGACGUACAAGGGAAUCCCUAGGCGGUCUCUGAUAAUGACCGCUAUACCUGUUUUACAUACCCAUACGCAGCUCACUCUUGGUUAGGACAUGUCAAAUAGUCCUAUUUUUCUUAUCGCACUACUUGUAUACGUACGCCCUGAUGUGUUAUUCAAACAACAAUGGAAAAUAAUGUACAACAUCAGCUUAUUAUUACAUUUCUUUAUCUUUUUCCUUGACUGUUUAUGUAUUAUAUAUCGCACACGUACAUGUUGGUACGAUUCAGUUCGCCAGGGGCUUCAGUGUACCCCAUAACACGUCAAGAAAAGUCUGAACACUUUCGAUAGUGCGGCACCCCGAACUUAUAGCAUUAUAUGCAUCAACUCCGAAUCAUGUCUUGGGUCAAUAGUUGGUUUGCCCGGCUCCCAUGUUUUGCCGCCUUACGUUCUGCUAUAUCGGCUAACGUGGCACAGGGAGAACUACUGCGAUUGUGUCCCAGUUCUUCCGGACGAGCACCUCAGUAGAGAAAGCCGAAAACUGACUGUCAUGAUGCGCUGAGAGCCGGUCGCUGCUCGAGAGGUCUCAAAUCCUUAAAUAUUUUUUCCGCUUCGGGCGAGGAGUCGGCCUUUGUCCGAUUUAGGCGUGUAUAGCGCCCCAAGUUUGGCCUUCCGAAUACCAGGGGCUACGCCGAAAUUUCAAAUUAUAGAACUUCUAUGGCUAAGUGAGGGUGAUAAAGUUGUAUAAUCCAAUUGCUUUGUUCGUUGUGCUAAAUACCUCCUUAAAGGACCAAAAAUUUGGAUAAAGAGUGUUUAGAUUUAUCCCAAACACCCUAGUGCUAGUUACAUGGGGGCAGAAGCCGACGACUGGCCAACUCUCAGAUUUAAUAAGCGGCCGCAGAGAAGGUAAAAUUUUAAAUCAACAAGCGUUAUAUUGCGCAAAAAGAACUUGUUUUCAUAUUACAGGAUCAAAUGAGUAUAUUCACUCAAAUAUUACAUCCUUAGCACACUGCUCCGCCACAAGGCGGGAGCCCUUCAGGACACUGUCAUAAUACUUUUCGAGAUGGCGGUGUUCCUUGCCCUCCGGUGGCCCCUCCGUCAUCAGCUUCUCGGCAUCCAUCUUCGCCUAGUGCACUUUCACGCGGGCGAAGGCCAUGCAUGCACCUUCAAUGCAAACUGACCGCUUUAUGACUUCAAGCCACGGGCAGGCAUUUAUAAGCCGCUUUACAAUGCCGAAGUAGCUACUCGGCACAGGCUUGGCAGGCCACAUUCGGACUAUAAGACCCUUCAUGGCCAGUUCGGUCGCUUUGUGUAGUUCGACCAGUUCCUUCAGCUGGUUGCUCAAGGGCAUCGGAUGUUCGGUCCCAAUGUACUGAGACCAGAACAACUUCUCCAUCGAGCUCUCUUCUUUAGCUCGGUAGAACUCUACGGCAUCAGAUAUGCUGCGCGGCAGAUCUGCAAACGCUCCUGGAGAGCUCCAAAUUCGGGUAAGUAAAAGAAAGGUCUCCUUCACAUGCUUGCUUUGCAUAAUGAAUGCCUUACCCGCCGCUAUCUUCUUGGCCGCCUGAAUCUCCUGGAGGGCAUUUUGGGCUUCGGCCUUGGCGUCUCGCGCGCUCUGGAGGGCCUUAGCAAGAUCGGACUCUUGCGUCUUAGAGUCACGCUCCAAGGACUCGUAUUUUUGGACGAAAUCAUGGAGCUCUUGCUGGACCUCGCUGACCCGAGCCCGCUGCUUCUCAUGCUCGGAUCGUUCCUUGGCCGCUUUGUCUUCAGCCUUGGCCAUCGCCGUCUUAAGGGCCGCCACUUCGGUCGUGGCCCCUAAUAAAGUUCGUGACGCCUCCAUUAGGAUAAAUCACUCUUCCUUUUAAAAUAGGCAGAUGGGGUAUUGUGUACCUUUGUUCUCCUCGAGCUGCCUCUUCACGAGGCCGGGCUCUCCUUCGGCUUGCUCCAGGUCCCGCUUCAGUCCGAAGACCUCCGCAAUACGAGCGGCAGCAGCAAGCAGCGACGCCUGCUUAUUCACAUAGACAUUUUUGUUAGACUCCUGCGGGUAUUAUUUGAUCCUCUGUUCGGCCUUUCUUUCCGAACACCAAACAGAGCAUCAGAGGCUAUUGUGUAUAUUGAGAUAUUUUCUUAUAAUUUGGUUACUUACCUCAAAGCCUGUUAGGAGGCUGGCGCAGGCUUCGGUCAAUCCACUUUUGGCAGACCAAACCUUCUCAAUCACCGCACUCAUAAGAGUACAUUGCUUGUCGUCAAUGGAAGCGCCACAAAGCGCUUCUAGCAAGUUACCCGAUGCCUCUGGAUGGGCAAAGGUCAUUGAGGGAGUCUUGGAUAAGGGGGUAUCCGGACAGCCGGACUAUAUACUUUGGCUGGACUGUUGGACUAUGAAGAUACAAGAUUGAAGACUUUGUCCCGUGUCCGGAUGGGACUCUCCUUUGCGUGGAAGGCAAGCUUGGUGAUUCAGAUGAUAGAUCUCCUUCUCUAUAACCGACUCUGUGUAACCCUAGCCCCCUCCGGUGUCUAUAUAAACCGGAGGGUUUAGUCCAUAGGACAAACAACAAUCAUACCAUAGGCUAGCUUCUAGGGUUUAGCCUCUACGAUCUCUUGGUAGAUCAACUCUUGUAAUACUCAUAUCAUCAAGAUCAAUCAAGAAGGAAGUAGGGUAUUACCUCCAUCGAGAGGGCCCGAACCUGGGUAAAACAUUGUGUCCCCUGCCUCCUGUUACCAUUAGCCUUAGACGCACAGUUCGGGACCCACUACCCGAGAUCCACCGGUUUUGACACCGACAAUCAUCGGCACAGGUGGCUCGCCCUCCUUAGCGAGGGGCUGCCUGCCUGGGUUCGGAACCACCUGGGGUUCCGGAGCCAUAUUUGGCUGGGGGCCAAACUCGCUGCGGCCCCUGUCGGUGUCAAAACCGACGGAUCUCGGGUAGGGGGUCCCGAUCUGUGCGUCUUAGGCUGAUGGUAAUAGGAAGCAAGGGCACAAUGUUUACCCAGGUUCGGGCCCUCUCGAUGGAGGUAAAACCCUACUUCCUACUUUAUUAAUAUUGAAGAUAUGAGUAGUACAAGAGUAGAUGUACCACGAGAUGGUAGAGGCUAAACCCUAAGAGCUAGCAUAUGAUGGUAUGAUUGUAAUUGUGAUCGACCUUCUAAGGACCAUCCUCUCUGGUUUAUAUAGACACUGGAGAGGGCUAGGGUUUACAUGGAGUCGGUUACAAGGAAGGAAAUAUAAUAUCCGGAUCGCCAAGCUUGUCUUCCACGCAAAGGAGAGUCCCAUCCGGACACGGGCCAAAGUCUUGAGUCUUGUAUCUUCACGCUUCAAUAGUCCGGAUGAUGUAUACAGUCCGGCUGUCUGGAUACCCCCUAAUCCAGGACUCCCUAAGUAGCCCCUGAACCAGGCUUCAAUGACGAUGAGUCCGGCGCGCAAUCUUGUCUUCGGCAUUGCAAGGCAGGUUCCUCCUUUCGAAUACUCCAAGGUUAUUAUCGAACACGUAGACCAUGUCCGGAUCUGCAAAAUGAUCUUUACAUACCAUCGUAGAGAGAAUGAUACUUCAACUGACAACUUUUUAGACGACGUGAUAUGCCAUUACAGUCAGGUCAUCAUUCGAACAGUUUUUCCACAACCAGCCACAACGCGUAUUGCGAGGCGGUUUCCUUGGCACGUCUUGUUUGAAGCAAAGAUCGUGUCCCCUUAUUACGGGAUUCUCAUCAAUACGGGUAUGGGUAAUCCAACCGCACCGCUAAUUGCGGCGAGUGGGAGGUAAGCGGGUUCCUCUAGGCAACCGAGGAGGCGUAAAAAGCUUUUACCAUCUCUUAUAAAGAGAUAAGGCCUCUUCCUCUUUACCCAUGCCUUCUCCUUCCGCUAACUCAUUCCCCUCCGCUCGAGCCCUAAUGCCCAAGCACUCUUCUUUUUCAUUGAAGAGAGGUUUUCCAAAGAUGUCCGAAUCCGGAACAGGAGGCAAAUGGAUGGCCUCUACCGUCCGGGAGAAGGAUAUCAAGAAGCUCCGGGAAGCCGGGUAUCUGGCCAAGAAGAUUGGCCACCGUCUUCCACCGGCGGGACAUGUUGUCCCCACUCUGGAGCCUUUCGAGAGGGUCGUGUUCCUUCCCCAUUUUGUCCGCGGGCUCGGGUUUCCUCUCCACCCAUUCGUUCAUGGAGUCAUGUAUUACUAUGGGAUUGAUUUUCACGAUCUUUCCCCCAACUCUUUUCUCAAUAUCUCGACGUUCAUCAUCGUAUGUGAGGCCUUUCUCCAGAUUCCGCCUCACUUCGUCCUAUGGUUGAAGAUUUUCAAUGUGAAGCCCAAGGUGGUGAGUGGAGAACACGCCGAGUGCGGCGGCGCCAUGGUGAGCAAGAUGACCAAGGUUGUUUGGCCGAAGGGCACUUUCAACGACUCCGUCAAGGAGUGGCAGCAGUAGUGGUUUUAUAUCACCGAACCACGCGGCAAAAAGUGGGAUGCACUUCCUGAGUUUAGAUCCGGAGCCCCACUGCGGCUCAUGUCCUGGCCCAAGAAGGGCCCGAACUGGAACUCGCCCAAUGAGCUGUCACUGCUCCAGACGCGCGUUUAGAGCGUGGUUGACAAGGACGUCAAACUUGUCGACAUAGUCCACGUGAUGCUAGCUCGCCUGGUUCUCCCUUGCCAACGUCGAGCCUGCGCUUUGUGGGAGUUCGACCCAACCGAGCACCAAACCCUUCGGGAGCUCUAUGACUCCUCUUACAAGGAUAUCUGGAAGGUGCUCUUCAAGUUCGGCAAAUCAUGGUCGGACUCCCCCGAGGACCGGGGGUAUCAAUUAUCCCAUUCUGCAAGCCCGGUAAGUUACAACCACGCCCUGUCCAUCCAUGCUUCAGUUGGCAUGUCAUGAGGGAGACAUUUUAAUUGUGACCUCAGGGAUGGAUUAAGAAGGUGGAGCAGAUGCAUUGUCCGGCCCCGCUGCCGGAGGAACCGACCGGACCUCUUCUUACAAAGAUGCUGGUCCCUGCGCCUCAUGAGGCGCCACAGAAGGAGGAUUCCAAGAAGGUCAAGAAGACCCGGAGUGGCCUCCAUCGCCGCGAGGCUAAGGACGCCAAACCCAAAGACUCCAGCGGUGCUCCCUCUUUCGAAGACAAAGAGGAGGAAGGAGAGGAGGACGAGCCUCACUCUGCAGGUGGGAAGGAGCGUGCGUCUUCCCCAUCCCUGGAGGCCGGAUCUCCCAAGAGGGGGAGGGGGUCCCAUCCAGAGGCAUCCACCCCGGCUGCCGAUAACAGCCCGGAGUGGGAUCCCAGAGCCCAGCCCGUGGAAAAAUCAUAAGUAACCGAAUCCCGAAUGCUCCUAUGCAUUCAGGGUCAUCUGAGUAUAGUAGUUUUAACUGUCGCCACAUCUCGUACAACCCAACGAGAUCUCCUGCCGGACAGUCCUCAUCGGAGGAUUCGUGGAGUUCGGAUACUAUGGCGAGUGAGACGCCUCCGACGGCUCUUUUUCCGGAGUCCAGGCGCGACACCGAGGUGUCAUCUUGAAGAGACCGAGAGCCGGAUAAGGUCCUGGAGG